RNAcentral lists this long non-coding RNA (89397 nucleotides) under Vitis vinifera (wine grape). RNAcentral's name for it is "long non-coding RNA (VVIN_LNC001392)". The record is from RNAcentral. Lineage: Eukaryota; Viridiplantae; Streptophyta; Magnoliopsida; Vitales; Vitaceae.
CCUUGGGAGGUUUACCAAUUGGGGUUGGUGGCUUGUGUUCUGGGAGUGGUUUCUCUCCCUUGGGAGGUUUAGUGGGUGACUUGUGUUCUGGAGGUGGCUUCUCCACCGAAGGCUUGUGCUCCGGUGGUGGCUUUUUGGUUGGAGGGGGCUUGGGGUAAUCAGCAAGAGAUGGGGUGGUGAGAACCACCAGUCCAAGGAACAACACUAGCAAGUAUGUGGGAGACAUUUUUGAGUUUGGGCUGAUCAGAUGAUGCAAAACUAAAGCAUUACGUGACCUUUUAUAGCAAGUAGCUCCCAAUACCUACUUGACACGUGUUACUGUGACCCAUAAAUAUUAUGGGGUCUAUUUGUGCCCUACCGGGUUGAAAACUUGGACAAUUGGGCAAGGACCCGCCUGACUAUGGAGGACUACUGAGGUGUGAUCACAGCUUUAGGAUUUUUCUUCCUCUGCAGCCGUCUUGCCGUUGGCAUGAUUUUCUUAAUCUCAAAUAAAGGCAUAGUUAUAGAGUUGUUUAAUCUCUAAAUGGGAUUUUAUAUAUCUUCAGAUAGCCAUUAAUACAUUUGAUGAAGAAAGAAAGACAAGUGCAUACAACAUGUAUACGACUAGCUUUCAUGGAGUUCAUUUAUGAUCAGUUUUCCUGUACAUGUAAACCAAGAUCAUAUAUGUUUUUGUUCCACAACAAUUUUGGAAUCUUGUUUAUCCGUUUUUAUCAUUAUAAUGUCACAUAGGCUGCCAACUUGGGCGCUAAAUUAAAGAUCCAGUUGGGCAAGUUCGUUUCAGAAUUUCAAUGGUGGAUUCAGGAAUUGUUUUAUAAGAUAUGCAAAAUAGUAGAGGGAUGAAUAGUGUUUCAUUAAGAAAAGAGCCCUGUAAAAAUAUUGUUUAAAGGUGCCAUAGAAACUAUAAUCAAUAAAUAACUUUUUUUCCCCAUGGGUGGUGUUUCUUGUGGGGAUCAGUGACUGGUUUGAGUCAACGCCGUGUCUCUUUAGUCCAGAAAUCAACUAUUUUAUGCAUUGAAUACAUCAACAAAGAAAAUAUGAAAGCCAAAUGACACCUCCCCCGCAAAAACUAAACCCUGGUUGCUAACUUUCUAUGUUUCAGUUCCAUUCACACAAGAAUAUUAGUUCAAGUUUGAGAAAAAUGGCGACUUACCUAGUGAUAACUCGGUCUUGGUUUGCGAUUUGACUUUAACGUCAUGGGUUGAAGCCUCCUACAAUCAUCGUGUAUGCUAGUUCAAAGCUCGUGGAAGAAGUUAUACAGGGAGGGAGAAACCUCCACAGCAAGCUCCAAAAGAGAAUUAUCACAUUGAAAGCUCCAGUUGAACACUGGGUGAAAGCCAUAACAAGAUUGGUUUUCUAUCGCUCUUUUAAGUAAUGGAAGAUUAUUAUCUCUGCUUGUCACUACAACCGUGCAUGCUGCUAGAUCUUUCUAGACACUUCAAACAGUGAAACCAAGUAUGAUUCUUUUUCUCUUGAGUGGGUCCACUUGCAUGCCAAUGAACGAGUUGAAAAGUUGGACAAUUGGCCACAGCGCGCACUUACCUUCUGGAACCGAAGGUCAGUGAAGUGGGGUUCCUUUUGGCCCCUUGUGUUUCUGUUCCAACCUACUCCAGGAACCGAAGUUCAGUGAAGUGGGGCUACUUUUGGCCUCUUGUGUUUCUGUUCCAACCAAACAAAAAUGGGAGGGAAAAAUAGCAUUAUGCUUGUGCUAAAGAUCAACGCAUGAUAGCUGAAUAAGGGAGAAAAAGGCAUUGCUAUCUCAAUUUCAUAAACUUGAUAAGUAGUGACAUUAAUAGUCUUCCUCAUAGAUGGAUACAUGGUUUUAUUUUAUUUAUUUAUUUUUAUUUUUUUGUUUUAUGUCAAUGCUAAUGAAUGAAGUGCAUUAGCUUGUUUUGUGACUAGAACUACAAAUGUCCAAAUUGGAGCUUCUCCAAUAUAUUUCUCAGUGAGUUAUUGAUUAGAACUCUUGGAUUGAGUUCCAAGAUUUGAAUCAGACCCCUCUAGCAGCUUCAGGGGUACGUAGCAACCUAUAGCAUAUUAAUGAAGACUUAGGAUUUAGACUUAGGAAUACAAAUUAAUAUGUACCUCAUGCUCUGACUAGCUUCCCUGCGUAUGCACAAAAUGGAGAUGACUCCCAAAAAAAUAGCAGAAUCGCCUUAGUAUGUUUUUGUGGUUAAGAUGAUUCUCCACUUUAUAUAUCCACAUUGGUUCAUUAUGCAAAUUAAUCAACUAAGCUAUUUUUAUUUUUUCUUAAAUGUGAAAUAGGAGCUCCAAAUUAACCUAACCAUUGGCCUGAUUGAAUUGAUUUCACUUGCAUAAUGUUAUAGUAGAAGUCCGUAAUUUGAAUUUUAUUUUUGCAAAAGGUAACGUAAAUGAAGCAUUGUAAUUAAAUUUAUUUGUAAUUACAAACUAAUUUUAUUUUAUUAAGAAUUAAUUUAAUUACUCAUUUAAAAUAAAAAUCAGUUAUACUUUUACCAAGAUGAUAAUAUUCAUAUUUUUCUAGUUAACAUAUAUAAAAUAGUACACUUUUUCAUAUAAAAAAAUAAUUUAUGAUUUAUUAUAAUGUUACUAUUCACAUUUUACUAAAUUGAUGGUACAUGAUAGUGAGAGAAGGGGGUGUCACACUCAGCUAAAGUUCUUUUCAAAAUAUUGCAUGGUGUUUAAUUUUAUGUGUCGGCGCGCGUGUGAAUGGAACCUGCAAAAGUCCAAAUUGGCGUUUCUCCAUUUUCCACAUAGGAUGGUGACGUUAAUAGACAAAGAUACAAUAUCUGUAGACAUUGCUUAAAAAUCGAUGUGAAGUAUUAGAAAUUACAGGGCACUGUACUGGGGGAGCGGCUGCCCCGCCAAAGGAGGAAGAAUGUAGCAAUUUCUUCUGUUAGCCAGGCCUUAGGAUUUAUGCAUGGGAUGCCUAAUAACAAACAGAGAAAAUAUACUUUUGGGGAAGGUAUCCAACAACAGACACCAUCAUUCAGAUGGUGGGAAGGUAUCCAACAGAUGCCAUCAUUCAGAUGGUAACAUAUAUAUACAUUUAUUAGUGAGUUUUUUUAAUACCUAUAAAAAAAAAUAUACACUUUGAUAUUGUGGCUGAAUCCAUUACAUACUCAACUAACCUUGCUCAUUAGGGAUUUGACUUAACAAGGGCAACGUUGCAGUACAAGCUCAAAACUUUAUGCAGGUGACAUUACAUUUGGUAAAGAAGAGGAAAAUAACGAAAGCCAUCCAUAAAAGCAAAAUUCCACAUGGGAUGAAAUUCACAAGCUUCAUUUACGAUAGAGUCGCAUCCAGGCAAUUAAUUCCACAUUAGACCGCCUGUUGACAUGUGUACCAAUCUUUUUUCAAAAAAUAUUUAUAAAUAAUUGAUACUCACAAAAAUAAUUUAAUAUUUAUAAAGGAUAAAAAAAUAUUUUCAAAUCUAUAACAAUUUAUAAAAUAUUAAUAAAAAAUUAUCUCUUAAACUUAGUAUAGUUUUAUCAGAUUAAACUUUUAUUUUGAACAAAUAAUUUUAAUCUAAGUUUUAAAUUCUAAAAUUAUUUCCUUAAAAUAAAAUUUUAAAAUUCAACACUUCAAUUGAAAUUGUCUUUUUAAAAAAUAUCUUCUUAUUUUAAUCCUUAUAAACUAUAGUUGAUUGAAAAUACUAUUGAAGUUCUCUCUUAAAAAAAAGUCUUAUUUUAAUCUUCAUAAAUUGCCCUUGAUUUGAAAAUAAAUUUUCAGUUAUCAUAUUUUAAAUAAUAUCUAUAUUUAAAAUACUCUAUUUAAAAAAAAAUGAACUAAUUUUAAUUAUAUUAUAUUUUAUUUUUUUAUAUAUUUUUAAUGAUAAACCAAACAUAGAAAAUCAUUUUUCUAAAUAUUUUAAAAUUUCUAAGCAACCAAACAUAAUCUUCAAAAUAAAAGGAAAAUAAGGAGGGACAUUUGAGAAAUGGCGAUUAAAAAAAAGUGUACAAAAGCUCAAUUAAUUUUCUUCUAGUCUUUUAUAUAAAAAAGUAAAGGAAUUGAAAAGUAUUGAUAUGUAAAUUAAUAUUUGGAUUUUAAUAGUAUUUUAUUUGUCUUUCUCUAUCUCAUGUAAAAGAGAAUUUAAGAUAUUUCCUAAAGCAAAGCAUUAGUUAUCUGCAAUCAGUGGUGAUCAUGCCCCAUGUCAAUUUCGGACCCAUAUCUUAAAACUGUAUAAUUUGCAUUCAAACAUUACUGAUUUCUCAGAUGUUUCAUACUCCACAGAAGAGCAUUGUUUGUGAAAGCAUGCAUUUAUGUUGGAUUUUGGAUGAUGUGGGAACUGGGGCAAGGAUCAUAUGGAAGAGUGGUCGAUUUUGUUCUGUACUUUAACAUUUGAAAUAGGAGAAGCUCGGGCAUUUGUGGGGCUUAAUUGAUUUUGAAGCCUGAAAUUGCGUUUCUGUCAUUUUGUAAAAAAUAUGGCAGAUUCCAUGCUCUCAUAUGUUUGGUCUGUGGCCAUGUAUAGAUGCCCCUUAGUGACCAGUUUGUAACUGUCAAUCAUAGUGUUUUGACUCUGGCUCAACAACAUCAGCCAUUGACGGAUUUUCAUACUUGCAAAUCAAAUAGUCUUCUUCCUCCCUUAGGAAUUUCGGUUUAAAUGUUAUUAAGCAUACAUUUGGCUGACAAUUAUUAACCACUUCAUGAUAUGGUUUCUUACCCUUAAUCAAUGGUUUCUAAGUGAAUAUAUGCAGAAGGAAAUCUGAACUGUAGACAGCAGUAUUGAUAACUCUCAAUAUUCUUUAUAUAAGAGAAUAAACAACGUCAUAGUGAUCGUCGCCUACAAGAAAGGUACAUUUCCCAACAAGAUGUAGUUGUGACUGGUACAUGGACGCAAUUAACUCGUACAAAAGAAUAAGACCAGUGCACGGCAGCUCUUAUUUUACAUGCUAAUUAUGCUAACCAAAGUCACUCAGUUGGGAUGGGAGGGAGAUGGAGGUUUGUGCGGUGGCUUGUGGGGCGGAGUUGGUGGCUUCUUUUCAGGAGCUUGUGGCUUUUUCGGAGCUGAAGGAGGCUCAAUCUUAUGAGGCGGCUUGUACGAGUCUUCUUUACUCUCGACAGGAGGGUGGCCAGGGUUGUGACCAUAAUGUGGUGGCUUCUCUCCCUUAGGUGGCUUGCCAACUGGGGUUGGUGGCUUGUGUUCAGGAAGUGGUUUCUCUCCCUUGGGAGGUUUACCAAUUGGGGUUGGUGGCUUGUGUUCUGGGAGUGGUUUCUCUCCCUUGGGAGGUUUAGUGGGUGACUUGUGUUCUGGAGGUGGCUUCUCCACCGGAGGCUUGUGCUCCGGUGGUGGCUUCUCCACCGGAGGCUUGUGCUCCGGUGGUGGCUUCUUGAUUGGAGGGGGCUUGGGGUAAUCAGCAAGAGAUGGGAUGGUGAGAACCACCACUCCAAGGAACAACACUAGCAAGUAUGUGGGAGACAUUUCUGAGUUUGAGCUGAUCAGAUGAUGCAAAACUAGAAGAAUUACGGGACCUUUUAUAGCAAGUAUCUCCCAAUACCCACAUGACACGUGUUACUAUGACCAUAAAUAUUAUAGGGUCCAUUUGUGCCCUACCGGGUUGAAAACUUGGACGCUUGGCCGAGGACACACCUGACUAUGGAGGACUAUUGACGUGUGAUCACAGCUUUUGGAUUUUUCUUCCUGUGCAGCUGUCUAGCGGUUGGCAUUAUUUUCUUAAUCUUAAAUAAAGGCAUAGUUAUAGAGUUGUUUAAUCUCUAAAUGGGAUUUUAUAUAUCUUCAGAUAGCCAUUAAUAUAUUUGAUGAAGAAAGACAAGUGCAUACAACAUGUAUACGGCUUGCUUCAAUCGAGUACAUUUAUGAUCAGUUUUCCUGUGCAAGUAAACCAGUUUUUUGUUCCACAACUAUUUUGGAAUCUUGUUUAUCAGUUUCUAUCAUUAUAAUGUCACAUAGGCUGCAAACUUGGGCACCCAAAGAUCUAGGUGGGCAAAUUUGUUUCAGACUUUCAAUGGUGGAUUCAGUAAUUGUUAAAAGGUGUUUCUUCAUUAAGGAAAGAGUCCGGUAAAAAUAUUGUUAAAAGGUGUCAUAGAAACUAUAAUAAAUAAAUAACUUCUUUUCCCCAUGGGUGGUGUUUCUUCUGGGGAUCAGUGACUGGUUAGGGUCACCCAAAAUGAGUCCAGAUUAAAAUUGGUUCGAGUCAAAGCAGUCUCUUUUGUCCAGAAAUCAACUAUUUUGCGCAUUGAAUGAAUCGAUAAAGAAAAAAUGAAAGCCAAAUCACACCUCCCCUGCAAAACCUAAACCCCGGUUGCUAACUUUCUAUGUUUCAGUCCUAUUCAUAUAGGAAUAUUGGUUCAAGUUUGAGAAAAAUGGCAACUUACCUAGGGUUUACUUGGUUUUGGUUUGCGACUAUUUACGCAACCAACCAUGAGUUUGACUUUAACGUCAUGGGUUGAAGCCUCCUACAAUCAUGUAUGAUAGUUCAAAGCUCGUGGAAGAAAUUAUACAGGAAGGAAGAAACCUCCAAAGCUAGCUCCAAAAGAGAAUUAUCACAUCGAUAGCUCCAGAGAUUCCCAAGGGAACUGAAUCAAAGACAAGUUCCUCACUUUUUCUUCUUUUGAGGCCAAAUAUGAACCAAGGAUCACACGACCUCAUUCAACUUCAUAAGUUUGAUUUCAUGCAGUUGAACACUGGGUGAAGGCCAUGACAAGAAUUGAUUAAAAAAUUCUACCACUCUUUUAAGUAAUGGAAGAUUAUUAUCUCUGAUUGGCACCACAACAGCACAUGCUGCUAGAUCUUUCUAGACACUCCAUGCAAUGAAAGCACAAUGGAUCUUGUAAUGAUAGAAACUAAGCCAUGCUACAGUACUAGAUGAGGGGGUAAAACUAGUAGACAUCUUUCUAGACACUCCAUGCAAUGAAAGCACAAUGGAUCUUGUAAUGAUAGAAACUAAGCCAUGCUACAGUACUAGAUGAGGUGGUAAAACUAGUAGACAUGGCUGGCAGUUGAUUACUACUCAAAAAGUACUCUUUUAUAGCUUGAAACUAACUGUUUUAAACACUUUUGAGUAGUAGUUAAUACCUUUUAACUUAAUUGGCACAUUAAGGAACCUAGCAAGGGUUACUAAUCAACAUUUGGCAAGUUUUGAUGUUUUUGGUAGCUAUUUGAUCAUUGAAACAAGCCAAGAAUGAGGGGGAAUUUUGUGAAGUCCAUGGCAAUGCAAGUUAAAGCUCAAAUACAUGAAGAAUCCAAGCUUUGGAGCACUUCAUAGCCCUUUGCCAAGCCAAUCAAAGAUGCAAGGAAGAAAACCAAAGGAAGAAAUCCAACAAUCAGCAUUUUGGCAUGGCUAUGUGAAAUUUCGCACACCAUGCGAAACCACAAGAGGCAGCCAAAGAAUUUCGCAUGGUAUGCGAAAUCUUCUUGUGCACUGACUCUGUUAGAUUUUUAUCUUCAGAUAUUUUGUGUAAUUUCCUAGUUUCUCCUUGUAACCAACUUAGAUAUUUUCUUUUAUAUCUUUUUUUAUAUUUUUUAGGUAACAUCAUAUAUAAGAGGAGAGACAUAAGGAGGAUAUGGAUGUUUUUCAUAGAACACUUGUAAAUUUUUGGUAGUAAGAAAUAUACAAAGCUUUUUGCUCUGCCUUACCUUCUCAAGGGAUGAGUGGCUAGGUUUUCUUGGAGUGAGGGAAGCUAGGUGAAGGACCUGAAUGCAAAGGUGGGAGUUUUCCUUACUUUAAAUGAAAGUAGUUGUUAAACAUUAAUGGUUUUUAUUUUAAGGUUUAGCUUUAAAUCCCUGAAAAACACCUUGAAUGGCCAAUACUUGGUAAGCUUUUUAGAUUCUAUGGAUGCUUAUUGCUAGAUCCAUGGAUGUCUAUUAGUUAUCAUUUACGAGCCAUUGGAAGGUGAUUCAAGGUGAGGGUCUUUAGUGUUUGAAGCCAUUAAUGGGAAGCAAUUACCAUUUUUUCAUGAAUCCUUUGGAUCAAAUCUUAAUUGCUAAAUAUAAAACCGGUUUCGAGAGAUAACCACCAUCCUUUAUGUUAUUAUCCCCAACGCGAGGAGAAGAUCCGAAAUCUUCCUUUUUAUCUAAGGAACCCGAUCCUAGUGACCUAAAGCUCCAAGAUACCUUUUCUUUGUAGUUAACUUCAUUUAUUGUUUUUGCUUAACUUAAAAUCAAUCUUUGCAACCACAAUUCCAUUUUCUUUAAAAGCUAAUUUUUAUAAGGAAAAACACCAUUUUAUUUCCUUCACUAAGUCAACUGUACGAUGAAAACCCAUCCCUGUGGACGAUCCUAGAGCCACUAUACUAUGUUAGCUAUGCUACCCUAGUGUGAGGUGAUUUAGGUUUUAUAAAUUUUUUUGAUAACACCCAUCUGAGCCAGAAUCAAAUGGCACGACUGAACCAGGGACGAAUCAAAUGACGCCGCUACCAAGGAUGGUGCCAAAGUACAUUGACAUGACUUUUGGUGAACACUUGUGAUCUUCACCACAAGUUUGGUGAUUUUUCUUUUACUAAUUUUUUUUAUUUUAGCUUAUCUUUUAUUUAGUUUUUAGUUAACCUUAAAUUUUUCCUAGAAUUGUAUUUCUUUUGUUUUCUUUGUUUUUGUUUCAGUGAUCUUUAGUUGUGCAUGCCCUAUUGGAUAAGAGAUAUUGAGGGAAUACUUGUGAAGAUUGAAACUCCUCGAGAAACUGAGUUAGAAGUGUGCUUGAACAUCAUGGAUGUUCCACCUGAAGACCAGAAUAGCCAACAUGGUUAAGAGGAUAAUUUCAACACAUACCGAUCCAUGAGGAACCGCAUACAUCCACCUUGUAUGAGUGCACCGUCAGGCAUAAUGCCUCCCACUGAGCAGCUAGUAAUCUGACCUCACAUUGUGCCACUCCUACCUACUUUCCAUGGGAUGGAGAGUGAGAAUCCCUACUCGCAUAUUAAGGAAUUCGAGGAGGUUUGUAAUACAUUCCAAGAAGGAGGAGCUUCAAUUGACUUGAUGAGGCUCAAGCUAUUUCCUUUCACUUUGAAGGAUAAGGCCAAGAUUUGGCUUAAUUCUUUAAGGCCAAGAAGUAUCCAAACUUGGAUUGAUUUGUAAGCCGAGUUUCUUAAGAAGUUCUUCCCUACCCAUAGGACCAAUGGUUUGAAAAGGCAAAAUUUGAACUUCUCAGUUAAAGAGAAUGAGAAAUUCUAUGAGUGUUGGGAGAGCUACAUGGAAGCUAUUAACGUUUGUCCUCACCAUGGCUUUGACACAUGGCUCUUAGUGAGCUAUUUUUACAAUGGUAUGUCUUCUUCAAUGAAGCAACUCCUAGAAACUAUGUGUGGAGGAGACUUCAUGAGUAAGAAUCCGGAGGAAGCCAUGGACUUUUUGAGUUAUGUGGCUGAAGUUUCAAGAGGAUGGGAUGAACCAAAUGCUAGAGAGGUGGGAAGAAUGAAGUCUCAACCUAAUGCUAAGGGUGAGAUGUAUGUUUUGAAUGAAGACAUUGACAUGAAAGCAAAGGUUGCAGCUAUGGCAAGGAGAUUGGAAGAGCUAGAAAUGAAGAACAUACAAAAAGUGCAAGCCAUUUCUGAGACAUCAAUGAAAGCUAUGCCUUGUUCCAUUUGUCAAUCUUAUAAGCACCUAGUGGAGGAGUGUCCUACAAUUCCAGCAGUGAGAGAGAUGUUUGGUGAUCAAGCAAAUGUUAUUGAUCAAUUCAAGCCUAAUAACAAUGCUUCAUAUGGCAACACCUACAAUUCAAAUUGGAGGAACCAUUCAAAUUUCUCUUGGAAACGAAAGCCACCUCAAUACACACAACCUACUCAAGCACCUUAGCAAUCCUCGAAUCUUGAACAAGCUAUUGUGAACCUUAGCAAGGUUGUGGGAGACUUUGUGGGAGAUCAGAAGUCCAUCAAUGCUCAACUGAAUCGGAGAAUUGACAGUGUGGAGAGUACAUUGAACAAAAGGAUGGAUGAGAUGUAAAAUGAUCUGUCUCAAAAGAUAGACAAUGUCCAAUACGUAAUCUCAAGGCUUACCAACCUCAACACAGUGUAAGAGAAAGGAAAGUUUCCUUCUCAACCUCAUCAAAAUCCUAAGGGUAUCCAUGAAGUAGAGGCUCAAGAGGGAGAAUCUUCAAAGGUGAGGGAAGUCAAAGUAGUUAUCACCUUGAAGAGUGGUAAAGAGGUUGAUCAACCCACAUCCAAGCCAAAGCAUAAUGAAGAGAGUGUAGCAGAAAAAGAAAAGAGAGGAAAAUAAAGGAAUUAGAAUAGAGAAAAAUACAAAGAAAGAUGACCAUGAGUCUAGUGUGGAUGAAGAGCCCGAGAGGAUGGUGAUCAAGGAAGAUAUGAUGAAGAAACACAUGCCUCCACCUUUCCCCUAAGCUUUGCAUGACAAAAAAAGAACCAAUAAUACAUCAGAAAAUUUUGAAGUAUUGAGGCAAGUGAAGGUCAAUAUCCCUUUGCUAGACAUGAUCAAACAAGUGUCGACAUAUGAAAAAUUCUUGAAGGACUUGUGCACUGUAAAGAGAGGGUUGAAUGUGAACAAGAAAGCUUUAUUGACCGAGCAAGUGAGUUCCAUCAUACAGUGCAAGUCCUAGUGAAGUACAAAGAUCCGGGUUGCCGUACCAUCUCAGUGAGUAUUGGAAGGACUUGUGUGGAGAAAGCUUUGUUGGACUUGGGAGCAAGUGUGAAUUUGCUAUCCUACUCUGUCUAUAAGCAGUUGGGAUUUGGAGAGUUGAAGCCAAUAUCCAUCACUCUAUCUCUAGCGGAUAGAUCAAUGAAGAUUCCAAGAGGGAUGAUCGAAGAUGUCCUGGUUCAAGUUAACAAAUUCUACUAUCCAGUAGAUUUUGUUGUUCUUGAUAUGGAUCCGGUUGUCAAAUGAACUAAUUAUGUUCCUAUCAUACUUGGAAGACCCUUCCUAGCUACAUCAAAUGCAAUCAUCAAUUGUAGGAAUGGAGUCAUGCAACUCACAUUUGUCAACAUGACAUUAGAGCUCAACAUCUUCCAUUUGUACAAGAAGCAUAUCCAUCAGGAGGAAAAAGAAGGUCUAGAGGAAGUGUGAAUGAUUGACACUUUAGUGGAAGAGCAUUGUGAUCGAGAAUGCAAAAAGAUUUAGUUGAGAAUUUUGGGGAUCUUGAUGAAAGGUUACUUGAACCCUCAGAUUUGCUUGCUACCCUACUCCAUUGGAAGAGAAGAGAAGAAAUUCUACCCUUAUUCAAUGAGGAGGAGACGCAAAGAGCUGCAAAGGAGAAACCCCCAAAACUUAUUCUUAAGCCACUACCCACAGAGUUGAAGUAUGUAUACUUGGAAGAAGACAAGAAGUGCCCUAUUGUUAUAUCUUCAACUCUUACCAUUCAUCAGGAGGAUUGUCUACUUGAAGUCCUUAGAAGAUGUAAGAAGACAAUAAGGUGGCUAAUUUCUUAUUUGAAAGGGAUCAGCCCUUUAGUCUGCACCCAUCAUAUUUACAUGGAGGAUGAAGCUAAGCUAAUUCAUCAACCUCAGAGAAGGUUGAACCCUCACAUGCAAGAGGUGGUUCGAGCUGAAGUUCUGAAGCUACUUCAGACCAGUAUUAUUUACCCCAUAUCAAAUAGCCCAUGGGUGAGUCCUACUCAAGUUGCGCCAAAGAAGUCUGGGAUCAUGGUGGUGCAAAAUGAUAAGGGAGAAGAUGUCUCUACACGCCUCACUACAGGUUGGAGGGUGUGUAUCAAUUACAGGAGGUUGAAUGCAGUGAUAAGAAAGGACCAUUUCUCAUUGCCCUUUAUUGAUCAGGUGCUUGAGAGGGUCUCUGGGCUUUUUUUUUUAUUGUUUCUUGGAUGGCUACUCCGGGUACUUUCAGAUAGAAAUUGAUGUUGAAAACCAAGAUAAGACCAUUUUCACAUGCCCAUUUGGAACCUAUGCAUAAAGGAGAAUGCCUUUCGGCUUAUGCAAUGCACCCGCAACUUUCCAAAGAUGCAUGUUAAGCAUUUUCAGUGAUAUGGUGGAGCGUAUUAUGGAAGUCUUUAUGGAUGAUAUCACCAUUUAUGGAAGUGCAUUUGAUGAAUGCUUGGUCAACUUAGAAGCUGUUCUGAACCGAUACAUUGAGAAAGACUUAGUGCUUAACUGGGAGAAGUGCCAUUUCAUGGUACACCAAGGGAUUGUCCUUGGGCACAUUAUCUCCAAGCAAGGCAUUGAAGUUGACAAAGCAAAGGUUGAACUCAUUGUUAAGUUGCCAUCCUCAACAAAUGUCAAAGGAGUAAGGCAAUUCUUUGGCCAUGUCGGGUUCUAUAGGAGGUUUAUCAAGGAUUUCUCUAAGCUUGCAAGGCCUCUUUGUGAAAUAUUGGUGAAUGAUGUUAAAUUCAUAUGGGAUGAUGGAUUUGAAAGGAGUUUUGAAGAAUUGAAGCUAUUUUUGACAACCGUACCAAUAGUGAGGGCUCCCAACUGGCAACUGCCCUUUGAAGUAAUGUGUGAUGUCAAUGAUUUUGCUAUAGGAUUUUUUCUUGGGCAAAGAGAAAAUGGAAAACCUUAUGUGAUCUACUAUGCGAGGAAGGCAUUGAAUGAGGCACAAAGAAACUACACAACCACCGAGAAAGAAUUGUUAGCUGUAGUUUUUGCCUUGGAUAAGUUUCGCGCUUACUUGGUGGGGUCCUUCAUCAUGGUUUUUACUGAUCACUUUGCUUUGAAGUAUCUGUUGACUAAGCAAGAUGCUAAAGCAAGGCUGAUUAGAUGGAUUCUCUUACUUCAAGAGUUCAAUCUCCAUAUCAAAGAUAAGAAAGGAGUGGAGAAUGUGGUAGCAGACCACAUUUCAAGGCUAGCUAUCGCACAUAAUUCCCAUGCUUUGCCCAUUAAUGACGAUUUUCUAGAGGGGUCUCUCAUGUUGGUGGAAGUUGUCCCUUGGUACGCUCACAUUGCUAACUACCUGGUCACGGGAAAAGUUCCAAGUGAGUGGAAAGCACAAGAUAAGAAGCACUUCUUUGCAAAAAUUCAUGCCUACUAUUGGGAAGAGCCAUUUCUAUUCAAGUAUUGUAUGGAUCAGAUAAUAAGGAAGUGCGUUCCUGAAGAAGAGCAACAGGGGAUCCUUAGUCAUUACCAUGAAAAUGCAUGUGGAGGCCACUUUGCUUAUCAAAAGACAGCCAUGAGGGUGUUGCAAUCGGGUUUCUGUUGGCCAUCACUUUUCAAAGAUGCCCACACCAUGUGCAAGAGUUGUGAUCGAUGCCAGAGGCUUGGGAAGUUGACACGCAGGAACAUGAUGCCUUUGAACCCCACUUUAAUAGUUGAUAUUUUUUAUGUUUGGGGCACUAACUUCAUGGGACCUUUCCCUAUGUCUUUUGGCUACUCUUACAUCUUGGUAGGAGUAGAUUAUGUUUCUAAGUGGGUUGAGGCAGUCCCAUGCAAACACAAUGACCAUAGAGUGGUUCUCAAGUUUCUUAAAGAGAAUAUCUUCUCAAGAUUUGGGGUGCCCAAAGCCAUAAUUAGUGAUGGGGGUACUCAUUUUUGCAACAAGCCUUUUGAAACUCUCCUAGCCAAGUAUGGGGUGAAGCAUAAGGUAGCUACACCUUACCACCCUCAAACUCAUGGACAAGUUGAGUUAGCAAACAGGGAGAUUAAAAACAUAUUGAUGAAGGUGGUGAACACAAACAGAAAAGAUUGGUCAGUCAAGCUUCUUAAUUCACUAUGGGCAUAUAGAACAACUUACAAGACCAUUCUCGGGAUGUCUCCUUAUCGCCUAGUUUAUGGCAAAGCAUGCCAUCUCCCUGUGGAAUUGGAAUACAAAGCUUGGUGGGCAAUCAAGAAGCUCAACAUGGAUUUGAGCAGAGCUGGGUUGAAGAGGUUCUUAGACCUUAAUGAGAUGGAGAAAUUGAGAAAUGAUGCCUACAUCAAUUCAAAAAUUGCAAAAGAAAAAUUGAAGAGGUGGCAUGAUCAGUUGAUUUCCCGCAAGGAUUUUCAAAAUGGACAAAGAGUCUUACUUUAUGACUCUAAACUCCACAUCUUUCCGGGCAAGCUGAAAUCAAGGUGGAUAGGUCAUUUUACCAUUCACCAAGUGCAUUCAAAUGGAGUAGUGGAACUACUCAACUCCAACAAUAUCGAGAACUUCAAAGUGAAUGGCCACCGUCUCAAGCCCUUUGUGGAGUCUUUUUCUCACAACAAGGAGAAAUUCAUCCUCCUUGAUCCACAUCAAGCUUAACAAGACCAAUUUUCUUGAUGGACUUAGUCUUUCUAAAGACUAUCGAGUCCAUAACUUUUUGUUUUAUUUUUUAUUUGAGAUUUUUUCGGUAUUGUUACUUGUUUUGUUUUUUAUUUUUCGUUUUAAUUUUAUUUGGUUUGAUUUAACUUAGGUUUUUGAUGAUCAAUUACAGGGGGGAUUUCAAAUAGAGGAAAAACCAAGAUAAUUCGCACACCCUACGAAAAUUUCGCAAGGCAUGCGAAAUUUAUGGCUUAUUUUGCAUGGGGUGAAAAUUUUCGUACAUCUUACGAACCAAUUUCGAACACUUUGCGAAAAUAAACCAACCCUGCGAAAUCAUUUCGAUUACUCUACGAAAUUUUCGUAGAGCAUGCGAAAAAUUUAGCACACCAAACACCAUUUCGCAUACUAUGCAAAAACCUAAGGGGUCUGCGAAACCAUUUCGCACCUCCAAAUCCAUUUCGCACAUUGUGCGAAAACCAAGAGGCGCUGUGCGAAAAUGAAAAGUCGCCCUGUCAUCCCUUUUUAAACCCCUCGAGCCCUAAAAUCUCCAUUUCGCAAGCACCCCUGUCCUUGCGAAUCCCUCAUUUUCCUCUACUACCUUGCAACCUCGUCCCUUUCCAUUUGAUAUUGUGCCCCGCGCACAUCUCAUUUCAGAGACUCGCACUCCGCGCCCCCUCAAAGCAUGGACUCGAGACCCACCUUCCAUUUCCGACGUGGCACGGACCCAAGGAGCCCUUUCUGCCCCUUCACUAAGACACACACCAAGGCAGAAAGCCUCCUUUGCUCAAGUGCCUAGUGAUUCUCCAUCUUAGGCCUCAGAGGCCUCGGAGGCCCCGUGGAUUCCACCUUCCGAGGGUAGAGCAGCCAUUGGUCCUUCCUCUUCUACUCCUUAGCGUAGAUACGAGACGAGGAGACCACCUACUACACAAGGGGCGACUACUUCGAGCCUUGAGAAUUCAGUACGAUGCCUUCCUGCCAAGAGGGUCAAGACUUCAGGUCCAAGUGAGUCAUCCAGAGCUUCAUAGCCUAAGCCUCCUGUAGAUUCCAAGGUUCCUACUGACAUAUCACCGGAGUCUAUUAUCAGAAGCCCGAUGCUCAUAGCACCGCCCAUUGAGGGCAACUCAGAUUAUAGAGCGAGAUCUUUCCACUUGGAGCUAUAUUUUGAUCAGGAGGCCAUACGACAGCAGCCUGAGCUCCGAGACUCUUAUGGCUUACUGCAGAGGUACCAUCUUGAGGAACUUAUGACUCCUCGUGAGUUUUUUUAUCCCAGAGUAGCACUAAACUUUUACCAGUCCAUGACUACUCGUGGCGUCCCGAGUCCUACCACGAUUCACUUCACCAUUGAUAGACGUCAUGGUAUCCUCAAGGCCAGACAUAUUACAGAGGCUCUACAAAUUCCUUUCGAGCUAGAGGAUCCAUCUGUUUUUCGCUAAUGGUCCCCAGUAUCUCAGAGGGACAUGGUCCGUAUUUUAUCUAGGGGAACAUCUACAGAUUCGAUCUUUCUACGGAAGGAGCUUCGACCUGGGAUGCUCCUCUUAGAUGUGGUGCUAUGCUCCAACCUCUUUCCCUUACAACAUUCGGUACAUAGGUGAUGAGCUAUUUUGGACGCUUUAUUCCGUAUAUCAGAGGGCUUCUACUUUGGCCCGCACCACUUGAUCAUGGUCUCCCUCAUCCACUUUGAGGAGAAGGUUCAUAGGAAGAAGCUUCAGAGGGUGGACACCAUUCCAUUACUAUUCCUGAGGUUACUUUGCCAGGUCUUGGAGUACAUGGGCUUUCCUACUGAGCCUCGGCUCGAGCUUUGCCGCCUUUGUCGAGAGUGAUCCACUCUCGACAAAUGGAAUUAGUUGGCGGGCUAUUCUGCACCUCCAGGAGCCCCUCCCAUGGUAGCACCUCCAAUGUCCCCACAGGCAAAGUAGGGCGAGCUCCCGGCAAAGACUGUACCACCAAUGCCCACACUUGAGGCUAUUUCUGCUGCUCUGCCUAUGACUCCUACUGUUCCACCAGUUGGUCCUUUUACAUCCGAGCCUUCCAUCACCAUCUCGGCUUCGGAGUUUCGCGCCCUUGUGCAUACCUUUCAGACACUCACCACCACACAUACUCCUCUCUUCUAGCAAAUGGUUGAGAUGUGUGCCCAUCAGGACCGGAAGACUACUAUACUCUGCCAAAUUCAGCAGCACCUAAGACUUUUGCCUCAACCUCAACCUAACCAUCCCAUAUCAUCAGAGCCUCUAGCUCCAACUGAGGAUACUAUUCCACCUGAGAACACUACCACAGUAGAGGUCCGGUUUCCACCACCUUAAGAGGCCACCACAGCUACAUCAGAGGAUGUGUCAUCUCCACUUGAGGCUCCCACUACUUGAUCAUAGGACAUAUCUUUAUCUUAUUGUAUUUACAUAUUAUAUUACUAGAGAUUUGUCCUUGUUUUGAUACUUUAUAUUCUGGGAUUGGAUGUAUUGCCUGAUGAUAUCUCAAUUGUACUUUCUCAUAUUAAUAUAUAGACAUCAAUUUUUUUUAGUAUACUUAGCAUUUUUCUAUUUCCUCUACUCAUUACUCUUUUGUUUUUUUUUACUCAUGUGGUUUCUCUUAUACAACUCAGACUCCAUUUCACUCAGGAGGUACCACUUCCUCCCUUUAUUUUCAAUUGCUCUUGAAAUAUUGAGUGCAAUGUUGAUCUUGGUUGGGGGGAGAGUUGAGGAAGGAAGUUUUGUUAAUAAUGCUAGGUUAAUUUGUUAAUUUAGUUACUUUCUGCUUAAUUUUAAAAGUUUUCACUCUACUUUCCAUGGUUAUUAAGGAAAAAUUCUCAAAAUGAAAUGGGAGAAAUCGAAUUCUUGCAUUUUUACUUGAAUCUUAGAAUUUGUAUCAUGCUUAUUAAAGUUGAUGAAUUAUUGAAACUCCUAUUGAAUUCAACCUUAUUUUUUCCACUUUAAUCUUACCACACACGGUGCACAUUAGGUUCCAGUUAUAAGAUAAAAAACUAUCUCACCCCCUAAACUUAGAAAAAUUUACACUUGGUACCUUUGACAUCGUUUUAAUAGUGUUGGGACACCUUAUAAAAGGCCAAUGAGCCUUUAAAAAAAAAAAAAAAAAAAAAAAGAGAAAGAACAAAGUAUUGCACUUGCCUUGAAACCUGAGCAAGAUCCGAGGGGUAUACAGUGAAAGUCUUUAAAACCUGGUGCCCUAAGCCUUGAUUGGUUGGGAGUCACCGACCUCAAUGCUCGUUAUAAGGGUGAAUAGGUGGAGUUUAACAUAUUGUAGGUGCUUGGGUAUUGAAUUUCAAUCUCAAAAGUCCGGGAAAAAAUCUAAGGAGUUAGUGGUCAAAAGAUCCUUAAAGCUUGAUGCCCUAAACCUUGAUUGGUUGAGAGUCAUUGAUGGAUCCCCGCUACAUGGACAUUUUAGAAAACAAUACCUUUAGCAUUGCACGCCUACAAUGAAAAAAAAAUGUGAAAUAAAAGAGGUGCGUUCUUAGCCUAUUGGAGGUUGGUCAGUUUGCUAAAGUUUGAGAAAUCUAGGUUGGGGGGAGAGAAUAGUCCGACAUACUAUAAUAAAAAACUAAUAACCUUAACACUUAGAUUUUUGUGGAAGAGUAAGGAUUGGACCUUUAGGGGUGGAAAUUCUUUUGAUGCUUAAAUUUGCAUAAUGCCUACUCUUUAUAAAUUAUGAUUAGGCAAGAGAUUUGAUGACUCUUGUUCAAAGUUGGGUUUUUCCUCUUUGAUGUUCCAUGAGAGAGUAUAAUCCUCAUCAUGCCACUUGAAAUCUUUUUGGAGUGAUUAACAUGAUUUUGUAAAUUAUUUUACUGUCUAUUUUUCUUUAUCUCUCUUUUAUUGCUAAUGGACUAGCAAUAUGUCAGUUGGGGGGAGUGAUUACUACUCAAAAAGUACUCUUUUAUAGCUUGAAACUAACUGUUUUAAACACUUUUGAGUAGGUGUUAAUACAUUUUAACUCAAUUGGCACAUUAAGGAACCUAACAAGGGUUACUAAUAAGUUUUUGGCAAGUUUUGGUGUUUUUGGUAGCUAUUUGAUCAUUGAAACAAGCCAAGAAUGAGGGAGAAUUUUGUGAAGUCCAUAGCAAUGCAAGUUAAAGCUCAAAUACAUGAAGAAUCCAAGCUUUGAAGCACUUCAUAGCCCUUUGCGAAGCCAAUCAGAGAUGCAAGGAAGAAAACCAGAGGAAAAAAUCCAACAACCAGCAUUUUCGCAUGGCUGUGCGAAAUUUUGCACACCAUGCGAAACCACAAGAAGUAGCCAAAGAAUUUUGCACACCAUGCGAAAUUUCGCAUGGUAUACGAAAUCUUCCUAUGCACCAACUCCGUUAUAUUUUUAUCUUCAGAUAUUUUGUGUAAUUUCCUAGUUUCUCCUUGUAACCAACCUAGAUAUUUUCUUUUAUAUCUUUUUUUUAUAUUUUUUAGGUAACAUCAUAUAUAGGGGGAGAGACAUAAGGAGGAUAUGGAUGUUUUUCAUAAAACACUUUUAAUUUUCUGGUAGUAAGAAAUAUACAAAGUUUUUUGCUCUGCCUUACCUUCUCAUUUUGUUUUCACCUAUCUUUCUAGCCAAACAACCUCUGAGAAUGAUUUCUCAGGGGAUGAGUAGUUAGGUUUUACGUUUCUUGGAGUGAGAGAAGCUAGGUGAAAGACCCAAAUGCUAAGGUGGGAGUUGUCCUUGCUUUAAAUGAAAGUAGUUGUUAAAUAUUAAUGGUUUUUAUUUUAAGGUUUAGCUUUAAAUCCCUUAAAAACACCUUGAAUGGCCAAUACUUGGUAAGCUUUUCGGAUUCUAUGGAUGCUUAUUGCUAGAUCCAUGGAUGUCAUUAGUUAUCAUUUAUGAGCCAUUGGAAGGUGGUUCAAGAUGAGAGUCUUUAGUGUUUGAAGCCAUUAAUGGGAAACAAUUACCAUUUUUUCAUGAAUCCUUUGGAUAAAAUCUUAAUUGCUAAAUAUAAAACUGGUUCGGGAGAUAACCAUCCUUUAUGUUAUUAUGCCCAAUGCAAGGAGAAGAUUUCGAAUCUUCUCAUUUGUCUAAGGAACCCGAUCCUAGUGACCUAAAGCUCCUAGAGACCUUUUCUUUGUAGUUAACUUCAUUUAUUGUUUUUGCUUAACUUAAAAUCAAUCUUUGCAACCACAAUUCCAUUUUCUUUAAAAGCUAAUUUUUAUAAGGAAAAGCACCAUUUUAUUUCCUUCACUAAGUCAACUGUAUGAUGAAAACCCAUCCCUGUGGACGAUCUUAGAGCCACUAUACUAUGUUAUCUAUGCUAUCCUAGUGUGAGGUGAUUUAGGUUUUAUAAAUUUUGUUGAUAACACCCGUCUGAGCCAGAAUCAAAUGGAACCACUGAACCAGGGACAAAUCAACAGCCUAUAUGGGAGGGACACAAGUUUAAUUGAUUUGCAUUUCAGCGUUAUAGAUAAGUAUGUUUUGGAAGAUUUGUUCUGGAAAUACUGCACCAAGUACGAUUCUUUUUCUCUUGAGUGAGUCCAUUUGCAUGCCAAUUAACGAGUUGAAAAGUAGGAGCACCUACCUCGUGCUCAUGGAACCGAAUGUCAGUGAAGUGGGGCUCCUUUUAGCCUCUUGUGUUUCUGUUCCAACCAAGGCGGCGUAGGGAAAAACAACAAUAUGUCUGUGCUAAAUAUCAACGCAUGAUAGAUGUUUUUUUUUUUUUUUUUGGUAUGUCAAGGCUAACGAAUGAAAUGCAUUAGCUUGUUUUGUGACUAUAACUGCAAAUGUCCAAAUUGGAGUAUCUCCAUUUCUCACUUCGGAUGGUUAACUUUAUAAACAAGAUAUAGGAAACAUGUGAACAUCUUGAGGAACAAUUCAAAUUAUUCAUUAGAAGUCCUGGGUUAAGUUCCAAGAUUUAAAUCAGACCCUUCUAGCAGCUUCAAGGGUACUUAGCAACCUAUAACAUAUUAAUGAAGAUUUAGGAUUUAGACUCCGGAAUACAAAUAAAUAUGUAUCUCAUGCUUUGACUAGCUUCCCUACAUAUGCAUAAAAUGGAGAUGACCCAAAAAAAAUAGCAGAAUCUAGCUUCCCUACAUAUGCACAAAAUGGAGAUGACCCAAAAAAUAGCAUAAUCGCCUUAGUUUCUGUGGUUAAGGUGAUUCUCCGCUUAAUAUCCACAUUGACUCAUUAUGCAAAAUCAACUGAGCUAAUUUUAUUUAUUUAUUUAAUGUCAAAUAGGAACUCCUAAUUAACUGAUUACUGUCGAAAAGUGCUAUUUUGUAGACCUAAUUAUAAGGGUUUUAAGCACCUUUGAGUAGUAAUCAUAUUCAUUUAACCUAAUUAAUUCAUUAAGCUCCUUAGUAAUUAGUUCUAACCAUUUUUAGUGGCAAGUUUACAUGUUUUUCAUCAGCUUAUGAACCAAUUCAAGCAUGCCAAUUGAUGGAGGAGCUACUUGGGCGAGUUAAGCAAGGAUUUUGGACGUUUACAGGCUUGAAUUUCAAGUGGAAACACGAGCACAAGCAAUGGGAACACCAUUUCGCAAGGGGAGGCAAUUCACCUUGCCAAAUGACCAAUUUCGCAAGGGGAUUUUCCUCAUGGUGCAAAAUUUGGUCAUUUCGCACCAUGAAGAAACCACCUUGCAAAAUUUCGCAAGGUGGAUUUAGGCACCUUGCGAAAUGCCAAAUUUCACAAGGUGGCUUUUCACCUUGCGAAAUUUGGACCUUUCAUCUUCCCCCCUUGCGAAAUGCCUUUGAAAUCCCCUGUUUUGAGACGCUGUUGAUGAUAUUCCACUGCCGGUUCUCCAAGAUAUUUUGCUUGACUUUUAGCUUUAUAAAUACCUAUUUUACCCUUGUAAUCAACCAAUGAAAAGGUUGCUUUUGUAAUAGCUCUUGUAAUUUAGCUUUUUAUUGUCUUUAAAUAGAGGUGAAGAGCCUCAGACACGAUCAUCUUGUAACCUGUAACUUUAUAAGUUAUAAGAGCACUUUUGUUCAUACGCUUCUUUUCUCUUUUCUUUCUCAUUUUCUUAGUAGCCAAACAUCCUUGGAGGAUGAAAUCCCCAAGGAUGAGAGGCUAAAACCUUUUAGUUUCUUGAAGUAAUGGAUGCCAUGUGAAGCUCCCGUGUCAGGAUGGAGAUUUCCAAGCCAUAAAUGUAAGUAGCUGAGCGUCAUAAAUGUUUUCAUUCAAAGUAAAGCUUUUAAUCCCUCUGACUUGCUUUGAAUGGCCAAUACUUGAUAACCUUUUGGUCUCAAUGGAUUCUUAUUGUUAGAUCCACUGACGUUCAUUAGUUAUCUCCUACGAGCCAUUGUAUUGCAAGUCGAGGAGAUGACCUAUACCAAUAAAAGAGCAUUUAUGAGGUUCAACUACCCUUUUUGUAAGUUUUCAAGGACUAAAACUCAGUUGUUAAACUCAUACCGGUUCGAGAAGUAAGCAUCACCUUAGUUGCUUCCCCAACUCGAGGUGAAAAGUCCCAAAAUCUCCAUUUUUACACAGUGAGUUAAGCAUGGCUAUCCAAAGCUUUAAGAAACUUCUUUUUCCAUCUUUUAACCUAUUUUCAUGUUAGUUUAGUUUACAACACCUUCAUCUUUUUAUGUUUUCAUCUUAACCUAAUUUUUAUUAAGAAAAGUUCACUCCAUCCUCCGAACUUCACCAGUUAAAGUAAAAACCCUUCCCAGUGUUCGAUCCUAGAGCCACUAUGCUAUAGUAGCUUUGCUACUUUAGUGUAAGGACCUUAGGUAUAAAUUUUGUUGAUACCCUUACAUGCCAAGCUACCAAGAGUCGGGUUAUCAUUAACCUAACCAUUGGCCUGUGUAAAUUGAUUUCACAUGCACAAUGUUGUAGUAGAAGUCCAUAUUUUGAAUUUUAUUUUUGUAAAGGUAAGGAAAAUGAAGCAUUGUGUAAUUAUAAAAAUAACUUCAUUGGAAUUCACAAGGUUCACCCAAAAUGGAGCUACAUCUGUAUUCUAUCCUACAGUAGACUAUAUAGAUUGUACAAUAGUAAAUUGCAAAUACAAUUAAUAAGUCUUGUGCUUCCUUACUAAUAAUCCUUUGACAUGAACAUUGCAGCACUAAGGUCCUCUUGGGAAGACACCUUGCACCCAUGAGAGCACUAAGAGGAAGCAAGGCAGAGUCAUGGGUGCAAUGUCAUGACUUGUUGUUGCACCAAGAGAGGCUUGGUGAUGCCAUGGUGUUGCAGUAGCAAGAAUGUUGCCUUGGCAGGGACACGAUCUAGGGAUAGAUGCCAAGAAAGGCUUAGCACUCACAUGAGUUGCACAAAGAUGAAUGUAAUAGAGCAUCAGAGAGACGUCUUGGCAAGUAAAUGAAUGGAUCCAAGAGACAACAACAUGAGGAGUUUCAAAUGGAUAAGGAAUGACUCAAAGACAUUUGAAAGCUACAAGUUGGAUUCUAAUUACGAUUGCAAUUUGAGUUUGAGUAGGAGUUUAGAUUUUGAUUGUAAUUGUAGUAUGAGUUGGACUAGGAUUGCUUAUCCUUAGUCAAUAUAGGAGCGGUUCGUGUCACCCUAUGAAAAGAGUUUGAGUAGGGACUAGGAUUGCUUACUCCUAGUCAAAUAUGGAGUAGGUGGUGCCACACCUAUAAAAAAAAGGGACAACAUGAGAGAGAGAGAGAGAGAGAAAGAGAGAGUGAAUUCACUAAAGAUAUUGUGGGAGUUUUGCUUUGUUACGUCUUGUAUUAUUACUUAGAAUAGGAAUAAAAUACAAGUUGGGGCUAGAGCCCCAUAAUUAAUCUCGUGUGCCUUUGUGGUUAUUCUUUAUUUGUCAUCUCGUGUGGAUUGGAUUAGGUUGACUUAGAGGGCUUCUAAGCACCACCUUUGUGGGUUAUUAUUUAUUUUCCAUCUCUUGUGGAUUAGAUUAGGUUGACUUAGAGGGCUUCUGAGCACCACCUUUGUGGGUUAUUAUUUAUUUUCCAUCUAUUGUGGAUUAGAUUAGGUUGACUUAGAGGGCUUUUAAGCACCACAUUUGUGGGUUAUUCUUUAUUUUCCAUAUCGUGUGGGUUGGAUUAGGUUGACAAGGAGAAAAAUUAUGUGGGAAAUUUGUGUUGGGACACUUACCAUAACCAAGUAAAAUCUACCAAGUCCUUUGUAAUAUCUUCAACAAAUAUUUUAGACUAGUUCUUUCAGUUAGUGUAAAGGAGGAAGAAGUGGUAUUGAUUCUAGAAAUAGGGUGUGUGUAUUUGAACUACAAUCCUUAUGAUCCUUAGGUCUCUAAACCUUCGUGAUGGGCUCCCUGACAUUUCAUAGGUUGUGCUACACAUGCGUUUGAAAUUUAGAGUGCGUUUGACAGUGAUUCCGGGAAGUGUUUUUGGCCUUUCUUACACUUGAAAAUUUUUAUUUUUCAAGUAUUAGAAAUGCUACAAACACUUUUGAAAAUUACUGUCAAACACACUCUUAGGAGCGCACAUAUAUAGUAGAAAACUAGAAAUUGUGGUUUUUUUAGGAUUUACUGUAAUGUCAUUAGGAGGGUAGUAAGUUGAAAUUGAGUAUGAACAAAUAUUUCUUUCUUUGGGAUGUUCUUCUAGUAGGUGCUGAUGAAACUGUUCUUUCUACUGCCAAUGUCACAUAUCAGCCAGAAAUUGAAAAUUUCAGUCAAGGUGUCCUCUGUUUUAGUGGUGAGGAAAGCUAGAAAUUUUAAGGUGAAGUUUUGUUAAAAACCUUAAGUAGCUGGGAUAUCAGGCCUGUUUUGCUUGAAAAAAAAAGUUGCAAGAUAACUCAUAUGCCAAACAGGUUCUGAUAUUGUGAAUCUAUCGGCAGACAUCAGUAAUCUCAUCUUCUGAGAUGGAUGUUGGGGGUGCAUGUGGUGGUGGAGGGGCAAGGUUUCAUUUGGUUUAUUUUGUUGAUGGAUAUUGUCUAGCCACCUGCGCCAAGUUUGAGGGGUGGUGGGUUGUGAUGACCCUACAAUUACUAUUAAUUUCUUCAUCUUUUACCGAUUAAAGUGUCCGAACAGUCGAAGUUACCCUUAUGCAUGUCAACUUGAUCACUUACCUCUUCAAUGGAGUUUAUGCUGGUUCAUUUAGGAACUGAUUUUUAUUGUUAUGUAUUAUAUGCUGAUGUUUAGGUCUCUCCAUCAUCACUAUAUACAAAAAUUCUAGGUUGAUACUAUAGGUUGAGAUUUAUUUUUUAAAUAAAAAAUAAUAAAAAUAAAAAUUAUGGUGAUGUUUAGUUGUUUUAUGGAAAAUUUUAACAAGUAAAAGUUAUUUUUGGGCAAGUUUUCAAACAAAAAGAAAAGUAAAAGUUGUUUUGACAAAAACAUAUAGAAAAAAAAAUCAUAGAAAAUAAAUAAUUUCCCCAUAUUCUAACUUUUUUGAAUUUUUCUCAAUGGGCAAAGGAAUAUCAAAUCAAGUUUGAGUAGGAUUUCUUAAUUUUUAAAAUAACUUACAAUUAAAAAAUUUUGGUGUUUUCAUUUUUGGACAAUUUUUUAUUAAGCAAAUGGACUCUGAGUCAUGCAAGAGAUAUGGUUCAUUAACCGGUCGAACAAUUUUUUUAAAUUAAUUUAAAAGUCAAAUACAUAAUCAAUUUCACAAAAUUUAUAAACAAAAAUAGGUUUAGAGAAGAUCUACACAUAAUUUUACUUUUCUAAUUUUAUUUUAUUUUAUUUUUUGUUGGAAAAUAGUCUUCAAAUCAUGUAAGAUUUAAUAGGUUAAAUUUGUUAACAAUAAAUUUUAAAUUAUAAAAUAUAAUCUGGAACUCAAAAAUCAAUUCAAGUAAUGCUAAAAAAAAAUCAAAUUUGGUAUAGAAUGACUUUGUAAAUUUUUUUACAAAACAAAUGAAUUUUAAAUCAAGUGAGAUUUAAUGCAUUAGAUUUUUAUCAAAUAUAGUAAUUUUAAAAAUAAAUUUGGAACUCAACAAUAGACACAAUAAAUACCAAAAAAUAAUGAACCAAAAUUGGUUUGGAAUAACUCCACAACCUUUUUUUUUUUUUUUUGGUGCACACGAAUUUUCUUACUAGGUAUAUUGCUUUCAAAUUGAGAAAGAUUUACCAUUUAGAUUUUUUUUUAAUGAGUUUAAUGGUAUUUUAAAAUAAUUCAAAAUUUAAAAAAUUGACUAAUUAAUAUUAUAAAUUGAUAAACCAAGACUAUUUCAAAAUGCAUUGGGGGCUAAGGGGGUUGAAAAUAGGGACAAUGGGAUGGGUUUGGGACAUGACACUCAUAUCUCAUUUCCAUUCCAAUUACACAGUUAUCUCCCAUCCUUAUCCCAAACUUGUGUUGGAGCAAGUUGAUUUGUUCCCAUCUUUGUUGACGAAAUGACUAAUAACCUCAUCCCCUCCUUAUCUUAGAUGUACAUUUUGUCAAAUUUGAUCAGGUAUGAUUGAUCCAAGCCCUAACCCUAAUUGGUAAUGAGUGAAUACUACACCUAAUUGCAUUCUUCUUUCAUUGCAAAAUAAUGAGAUUAUAAUAAUCUAGCAAAUAAGAAAAAAUAGUAUGGAAGUUCAAAUUAACACCAUAACUAUCAAUAAUUUUAAGCUUAUAGAUGACUUAAAUGAUUAAAAACUAAUGCAAAAUCCUAAAAAAAAUAAAAAUCAUAUAAAGAAUUCACAAGAGAACAGAAUGAACAAAAACCAAAUAUGAACAUGGGUCAACAUUAGUUAUGGAUUUGGAUUCCUUUCAAGGCCAAUCUUUGAACCAAGACUUCAUCAAAUCAACUACUUCAAAGGCUUUUGUGUUCUUCUUGGGUUGUGCUCUCAAACAAAGACUUCGAGGUGAUGUUCUAGAUGAUUGAAUUACACAUAUUUAGGGUGGAGAGAUUGGAGAAGCUUGAAGAUGCCAACGAUGGGUACAAUUGAGUGGUCAAUAAGAACAAUGUAGCCUAUGACUAGUUUGAUGUCAUGGUACAAGAGUUUUAGGCAUUGAGGUUAAAGCAAGAGCAACAUGGAAUUGAUUUCGGAGUCUUUCAGUUAGUGUAAAGGAGGAAGAAGUGGUGUUGAUUCUAGAAAUAGGGUUUUAAGUGGUGCGUGAUUACUACUCAAAAAGUGCUAUUUGAUAGCCUUUAAUUAAUCCUUUUUAACACUUUUGAGUAGUAGUUUAGGCCUUUUAACUCAAUUGGCAUGUUAAGGAUCCUUUAAAGCAAUUUUGAUCACUUUGUGCAAGUUUUGGUGUUUUUGUUAGUAUUUUGAUCACCAAAGCAAGUCAAGAAUGAGGAGAACUAUGAGGAAUCAUGGGCAAAGCUUAGAAUUCAAUUGCCAAGAGUGAAUCCGGAUUGCAAGGAGAAAAAGCAAAGAGAAUCUGUCAUGAAGCCUAUUCUUGAUGACAGUCGUAGCAGCCACUUUUGGAGCACUUUCUGAAGUCCAAAUGAUGCAAGCUAUAUACCAUUUCAAAGAUCAGGAAGUCAACAAUCCAAUGCUUCAAACGGUGCGCGAUUCGGAGUUGAAACGAAGAAGUUGCAGCCAUUACAAGCCAGUCACUCUAAAGUGUUGCGGAAUCAGCCUUUUGUUGCGAGAAUUUCGCAGCACUUUUGUACAGUAAGGUGUUUCUCCUUCUGACGAUGCACGAACCAUGCCGCGAGAGGGAAGCUAGGAACUUCAAGAUGGAAGCCAACUUUGCAGCCUGGUGAAGAUAGCUUGGUCUUGCGAAAUAAUUUCGCAGCCCUCUUGGGUGUCUGCGAAAUUUCGCAGGCACCACUUUUUUCCUGCGAAAUGGCUCCGGAAGCCUCCCGAAGCUUGCUACCGACAUUGGGAGAUAUUUUCCAUUAGAUUUUUGUUGUCUAAAUUCCAAAAUACUCCUUGUAAACCACCAAUUACAUGAUUCCUUAGUUUUUAAGUUAGUAAAAAGACCAAAUAUCUAUGUAAUAAUUAGUUUUAUAUUAGUUUGCUAUAAAUACCUCUCGGGAGCAUGUUCUCAGAGAGGAGUUCCUUCUGUAACCAUUUUGGUAAGCAAGUAAAGUCUUUUCUUUCUACUGCCUUACCUUCUCACUUUGUAUUUUCAUUUUAUUUCUAAGUUAUGAAUUCUCUGAGGAGCUUUCCCCAGAGAAUGAGUAACUAAACCUCCAAUUCCUUGGAGCUAAGGUUGCCGGGGAAGGUUCCAAGUGCAAGAAUGCAAAGCUCUGUGGUUUUAGCUAGUAAUGAAGAGGAAGUGAAAUCCUUUAGUGAUUUCAAUGUUUUUAGUUAACUUAAAACACCUUGGAGUCACCUGGGCCAACACUUGGUAAGGCAAGUGAUUUCCAACCGUGGAAAUGCACUAGUUUACCCCUUGCGAGCCUCUGGUAGGUGACUUCAAGGUAGGAUUUUCUGGAAUUACCAACACUUGGUAAGCUUUUGGACUCCUAGGAGACAUCCAUUAGUUAUCUCUUGCGAGUUUGUGAAGGGGAAUCCAAGGUUAAAGAUCACCUUGAAUGGUAAGUGCUCGUGAGAGGCAUGAACCAUUGCAAGUUGUAUCAGUGAGAGAAUUAAAGUGAAAUCUAAUUGAAGGAGUCUCUGUACAUCACCGGUUAGAGAAUUGACUAUAAGUUGAAUCUCUAAUGCGAGGAAAUGAACCAUCUGACCGGAGCUAUGUCUUUUGCAUGAGGAACCACCCCAGUGAACCUAAAUCUCCAAGGAAUGCUUUUCUUCCUAAAUUAUUCCAAACUUCUGUUAAGUUAGUUAGUUUAAGUCUAAACCUUUACCAAUCAAACUUUGUGUUUUAUUUCUUAAGCUAACCGUGAAAUGAAACAAAACCAAUUCACUUGGAAUUGGUAUCCUUGAUUGCUUGCAAAUCAUUCCCAGUGAACGAUCCUUAGAGCCACUAUACUAUAGUAGCUUUGUAUUUGCUACCCUAGUGUAUGGUGUUAUAGGUAUAAAUUUUGUUGAUCACUUCCUCAAUCAAGGAACACCAGCUGAACACAAAUCAGCUGAGACACCAAUUGGGCAUGAGUCAAAUGGCGCCGUUGCCGGGGAAUGAGUGUCAAGAUCAUUGUGAUACCAUUUUUGAGCACUUGUGAUUUUCAUCACAAGUUGGUAAAGUUUCUUUCACUUUACUAAUUUUCAUUCUCUCUUUGUUUAUUUACAAUCUAAGUUUAUCUUUUUAAAAUUUAGUCUAGUUUAAUUUUGCUAUUGUAGCCUUGUUUCUCUUGUUGUCCUCUGUUCUUGUUGUCCUCUGUUUUCAUUUUAGUUGCAGCUGAAUACUAGUUGUGUAUGCCAAAGUGGAUACGAGACAUUGGAGGUAGGCUUAUUAAGUGUGAUACACCUCAGAGAGGAGAAUUGGAAGUAAUCUUGAAUAUCAUGGAGGCUGCACCUGAAGAUCAGCAUAGUCACCAAGGUCGUCAAGACAAUCUCAAUGAAUUCAGAUCAAUGAGGGACCGUAUGCAUCCACCUCGUAUGAGUGCACCAUCAUGUAUAGUGCCCCCUACAGAGCAACUAGUGAUCAGACCAUAUCUUGUUCCACUUCUACCAACUUUCCAUGGGAUGGAAAGUGAGAAUCCGUAUGCACACAUCAAGGAAUUUGAAGAUGUUUGUAAUACAUUCCAAGAGGGAGGAGCUUCAAUUGAUUUGAUGAGGCUUAAGUUAUUUCCUUUUAAUUUAAAGGAUAAGGCCAAAAUUUGGCUUAAUUCUUUAAGGCCAAGGAGUAUCCGCUCUUGGACUGAUUUACAAGCUGAAUUCCUCAAGAAAUUUUUUCCUACUCAUAGAACAAAUGGCUUGAAAAGGCAAAUUUCAAACUUCUCAGCUAAAGAGAAUGAGAAAUUCUAUGAGUGUUGGGAAAGAUACAUGGAAGCUAUAAAUGCUUGUCCUCACCAUGGCUUUGAUACUUGGCUACUGGUGAGUUAUUUUUAUGAUGGUAUGUCCUCCUCAAUGAAGCAACUCCUCGAGAAAAUGUGUGGAGAAGAUUUCAUGAGCAAAAAUCCAGAGGAAGCUAUGGAUUUCUUGAGCUAUGUAGCUGAUGUUUCAAGGGGAUGGGAUGAACCAACUAAAGGAGAAGUGGGAAAGAUGAAGUCUCAGUUGAAUGCUUACAAUGCAAAGGCUGGGAUGUAUACUUUAAAAGAGGAUGAUGACAUGAAAGCAAAGUUGGCAGCUAUGACAAGAAGAUUGGAGGAGCUGGAGCUGAAAAGAAUGCAUGAAGUGCAAGCUGUUGCUGAAGCACCAGUGCAAGUGAAGUUGUGUCCCAAUUGUCAAUCGUUUGAACAUUUGGUAGAGGAAUGCCCUGCAAUUUCAGCUGAAAGGGAAAUGUAUAGAGAUCAAGCAAAUGUUGUUGGACAAUUCAGGCCCAAUAACAAUGCUCCUUAUGGAAAUACCUACAAUUCAAGUUGGAGGAAUCAUCCAAAUUUUUCAUGGAAGGCCAGAGCAACUCAAUACCAACAGCCGGAUCCACCAUCUCAACAAUCUUCAAGUAUUGAACAAAUAAUAGCUAAUCUCAGCAAGGUAGUGGGAGAUUUUGUGGGAAAGCAAGAAGCCACCAAUGCUCGAGUGGAUCAAAGAAUGGACAGAGUGGAUCAAAGAAUGGACAGAAUGGAGAGUAUGUUGAACAAAAGAAUGGAUGGAAUGCAAAAUGAUAUGAAUCAAAAAUUUGAUAACAUCCAAUAUUCAAUUUCAAGGCUUACAAAUUUGAAUACACUGCAAGAAAAGGGAAGAUUUCCUUCUCAACCUAACCAAAAUCCCAAAGGUGUCCAUGAAGUGGAAAGCCAUGAGGGAGAAUCAUCACAGGUGAAAGAUGUGAAAGCUUUGAUCACUCUAAGGAGUGGUAAGAAAAUUGAGCAGCCAACACCCAAGCCACAUGUUGAGAAAGAAGAAGAGAUGAAGAAAGGGAAGGAAAUGGAAGAUAAAGGCAGUGAGAUCAGUGAAGAAAAGAAGGACUCUGAUGCAACAAUGAAAGUAAUUCCAGAGAAGGAGCUUCUGAAGGAAGAAAUGCUGAAGAAAUCAACUUUUCCACCUUUUCCUCAAGCAUUACAGGGGAAAAAGGGGGUUAGAAAUGCAGCUGAAAUCCUAGAAGUAUUGAGGCAAGUGAAAGUUAAUAUUCCACUGCUGGAUAUGAUCAAACAAGUUCCAACGUAUGCAAAAUUCCUAAAGGACUUGUGUACUAUCAAAAGAGGGUUGACUGUAAACAAGAAAGCCUUCUUGACUGAGCAAGUAAGUGCAAUCUUACAGUGUAAGUCUCCUUUGAAGUACAAAGACCCUGGAAGUCCUACCAUUUCAGUCAUGAUUGGAGGAAAGGUAGUGGAGAAAGCCUUGCUAGACUUGGGAGCAAGUGUGAAUUUGCUUCCAUAUUCUGUCUACAAGCAACUGGGACUUGGAGAGUUGAAGCCAACAGCAAUCACUUUGUCUCUGGCAGAUAGAUCAGUGAAAAUUCCAAGAGGGGUAAUUGAGGAUGUAUUGGUUCAAGUAGAUAAUUUCUACUAUCCUGUAGAUUUUGUUGUUCUUGAUACAGAUCCUACUGUAAAGGAAGCUAAUUUAGUUCCUAUCAUCCUUGGAAGGCCAUUUCUUGCAACUUCAAAUGCAAUCAUCAACUGUAGAAAUGGGCUUAUGCAACUCACUUUUGGUAACAUGACACUGGAUCUAAAUAUUUUCUAUAUGUCUAAAAAGCAAAUCACUCCAGAAGAAGAAGAGGGUCCAGAAGAGCUAUGUAUUAUUGAUACUUUGGUGGAGGAGCACUGCAAUCAACAUAUGCAAGAUAAGUUGAAUGAAAGUUUUGUGGAUAUUGAGGAAGGUUUUUCUGAAUCUCCUAAUGGGCUUGCUACUCUACAAAGUUGGAGAAAGAUAGAAGGAAUUCUACCUUUGUUCAAUGAAGAAGAGGAGGCAGCUGUUGAAAAAGAAAUUCCAAAACUCAAUCUGAAGCCUUUACCUAUGGAGCUGAAAUAUACAUAUCUUGAAGAAAAUAAUCAAUGUCCUGUCGUAAUAUCUUCAUCUCAAACCAAGUCUCAAGUGAAGGAUGCAAGCUUCAAAUGGGAUCCGGGCAAACUGAAUCAGGAAGGGCAAAAAGUUUUGAUGUAUGACACAAGACUCCAUAUCUUUCCUGGGAAGCUCAAGUCAAGGUGGAUUGGUCCAUUUGUUAUUCACCGAGUAUAUUCCAAUGGAGUGGUGGACUUAUUGAAUUCCAAUGGCAAGGACAGCUUUAGAGUCAAUGGAUAUCGUCUUAAGCCGUUCAUGGAGUCAUUCAAAUCAGAAAAGGAGGCAAUCAACCUCCUUGAACCUCAAAAAGCCUAAGUGAAAUGGGUUUGCUGGACGUGGUUUUACCACAGUCCAAAAAUUUUUGUAAAUUUUGUAAAUUUUCAAGUUGUUUCCAUGCUUUUAAUCUUAGUUUUUGAUUUUAAAUCAUGUUUUUAGGUGUGUUUUAAUCGUUUUAUAUGAUCCCAGGCGGAAGAAAUUUCAAGGGGAUUGAAAAGAAAAAAAUCGGGUCGAAAUUGGAGCCGAAACAGAGCAAAAACAGGGGAAAAACAGAGCUCUGCGAAAUUUCGCAGGGUGAAGGAAACUUCUGCGAAAUUGGCAUUUUGCUGCCAAACCAUUCCGCAGCACUGUAGAAGCCUCUGCGAGUGUAUUUCGCAAUUGCGAAAGUGGAUUUGGCACACGAGUGCCACUUCGCAGCACAGUGACAUCAAUUUCGCAGCUGCGAAACUCACUGCGAAGUUGCUGCGAAAAUGGCAAGUUGCUGCGAAAUUGGCGUUUUGUUGCGAAACGUAAUCUGACCCCUGGGCUUCCGUUUUUCCUAUUUAUACCUGUCAAAAGUGCUGCGAAAAAGGUUUCAAAAAUUAGAGCACCAUUCUCGCAGCCCUUUCAUCUUCUUCGCCAAGCCACGCCGUCCGUUUCUCCGGUCGUCUUCUCCGUUUAGCAGCGCCGGCCAAAGAUCGAUAGCCCAAAAAUGGCACGAACGCGAGGGGCAAAGUCUUCAUCCCCUUCGAACCGCAAAAGGAGUCUGCGAAAGGAGCCAAGUUCAGGCUCUGUUCCAGAACCUGCUCCAAAGCCUUCGCCGUCGAGACCACAACCUUCUCCAGUGAAGCCGGCGCCACCAAAGCCGCCGGCAAGGCGAUAUUUAACCAGGUCAGGUGGUCAGCCAUUGAAGAAGAAAGCCAGAGUUGAGAGCUCUGAACCAAUCGAUUUGACUGAGCAAUCCCCUGAGAAAUCACCAAAUCCUUCACCGGUACAAAUUCCAGUGCCAUCACCGGUUCCCUCGCCAAUUCCCUCACCAGAAGCAACUCCAAUUCCAUCGCCGGUACCAUCUCCGGCACCCCAAGAAAAAGCUCAGGAGCCUCAAGCGCCAAUUCCAGAGCCCCAAAUUGCAGCUGAAGCACCUCUGGAAGAAGUGAUCCGAAGGCCAAUGCUGCCUCAGCCCCCAAUCGAAGGAAACCUGGAUUGCCGAACUCGGGCAUUCCAUUCUGAGCUUUGCUUCGAUUUAACAGCAUUCAGAGUGAGGCCAGAGCUUGCCCAAUCCUUCCAACUGCUGAGGAGAUAUCAUAUGGAGCAUCUGCUAGCUCCAAGGGAUUUUUUCUAUCCCCGGGUAGUCACGGAUUUCUACCAAACCAUGACAACCAAAGAAGUAAGAAAUCCAACUCUGAUUCAUUUCAUAAUUGAUGGAAGGCAUGGUAUUUUGGGAGCAAGACAUAUUGCUGAAGCCCUGCAAAUUCCUUUUGAGCCAACUCAAUUCGACAAUUUUAAAGCUUGGACAAAUCCUACUGAGUUAGAGAUGGUUAGCACACUAACCAGAGGAGCUGCAAAUCGAUCGCAUUUGUUGAGGGGGGAGCUACCUCCAGUUAUGUUUUUGAUUGAUGCCUUUUUGAGGCAUAAUAUCUAUCCCCUGCAGCAUUGGACCCAAAGAAGGGGAAUUCUCCUAGAAGCCUUGUACAAAAUGUCUGAAGGAUUCUUCUUUGGGCCUCAUCAUCUGAUCAUGGCAGCCCUUCUAUACUUUGAGGAGAAGGUUCACAAGAAGAAGCUUCAAAGAGCAGAUUGCAUUCCACUCCUCUUCCCAAGGCUGCUAUGCCAAGUUUUGGAGCAUCUCGGAUACCCCUCUGAGCCUCAGCAGGAAAGAAAGAGAAUAUGCCGUGAGCCUUUUACCCUUGAUAAAUGGAAUAAUAUGACGGCCUACAAAAUUGAUCAGCCUGGGCAGCCUCAGCCAGCAGCAAGGAGAGUCUCCCCAAGACAUAUACCUGAAGGUAUAACACUUGCUACUCCUGCCAUCCCUCGAGCUCCACCAGCUGCACCUGCUCCAUCACAGCCAUCCACAUCAGCUGAGCCGAGGAUGGCCAUCCCUAUAUCCGAAUAUCGAGAGCUGUGCCGUGCAUUGGAGACUCUUACAGCUUCUCAGAGCAAUCUUGCUCAGGAGUUGGCAGCCAUUAAAGCAUGCCAGGAGCAGAUGUUAGCCUCUCAGACUCAACAAGCUGCCAUCCUAAGGCAGCUUCAAGUCCAUUUCGAUCUGCCACAAGCUGUAGAGCCCUCUAUUCCUACUCCACCAGAGCCACACUCUCAGCCUUCAGAGUCUCAUCCUCCAGAACCCGAAGCACCAGCUGAUCCACCUACUGAGGAGGCAGAUCCUUCUGCCUAGCACCAUCACCCCCCUCAUCAGACAUUAUAUAUAUAUUUGCUGUUUAUGUUUUUAUGCAUGUUUGUUUUGUUUUAGUUGAAAAGAAAUCCCAGUAUUUUGGUACUAUAUAUGGGAUUCCUUGUGUUACUUGUCUUUAGUAUUGUAAUCACAUGAACUCAAAGUAAUACAAGUUGACUAUUUCUUGUUAAAAGUUAGCAUUAAAGUUUCCUUAUUUCCUUUUCUCACAUAUUCUAUUCUUUUUGAAACAUGUGGUUUUCCCCAAUCAAUAUUCGAAUUUGAUAUCAGCAUGGAGGUACCACUUCCUCCCUUUUAUUACAGUCACUCAAAUCACAUUGAGGACAAUGCUCAGUUCGGUUGGGGGGUAUGAGGAAGGAAGUAUUCUAAACCUUUUUGGUAUUGCAAUUAUAUUGGUUAAUUAGUUGUAGAUUUUACUUUUUACUAGUGUUACUCUAUUCUCCAUGAAUUUUGAGGAAAAAUUUUCAAAUUAAACCAAGAGAAAUUGAACUGUUGUUUUUCACUUGACUUAGAGUAUGGAUUAUGCUUACUAAAGUGGUUCAAUUGUUGAAACUUCUACUGAAAUUGAAUUGAGUUCUUCCACUUUAAGCUAUCCACACACUGUGCACAUUAGUUUCCGAUUAUAAGAUGAAAAGCUAUUUCCCUCUUGACUUAGUAUAUUUUUGGGACUUGGUAUAUUUGACCUCAUUUGAUAAAAAUUGAAACACCCUGCAAAAGGCCAAUGAGCCUUUGAAAUAAAGAAAGUUGUUUGCUUGCCUUGAAACCCGAGCAAGGUCUGAGGGGUAUAUGGUGAAAAUCUUUAAAGCCUGGUGCCCUAAGCCUUAAUUGGUUGGGAGUCACCGACCUCAAUGCUCGUUACAAGGGUGAAUAGGUAGAGUUAGCAUAUGGUAGAUGCUUGGGUAUUAGAAAUUCAUUCUUAAAAGUCCGGGGAAAAAUCCGAGGAGUUAGUGGUUGAAAGAUCCUUAAAACUUGGUGCCCUAAACCUUAAUUGGUUGGGAGUCAUCGAUGGACCCCCAUUACAUGGACAAGUCAGAAAGAGUACCCCAUAAAGCUACCUUAAAAAAAAAAAAAAAAAAAAAAAAAAAAAAAAAGAUGAAAGUGUGUUCUUUUCUUAUUGAUUUUGGUCAGUUUGCUAAAGUGUUGAAAAGAGAUAGGUUGGGGGGUGAGAUUAGUAGCAUAUUAUUCUCGGAACCUAAGGAACCAAUACACAUAGAUUUUUGUGGAAGAUUGAAGUUUAGUUCUUAGAAAAUGAAAUGAUUUUAAAACUUCAGUUUGCAUAAUGCACUCCCUUGAUUGACAGUGUUUAGCAUAGGUGUUAUGACUCUUGUUGAGAUUUGGGUUUGUAUUUCUUUAAUGAUUCAUGUGAGAAAUAGAUCAUCAUGCCACUUGAGAAUUAUUUUCCUUUUAGCAUGAUGUUGUAAAUUUUAGAUUAGUUUGCUAUUUAUUUUUUAUUUUCUCUCCUAUAUUGCUAAGGGACUAGCAAUAUGUCGGUUGGGGGGAGUGAUUACUACUCAAAAAGUGCUAUUUGAUAGCCUUUAAUUAAUCCUUUUUAACACUUUUGAGUAGUAGUUUAGGCCUUUUAACUCAAUUGGCAUGUUAAGGAUCCUUUAAAGCAAUUUUGAUCACUUUGUGCAAGUUUUGGUGUUUUUGUUAGUAUUUUGAUCACCAAAGCAAGUCAAGAAUGAGGAGAACUAUGAGGAAUCAUGGGCAAAGCUUAGAAUUCAAUUGCCAAGAGUGAAUCCGGAUUGCAAGGAGAAAAAGCAAAGAGAAUCUGUCAUGAAGCCUAUUCUUGAUGACAGUCGUAGCAGCCACUUUUGGAGCACUUUCUGAAGUCCAAAUGAUGCAAGCUAUAUACCAUUUCAAAGCUCAGGAAGUCAACAAUCCAAUGCUUCAAACGGUGCGCGAUUCGGAGUUGAAACGAAGAAGUUGCAGCCAUUACAAGCCAGUCACUCUAAAGUGUUGCGGAAUCAGCCUUUUGUUGCGAGAAUUUCGCAGCACUUUUGUACAGUAAGGUGUUUCUCCUUCUGACGAUGCACGAACCAUGCCGCGAGAGGGAAGCUAGGAACUUCAAGAUGGAAGCCAACUUUGCAGCCUGGUGAAGAUAGCUUGGUCUUGCGAAAUAAUUUCGCAGCCCUCUUGGGUGUCUGCGAAAUUUCGCAGGCACCACUUUUUUCCUGCGAAAUGGCUCCGGAAGCCUCCCGAAGCUUGCUACCGACAUUGGGAGAUAUUUUCCAUUAGAUUUUUGUUGUCUAAAUUCCAAAAUACUCCUUGUAAACCACCAAUUACAUGAUUCCUUAGUUUUUAAGUUAGUAAAAAGACCAAAUAUCUAUGUAAUAAUUAGUUUUAUAUUAGUUUGCUAUAAAUACCUCUCGGGAGCAUGUUCUCAGAGAGGAGUUCCUUCUGUAACCAUUUUGGUAAGCAAGUAAAGUCUUUUCUUUCUACUGCCUUACCUUCUCACUUUGUAUUUUCAUUUUAUUUCUAAGUUAUGAAUUCUCUGAGGAGCUUUCCCCAGAGAAUGAGUAACUAAACCUCCAAUUCCUUGGAGCUAAGGUUGCCGGGGAAGGUUCCAAGUGCAAGAAUGCAAAGCUCUGUGGUUUUAGCUAGUAAUGAAGAGGAAGUGAAAUCCUUUAGUGAUUUCAAUGUUUUUAGUUAACUUAAAACACCUUGGAGUCACCUGGGCCAACACUUGGUAAGGCAAGUGAUUUCCAACCGUGGAAAUGCACUAGUUUACCCCUUGCGAGCCUCUGGUAGGUGACUUCAAGGUAGGAUUUUCUGGAAUUACCAACACUUGGUAAGCUUUUGGACUCCUAGGAGACAUCCAUUAGUUAUCUCUUGCGAGUUUGUGAAGGGGAAUCCAAGGUUAAAGAUCACCUUGAAUGGUAAGUGCUCGUGAGAGGCAUGAACCAUUGCAAGUUGUAUCAGUGAGAGAAUUAAAGUGAAAUCUAAUUGAAGGAGUCUCUGUACAUCACCGGUUAGAGAAUUGACUAUAAGUUGAAUCUCUAAUGCGAGGAAAUGAACCAUCUGACCGGAGCUAUGUCUUUUGCAUGAGGAACCACCCCAGUGAACCUAAAUCUCCAAGGAAUGCUUUUCUUCCUAAAUUAUUCCAAACUUCUGUUAAGUUAGUUAGUUUAAGUCUAAACCUUUACCAAUCAAACUUUGUGUUUUAUUCCUUAAGCUAACCGUGAAAUGAAACAAAACCAAUUCACUUGGAAUUGGUAUCCUUGAUUGCUUGCAAAUCAUUCCCAGUGAACGAUCCUUAGAGCCACUAUACUAUAGUAGCUUUGUAUUUGCUACCCUAGUGUAUGGUGUUAUAGGUAUAAAUUUUGUUGAUCACUUCCUCAAUCAAGGAACACCAGCUGAACACAAAUCAGCUGAGACACCAAUUGGGCAUGAGUCAGUGCGUUAGAGGAUCAAGAAGAAGAAAAAGAAGGAACUGUUGGAAUUAGUAUGAGUGUGAAGAGAAAAGUAUAUAAAUAAGGGGAAGUAAAAGCAAAGUUCAAAAAGCUAUAUUUUUUUAUUGUUGGUGUAUGGUUGCAUGAUUAUCCCUAUAAAUAAUAGGAGUUUUUUGGUAUUCUACUAGUAGUUGAAGCAUAAUUUCAUAAAUUAAUAUUUAGAGCGGGGUGGGGUGAGUUGUGACAAAAUUCAUACCCGUCCCAAACCUUGGUUCAGAUUUUUAAAAUAUUCUCAAACUUAUCAUAUACCCAACUUUUAUAUUUCAUACUUGUCCUAAUAGAGGCACGUUAGGCCGGGUUACUUGAGUAACCUACAUAAUUGUCAUCCCUAGUUGAAAUACACUUUUUGGCAGUGGCCACCAACUGAGCUAGAAGCUUGAUUGAUUGACCUACAAGAUUAGUUCUCAUCAUUUUAAAAAAAGUUCUGGCUUUGGUUGUGAGUGCAAUUGAAUCUAAACUGGCAUUUGCUUAAUGCAUCUACUUCAAUCCUAAACUUCUUACUUCUUAAGCCUCAAUUGUUGUUAGGAUUUUGGAAAACCCAUUUCCUUAAAUUGUAAAUUUAAGAUAAAAUAAAAUAAAAGUGAGACAUUUCUUGAUUGAAUAUUGUUAAAGGUCCCUUGGCAUUAAGACUUGGUUGAAGCCUUGGAAGAUUAGUGGAACUCUCAACAUGUGUUUGAAUCUUGAGGAGAGUGGAUGUAAGCCAAAAUUUUGUCAAACCAUUAUACAAAUUGAGUUUGAAUCCUCAUUUCUUGAUUUCUUAUUUAUUUGCUUUUUCUUAUUAUUACUUGAAUUGUCAUUUGCAUUCAUUAAUGUUAAAAUUGGUUAUAAUUAACCAACACUAAUUCUCUUUCCCCUUCCCUUUCUUGGGUGUAAACCUAGGUUGGAUUAACUAGAUAAAUCUAUUAAGAUGGUAAAAGAAUAAUUAUUCUUAACAUACAUAAGAUCAUCUUCAAUCAAAUGACUCAUUGGCUAAUAUGUUGAAUUUGCUUAUUACUUGCAACUCAAAAUUGUGUUCUAGUUGUGUCAAGUCCCCAGUGUAUGGACAUUAAAUUUGUAGUACGUGAUGAGUAAUUAGAUGGUCCAACUCCAAGAAAGUGAUUGAAAAGUAGUUCAAGAAAGGUGCAAAAGGGAAUUGUUUUGGUAUUUUCGUUUUUAUUCUUGAAGGUGGCAGAGCUAAAAUUUGAGAAAUCAAGCAAAACAUACUGAAAUUACAUUGAAAGAAAGAAGAUGGGAGUUAAUGUCUUGCAGUACAUGAUAAGGACUUCAUGCAUGUAGUGUGACCCAUGUCUUGGACUGAUGCCAACUCACGGUUACACUUAUACCCUUGGUUCUCUCUUUACUACCUUGGCUAACCUAGAUCAGGCUAUGAGAUAGGCUCCUCACCACACCAUUACUUGCCCAUUAAUUAGAGACAUUUUCAAGCAAUGAGGUAACAUGGUGACACCAAGAGGGUCUAUUCCUCGCCCGGAACAAGUCUAGACUUGGUCUCAAAAAAAUGGAGAAAAAUGAGGUGUCGUUAUGUAGAAAUACAACAACCAUGCCUUCCUCAUUACUUAGAUUCAGAAUGUGAAGGUGAAAUUGAGAAACAGAAACUCUUGAAACCAAAAUGAAAAUUGAUACUUUUACGAAGAAUUACAACAACAUUAGAGGAAGACUACAUUCUUCCUCUUUAUUCCUACAUUUCUACACUACUUCUACUCCACUCCAUAUUUCUACAUACAUCUUUAAUCAGUCUUCCCUCCUUUAUAUAGAGCCAUCUUCACACAAAUUUCGCAAGGUAGAAAAGAGGAAUGAAACUUGGAGCAAGGUUCGACUACUGGUUGUAGCUUGUCAAGGCUGGAAGUGAACUUUUCUUGGCUUUCUGGGCAUGGGUAGUAACUUGUGGGUUCCUGUUUGGCAUAAAAAUGGCUAGAACAUGUGGCACUAUCUUGUUGGAUGAUGUGUCAAGCAUGUGGCAGCCAUCUAGUGGCGAUUAUGUCAAUUUUGGGAUGGAGAGUUGGCAUCCAAUUGCAAAGAAAUAUGACGUCUACCAACAUGCAAUGUAAACCUAUGUAGAUCAUAUGAAGAUAGAGAGGAAAAAUAUAGAAAUGGAUAUAUACCUAGAACUAGCUUUUUAUUAAAUGAAACGGAGAGACAACAAUGAAGGAAAAUAAAAUUUUUUGGCUUAUAUCAAAGAGUUCACAUUGUGUUACCCUAGGUUUUCUUAAAACUUACUUUUAUGAUAACAAAAAAGAAAAAACCAUUAUUGUUUAAUCCUUUGUUUUAAACGCAUGUAAGGUGUAAUUAAGUUAGUUCAAUGCAUUAAUUUAAGAAACUUGACCUAUCAAAAGUACAAAAUUAGAUGAAAUCCAUUUCAAUGGUUAAAAUGAUCAAAAUCAAACUUUUUCUAAGUAUUUUUUAAAAGCAUCAAUAGUGAAAGACAAUUUUAUAUUUAGUCGGAGUUUGGACAAAACUGAAAAACACACAAAAUCCAAGCGACCAUCUCUAGCUUGGAUGGUCGCUUGAUCCCACCUAGAGAUGUGCAUGAGUAAAAGGAUUUGAAAAUGGAAAUUGACUAUGUAGUCGAUCAAUUAACUUUGCAACAUCAUAUGCAAUCCUAAUUGCUAGUCAUCUAAUCAAUUAGGUAGUCAAUCAACAGGCCAAAAAUAUGUUUAUAAUGACUAUUUUGUACAAAAACCACCUGUAUAGUUAAAUAUAAUGCAUUUCAUUUAUAAAUCUUCUAAUUCUUGAAUAACGAUCCUAUCAUCCUUUGAAAGUUUUUAUUACACUUUUUUUACUUUUGUUCUAAAACUUACACAUCACCCUUAAUUGUACCAUGAGAACCUAGCUAUUUUUUAUUUUUUUUUUUGUAAUUCAUCAAAGUUAGCUUUUGUAUUCAUUGUUGUAUUAUUUUUAGUAUAACUUAGAAAGCUAGUGUUUUCAAGUGAGUAAAAUUAACUUGUAAAUAUUGUAAAGAUUCAUCGACAUGUAUCUUAAACUAAGUGUACAAGUUAAAACAUUUGCUAGUAGAUUUUCUCAAAAUUUAGAAUAGAGCUUGAGACUAUUGAAAUAGGUGGGGUUGCACCAAACCACAUCACAUCGUUGUUUGCACCUUUUUUCACUCUCUUUUACUUAGUUGCUCUAUAUUUGUUGUCUAGUAAUAUCCUAUAGGCUUGAUGGGUUAGGGAGCAUCCCUUUGUGAAAAAAUUUUAUUCAAUCCUUAGUUGUAUCACGCAUAUAUAAAAUGCCUCAUUGUUUUAAUGGUAUUCAGUCGUGGCAUCACAGAUAUGGGCAUCUAAAUUUUAAAAGUUUGAAACUUUUAUCUAAAGAAAAUAUGGUGCUUUGCCUUUUUGUAAAGCAUGUUGAUGAAAUCCAUGAGAAUUGUGUACUUGGGAAGCAACACCGAGAUGACUUUUUUUUUUUUUUUAUAAUAUUGUUUGUCCAAAUUCCCUACAAAUUAGGCCACCAGAUGUUCAUAAUUCUCCCUUCUUGAAUUUGAAAACUCGGACAAUUGGACAAUGCGACACCUAAGUCCGGUUUCUAAAUGCUAAAGUGAAAGGGUAGGUAUGGACCAUUGAAAUGUGAUCACAACUUUUCUCUGUAGCCAUGUUGUCUCUUUUUUCUUUUGCAUGAUUUUCUUACCUUAACAGAAUCAUAGACUUGUUUAGUCUCUAAAUGGGAUUAAUUUCAUCCAGCUUUAAGCUACUAUAUUAUAUCUAGGUGGAGGACUUUUAAGAGUGCAACCGACAUAGAGCACAUGGAAGUGGGUAUAUGGGACAUGAAAUUUCUUCUUAUAAAGAUUGCAUGAUUUUUAUAUUAGAGUUGUUGAGGCGCUAUGUAUUUAGCUUGUUUUGCAGUUAAAUUAAUUGGAUAAGUAGACAUUGGCGUUUCUAAAUCUACUGUGAAGUGCUUCAUGUACGUGUGAAGUAUUAGAAAUUUCUUUCUUGGCAACUUGUUUUUCUUUGCGGUCUACUGAUAGGUUUGACUAAAAUUAUAUUCCCUGUCAUGCUAAUUAAUUUUCACGUGCAUGCUCAAAAGAAAAGUAUGACCUUAGUGCACCAAAAUCACUUUGAUUAAUUUGUGAUAGGUUUUUGUGCAUCAUGACAUUAGCCUUAUUCAUUUAGAUAAUGUUUAGUUUUUAGAAAGUAUUAAGAAAAGGAAAAUAAAUAUUAAGAAAAAUAUUCUUAUAUUUGAUUGUAUUAUGAAAAAUAUCAUAAAAAAAUCAAAUAUAAUUUAAAUUAAUUAAUAAUUUAUACAUUUUCAAAUUAUUUAAUCUUUAUAUUGAAGAUAUAAUAUAAAUGAAAUGAGUUUUAAGUAUUAUAUAAAAGUGAUUUAUUGAUCUUACAUAUAUAUAUUUCUUUUUUUUUUCCUUCUAUUUUUUCUCUUUAUUUUAUUUUCCUUAUGUUUUCCUCAACAUUUUCCGGAACCAAACAUAGCCUUAGGAAAUCCACAAUUACCUUCAACUGAGUAGAUUCUGUUGUUUUAGCAAUGUUAGGCUGCUAACUUGUGUUGGUACGAACCUAUUAAGCCUAAAGAUGUAAUUAGUUAGGAUAUUCUUUUCCCUCUAGUCUUGUAGCUCCACGUGUACAGUUGGUUAGGACCUCAUUGUAUAUAAUGCUUGCCCUGUUAUUGUAGAAGACAACAAAGAUAAAUAAUAUUAACAUUUUUCCUCUCAUCUCUCUCUGUUUCCCUCUGUUUUCAUCUCCUCUCUCAUCUUGGUAUCAGAGCCUCCAUGGCUUCUUUCAAAGAAACCUCCGAAUCACCUUCUGCUAGCAUUGUUAAUGUGCAAAACCCAUUAUCUCAAUCAAACAACCUUCCUUCACCAGUAGCCACACCCUCUUUUUCUUUCUCGUCUAUGAAUCAACCUCUCACAGUGAAGCUGGAUAAUGGGAACUACCUCAUAUGGAAGAAUUAGCUUCUAAAUGUCAUCAUUGCUAACGGACUCGAUGAUUUCAUUGACGGAUCUCGACCCUGCCCUCCUCGAUUUCUCGAUCUGCAACAACAAACCCUCAAUCCAGAGUACUCAGCUUGGCAGAGAUACAAUCGACUUCUGAUGAGUUGGCUGUACGCAUCCUUGUCCAAAGAUAUAAUGGCUCAGAUUGUUGGGUAUUCAACAGCUAUGGAGAUUUGGAAUGCCCUUAAUCAGAUUUACUCUGCCUCUUCUAUGGCGCGGUUUACUGAGCUUCGCACCAAGCUUCAAACGCUCAAGAAAGAUGGACUCUCAGUUGGUGAAUAUAUUCAAAGGCUCAAAUCCAUUUGCAAUAGUCUUGCAGCAAUAGGAGAACCAGUUUCUGAGAAAGACCAUCUUAUCUAUUUGUUCAAUGGAUUAGAUUGUGAGUAUUAUUCUUUUGUUACCUCCAUUCAAAAUCGAUCUGACCAACCAACUAUUGACAAAAUCCAUAGCCUAUUGCUUAGCUAUGACUUCCGGCUUGAACAACAAAACUCUGUUUCUCUCCAUUCUGCCCAAGUCCAUAUGGCUCAUCUGAACAAGAAACCUUAUAAAUCAACUCCUCAACCUACAUUCAAUCAUAUUCACAUUCAACCUAGAUACUCUUCUCCACCUUUUAAGCCAACCACUAGUCAAUAUCAACCCAACAUUUUGGGCAAACCACAACCACAACCAUGACAGCCUCAACCUCAAUGGAAACCACAUUUUUCAAUCUAAAAUCAAAAGCCUCAGCGCCAAAUUUGUGGUAAAUUUGGACACACUGCUCUUAUUUGCUUCCAUCACACAAAUUUGAACUAUUCACCCCAACCUUCUCCUAAAUCUUUCAAUACUGUUCUCACCACAAAUUCCCAGCUCCCUAAUCCUCCAAAAUUUUCUUACCCUACAAUGGCUCAUCCUGCUGCUACGCAUAACACGGUUCCCGAUACAAAUUGGUACAUGGACUCAGGUGCUACACAUCACUUUACUCUGGACAUCAACGUGCUUGACACUGUGACACCAUUUAGUGGUUCAGAACAGGUGACAGUUGGGAAUGGUAAGCAACUCUGUAUCUCACAUCUUGGUACUGCAAAACUACCAUCUUCGUAUUCUCCUCCUGUUCUACAUCAGGUAUAUCACACUCCAAAAAUUUCAAAUAAUCUUAUUAGUGUUAAAAAAUUGUGUUCUGAUAAUAAAGUUUUUGUUGAAUUUUAUGCCACUCAUUUUCUUGUCAAGGAUCAGGUUUCGAAGAGAGUUCUCCUUUAGGGUCAACUUGAUAAUGGCUUAUACAAAGUUCAGUCGUCAUGCUCUCCUUCUGCUGUUUCCUUUCCUCCUCAAGUUUUCAUAGCCAACAUCAAGUAUCCAAAUCUGUGGCACAAGAGACUAGGCCACCCAGCUUUAUCUGUUGUUAAUCAAAUCUUGGAUUCUUGUAACAUUGCUCGAACACAGAAAAUUUGUUUUAAUUUUUUAAAUUCUUGUCAAUUAGCAAAGAGCCACAGGCUUCCUUUUUCUCUGUCUCCAUCCAUUGCAGAAAAACCUUUUGAGUUAAUUCAUACAGACCUAUGGGGUCUUUCGCUCGUUCGCUCUAUUUCUGGUGCUCUUUAUUUUUUACUUUUCAUUGAUGAUCAUACUCGUUUUACUUGGUUUUAUUUGCUCAAAACAAAAGAUGAAGCAUAUCCUACUUUUCUCAAGUUUCAAGCUCUCAUUGAAAAUCAAUUUAAUACCAAGAUUAAGGCUGUCCAAUCUGAUUGGGGAGGUGAGUUUCGAUCUCUCUCCAUACCGUUUUCAAAUAUGGGCAUUGUCUAUUGUUUAUCGUGUCCAUACACCUCACAACAGAAUGGGCGAGUUGAGCGAAAAAAUCGCCAUGCGAUUGUCCUUUCUUGCUUGCUCUAUGCCCUUAUCUUAUUGGCCUUAUGCCUUUCAAACUGCCACUUACCUUAUUAAUCGUCUCUCUACCCCUGUGCUGCAUCAUCAAUCCUCUUACUUCGCACUCUAUCACAAACUCCCAACUUAUACUCAUCUUAAGGUCUUUGGUUCCUCUUGUUUUCCGUAUUUGCACCCUUAUAAUACCCAUAAACUCCAAUACAGGUCACUAGAGUGUGCUUUUCUUGGUUACAGUUCACACCACAAAGGUUAUCUAUGUCUUGACAUUCAUUCUAGCAGGGUGUAUAUUUCUCGCCAUGUGAUUUUUAAUGAAGAUUCUUUUCCAUUCAAGAAUUUGAAAUCUUCUCUCUCUCAGUCUAUUUCUUCUUCCUCUUCUUUAUAAGUUCCUCUGUUCAUUCUCUUGCCUCCCCUUUCCCCAUCUCCUCUUAUUUCUUCAUCUAUACCUCAUUCUUUUCCCUCUUCUUCUUCUACCUCUAGUACUUGUUCCCCUCUCGUUGCUCCUACCUCUCUUCCUUCCUCUUCACACUCUGUGUCUCCAUCUAUUCCACCUCCUUCUCCACCUUCUCCGAGUGUGGACCUGCUUGCACCUUGUGUGAAUACAAAUUUACAUACUUCUUCUCGCACUCACAAUAUUCAUCCUAUGGUGACUAGAUCUAAGGUUUGUAUCUAUAAACCUAAGUUGUUGUUGAGUGUCUCCAUAGGUUCUCUCACUAAGCCUACUUCCUUUCUUCAAGCUAUUAAAGAUCCUUCAUGGAAGCAAUCCAUGGAAUUCGAGUUUGCUACCCUUCAACACAACAAGACCUGGCAUUUGGUUCCUUCACCUUCCUCAGGCGAAGUAAUCGGUUGUAAAUGGGUCUAUAAGCUAAAGCUUCAGCCUGAUGGCUAAAUUGAGAGAUACAGCCUGCUUAGUAGCUAAGGGUAUCAUCAAAUUGAAGUAUGGACUACUUCGAAACAUUCAGCCUGAUNNNNNNNNNNNNNNNNNNNNNNNNNNNNNNNNNNNNNNNNNNNNNNNNNNNNNNNNNNNNNNNNNNNNNNNNNNNNNNNNNNNNNNNNNNNNNNNNNNNNAGCUUCAGCCUGAUGGCUAAAUUGAGAGAUACAAGGCCUGCUUAGUAGCUAAGGGUUAUCAUCAAAUUGAAGGUAUUGACUACUUCGAAACAUUCAGCCUGAUUGUCAAGCUUUCUACUAUCUGUAUUGUGCUCAGUCUUACUUUUUCCCAGAAUUGGUGUAUUAGACAGCUGGAUGUUCAUAAUGCCUUCUUACAUGGUGACUUAGCUAAAGACGUUUUCAUGGAACAACUGCCUGGAUUUGUUGAUCCUCUCUAUCCUACUCAUGUCUGCAAGUUGGAUAAGUCUCUCUACUGUCUUAAAUAGUCACCUCGGGCUUGGUAUACUAAGCUGAGUACUUCUCGCUACACUUGGGAUUUGUUACUUCUAAGAAUGACUCUUCCUUAUUUAUUUGUCAUUCGUCUCAUGGGUUACUUCUUGUUCUUGUCUAUGUGGAUGAUAUAAUCGUCAUUGGGAGCCACUCUCCUCAGGUUACUCACCUUAUCCAACAGUUGCAUCAUUAGCUUUCUUUAAAGGAUCUUGGUCCUUUACAUUAUUUUCUGGGCUUGGAGGUUCAUCACACCCCUACUGGUAUUCACCUCAGCCAAGCAAAGUAUAUCACUGAUCUCCUUACCCGGGCGGCUAUGUUGGAUGCCAAGCCAUGUCCCACUCCUAUGUCCUCCAACACAUAUCUCUCUUUUCAUGAUGGAGUGGCUCUUGAAAAUGGUUCAGAUUAUCGAAGUUUUGUUGGUGCCCUUUAGUAUUGUACCAUGACACGCCCAGAUAUAGCUUUUGCAAUAAAUAAAGUGUGUCAAUUCAUGCACCAUCCCUCUAAUGUUCACUGGCAGGCUAUAAAACGUAUUCUCCGGUACUUAAAGGGCACAUCUCAUUUUGGUCUCUUCCUACAGCCUUCCUAUGACUUCAACAUCACUUGCUAUACAAAUGCCGACUGGGCUUCCUGUCCUGAUGACAAGUGUAGCACCAGUGGCUACUGCCUCUUUCUUGCCUCUAAUCUGGUUUCUUGGUCAUCUUCCAAACAAAAAGUGGUCUCCCGCUCCAGCGCCGAAUCAGAGUACCGAGGGGUAGCAAAUGGGGCUGCUGAAAUUGCUUGGACUGAAUCUCUUCUUUGUGAACUUUCCAUUACUCCCCCUCCCCUCAUUCUCUGUGACAAUAUCAGUGCCACGUACUUAGCUGCCAAUCCUAUUUUGCAUGCCCGCACCAAACAUGUGGAAAUCGACUAUCACUUUGUCACGGAACGUGUUCUUCAAUGCUCUCUUUUUGUCCAGUUUACACCUUCUGAUGAUCAACUUGCUGAUUGCAUGACCAAGCCUCUCUCCACCCAACGUUUCAUCACUCUACGCUCCAAGCUCACUGUUCUCACUAGACCAAUGAGCUUGAGGGGGGAUGUUAAGCCUAAAGAUGUAAUUAGUUAGGAUAUUCUUUUCCCUCUAGUCUUGUAGCUCCACGUGUACAGUUGGUUAGGACCUCAUUGUAUAUAAUGCCUGCCCUGUUAUUGUAGAAGACAACAGAGAUAAAUAAUAUUAACAUUUUUCCUCUCAUCUCUCUCUCUGUUUCCCUCUGUUUUCAUCUCCUCUCUCAUCUGAACCAAAUGAUCCAUGUUAACCUUGGCUUGGUUUGAUUUGGCUCUAUCUUAGAGAGCUCAAGGAUCACGUCAACUCUGGUUUCUACUAUUCAGGUCCAUUCCCAUAUGAACUGGUUCAAAUUUGAGAAAAUGGUAACAGACCUUUAGUGAUGUUGGUUUGGAGCCAGUUGCCAAACCCGCCCUGAGCUUUACCACUAAUGUCAAGGGAGAAAGCCAUUUGAACAAAAACAAUAGCUUCAAGGGACUGAAUCGUGGAUGAAAUCUGAUCCACAUUUCUUCUCAUUUUGGAAACAAAUGAGAACUUAACUAAGAAGAUUCUACGGCCUCAUAGUGCUUUUCCUGAUCUAAGGUUGGUUCGUUUCCCAAACUGUGAGAUGCACGUGCCAGACUUCAGAACUCUCACGCUCAGGAGUGUAUCCACGUGGUGGACAUAAGAUGGUGGCUUAAGAUCUGGUGUCGGUGGCUUUACUUUACUAGGAGAGUAGUGUGUCUUCAUCUCAUUCACUGCCGGAGGGUGGCGUAAGCAGUGACGCUAAGGUGGGGCACAGUCAAUAUCAUUUGCAUUUGACCAUUAUAGUUUUCUCCCGGCUUUAAAGUAACCUUAUCGUGAUAAAGGAUUACUAGCACUAGUUCAGAUGAUAGUCAUGUUAAAUUCGGACCAUGUUUGUGUCACAUUAUCAGCAACCAUGUGUUUAUGGUUCAUGCUUUCUGCAACUAAAAUUGAUAUAUAACCAGGUGAACUUCAAUCUAAAUUCUGAAAGUACUCAUGUGAUAGAUGGUGCCCGUCUGCAGAGUCCAUCAAUUGAAAAAUGGAGUGAGUGUAUCUAUAAGAGGGAAGGCUUGGAAAAUGUUCAGUUUUCUGGGAAUUCAACAAGGAUCUAAAAUAGAUUGUUUUCUUUGCUGAUUUCAAUGGUUGAAAUUUGAGAAGAUUGUGUCCACAUAACACAACUAUUACUGGUCCUUCUGUUGCAAUUUAUCCUCUAAAGCUCUAGCAUGUCUUCCAAUUCCCACUUCCCUGUUACUCCAGGAAAGCUAUUUCUGUCAUUGUGAAGAAGAAAAGAGAAUGUACAUAUCGAUGCUUUUAAGUGACUGGAGCAUUUAUAUCAGGUGGUCUGCAGCCAUAUAUGCCACUUUGUGAAGAUUGGAACAGUCAAUCACUAGGCUAUAUAUUAGUGUGGCCCAGCCACUUUAAUCAAGGACAAGUCUUCAUACUUAAAGUCAAAUUCUGCCUUUAGUCUCAUUAUAAAUUUCUGUUUAAAUAUUAAGCAAACAUUUGUUUAAUGCGAUUAAGACAGUACUAACUCAAUACCUGUUCUAUUUUUGGAUGCAAAUGCUUGAUGGUUUCAUCAUUGGAUGGGAUAAAGGUGCAUUCAUGAUUAGGAAUACUAGUAGUUAUAUUUUAAUUCUCUUUUUUCUCAAUGAGACUUGUUGGCACAAUUUUGCUGUUGAGAAACCUACCUCUCCAUGGAAAAUAAGUUGUGAUUGAUAGUACUGGAUAUAUUCAAGAAAUCUAAAUAUAGAUAGCACAAAAUAUUAUCGACAUAAAUAGCAUUAACAGCGUACGUAUGUCUCAGUGCUCAUCAGCUAUAAGCAUGGGGCAAACACUUACUAUGAGCAACUUACGUCAAAAUUCCAGAAUAGGACAUAGAAGUGACAGAUAUAGAACAUUGCAUAUGAGUCACAAGAAAGGAAAUUACGGGUGCAUAGCAGCUCUUAUUUUACAUACUACUACUCAUACUGAUCAAAGUCACUCAGUUGGGAUGGGUGGGAGUAGGAGGUUUGUGGGGUGGCUUGUGCGGAGGAGUUGGCAGCUUCUUUCCAGGACCUGGUUGCUUCUCUGCUGGAGUUGAAGGAGGCUUAAUCUUCCGAGGUGGCUUGUAUGAGUCUUCAGCAUUCUCAGCUGGAGGGUGACCAGGGUUGUGACCAUAAUGUGGUGGCUUCUCUCCCUUAGGUGGUUUGCCAACUGGGGUUGGUGGCUUGUAUGAGUCUUCAGCAUUCUCAGCAGGAGGGUGACCAGGGUUGUGACCAUAAUGUGGUGGCUUCUCUCCCUUAGGUGGUUUGCCAACUGGGGUUGGUGGCUUGUGUUCUGGGAGUGGCUUCUCCCCCUUGGGAGGUUUUUCCAAUGGGGUUGGUUUGUGUUCAGGAGGUGGCUUCUCCACUGGAGGCUUGUGUUCAGGAGGUGGCUUCUCCACCGGAGGCUUGUGUUCAGGUGGUGGCUUCUCCACCGGAGGCUUAUGCUCUGGUGGUGGCUUCUCGAAUGGGGGAUGCUUAGGAUAAUCAGCAAGUGAGGGGGCGGUGAGAACCACCAGGCCAAGCAACACCACUAGCAAAUAUGUAGGAGACAUCUUUGGGUUUGGGCUCAGAUGGUGCAAAACUAGGAGAAUUGGCUAGCCUUUUAUAGCGGAUCGUACCCAAUAAUGAAAUGACACGUGUCAUUAUGACCCAUGUGUAAUGGGGUCGAUUUGGGUCCUACAGUGUUGAAAACUUCGACAUCCACUUUUGGCCUUUUGCUUUCUCUACAGCCGCCUUGCUUUUUCCCUCUUUCCUUUUGUUUUCCUCCUGCCCCAUUCUAUCAACUAAACACAAUUAUGUAGUUGUUUAAUUCUUAAAUGAGAUAUUAUCCGUCAAUCGUAUUAUAUUUUAUCAAGAGAGAACGGAGUGCAAUGUGGCUGUAAUUUUAUCGUUUAGUUUUAUCUCUUGGACCACUGCAUUUUUGUUAAGAGGUGCAAUAAUACACGUCUUUAUCUGCCAUUCAAUAUUUACAGUAAAGAGAGGGCACAAAACUCUUCACUUCGCACCAUAAUUAUUUUGUUUUCUGGACACCCCGGGGCCCUUUGGUUGGUUUGGGGGUCAGAAAGUGAACAUCAUAGGGGGUUUUUCCCUUAUGUGCAUUUGUAUCUGAUGGCUUUAACUCGCCUUGUUACUACAAAGAAACUGUCACAGAUAGGAACUUAUUCCAGGCUGAGUAUCUCCUCAUAGACCCUAUAAAAGAAGACAAGUCAUAAUGAACAUCUAACCUUUGUUCAAUUUGAUUCAAUGCCCCCAUUGUGUCCAUCUCACAAAUCUGAAUUAUUAUAUCCAUUGAAUACAUAAAUUAAUGAAGAAAAUAUGAAACCCAAGAUACAUCUCUGCACAACCUCAACCCUGGUUGCUAUGUUUCCCUUCUAUUCACAUGAUUUGAUGCUAAUUGCCAAACUUGCAACAAGCCCUGAGUUUGACACCUAGUAUCGAUGGGCGAAUUUAAAGUCUCCUCCAAACAUAUAUUCCACAGCUUGAAGCUCACAGAAGAUGUUACAGGCAGGGAAAAACCUUCAGAGUUCGCUACCAAAGAUAAUUAUUAAGGAGAUAUCACAAAGAGAAUUCCAAGGGGUCUGAAUCAAAGACAAAUUGGUCGUUCGUGGGGGUUCUUACUUUCUUUUGGGUAUAACUCACUGAGGGCACUGUCUUUGUUAUUUGCAUUUCACAUUUAGAGUUCUGUUCUGGAAACAUAUAAAAGGAGCAUCAUUUUGUUCUUGGGUAACCCAUAGUCGUGAGUGGGUCCAUUUGCAUGCUACUUAGUUGAAAAGUUGGACCAUUUGCUCCGACGCCUACCUCCCGGAUUCCAUGCUCGGAUAAAACAAGAAUAAAAAAAAUAUUUAUAAUUUACAAAUGGGGGAAAGAAAAAAAUGUCAACAACAAACCAGGAAAAAAGAGUAGUAAAAUUCAUGUCACAUGCUAGUGAGAGAAGGGGUUGUUACACUCACUCGAAGUUCUUUCCAAAAUAUCGCAUGGUAUUUUAUUUUAUGUGUCAGCGCAGUUGUGAAUGGAACGUGCAAAAGUCCAAAUUGGCGUUUUUCCUUUUCCCGUGUAGGAUGGCGACCUUUAAUAAAUAUUUAAAACAAAAAACGAAAAAAAGGAGGGAAAAGGGAUCAGAAAAGAUAAAACAAUGUGUACAAGAGCUCAAUUAGUUUGCAAAUUACUGUUUGGAUUUUGAUAGUAUUUUAUUUGUCCAUCUAUAUUUGAUGGAAAAGAGAAUUUAAGAUAUUUCUGAAACAAAAGCAUUAGUGUAAAACUAAAUUAAGGUAUAAUUAAGUUAGUUCAAUGCAUUAAUUUAAGAAACUUGAUCUAUCCAAAGUACAAAAUUAGAUGAAAUCCAUUUCAAUGGUUAAAAUGAUCAAAAUCAAACUUUUUCUAAGUAUUUUUUAAAAGCAUCAAUAUUAAAAGACAAUUUUAUAUUUAGUCGGAGUUUGGACAAAACCAAAAAGCACACAAAAUCCAAGCGACCAUCUCUAGCUUGGAUAGUCACUUGAUCCCACCUAGAGAUGUGCAUGAGUAAAAGGAUUUGAAAAUGGAAAUUGACUAAAUAUUUAGUUGAUCAAUUAAAUUUGCAAUGUCAUAUGCAAUCCUAAUAGCUAGUCAUCUAAUCAAUUAGGUAGUCAAUCAAGUGUUUGUAAUGACUAUUUUGUACAAAAAACCACAUGUAUAGUUAAAUAUAAUGCAUUUCAUUUAUAAAUCUUCUAAUUCUUGAAUAACGAUCCUAUCAUCCUUUGAAAAUUUUUAUUACACCUUUUUUACUUUUGUUCUAAAACUUACAUAUCACCCUUAAUUGUACCAUGAGAACCUAGCUAUUUUUUUUUUUUUUGUAAUUCAUCAAAGUUAGCUUUUGUAUUCAUUGUUGUAUUAUUUUUAGUAUAACUUAGAAAGCUAGUGUUUUCAAGUGAGUAAAAUUAACUUGUAAAUAUUGUAAAGAUUCAUUGAUAUGUAUCUUAAACUAAGUGUACAAAUUAAAACAUUUGCUAGUAGAUUUUCUCAAAAUUUAGAAUAGAGCUUGAGGCUAUUGAAAUAGGUGGGGUUACACCAAACCACAUCACAUCGUUGUUUGCACCUUUUUUCACUCUCUUUUACUUAGUUUCUCUAUAUUUGUUGUCUAGUAAUAUCCUAUAGGCUUGAUGGGUUAGGGAGCAUCCCUUUGUGAAAAAAUUUCAUUCAAUUCUUAGUUGUAUUACGCAUAUAUAAAAUGCCUCAUUGUUUUAAUGGUAUUCAGUCGUGGCAUCACAGAUAUGGGCAUCUAAAUUUUAAAAGUUUGAAACUUUUGUAAAGCAUGUUGAUAAAAUCCAUGAGAGUUGUGUACUUGGGAAGCAACAUCGAGGUGACUUUAUUUUUUUUUCCUUUUAUAAUGCCACACCUAAGUCCGGUUUCUAAAUGCUAAAGUGAAAGGGUAGGUAUGGACCAUUGAAAUGUGAUCACAACUUUUGGCCUUUUCCUUUCUCUGCAGCCAUGUUGUCUCUUUUUUCUUUUGCAUGAUUUUCUUACCAAAACAGAAUCAUAGACUUGUUUAGUCUCUAAGCUACUAUAUUAUAUCUCGGUGGACUUUUAAGAGUGCAACCGACAUAGAGCACAUGCAAGUGGGCAUAUGGGACAUGAAAUUUCUUCUUACAAAGAUUGCAUGAUUUUUAUAUUAGAGUUGUUCACGUGCAAUGUAUUUAGCUUGUUUUGCAGUUAAAUUAAUUGGAUAAGUAAACAUUGGCAUUUCUAAAUCGACUGUGAAGUGCUUCAUGUACGUGUAAAGUAUUAGAAAUUUCUUUCUUGGCAACUUGUUUUUUCCUUGCCAUCUACUGGUAGGUUUGACUAAAAUUAUAUUCCCUGUCAUGCUAAUUAAUUUUCAUGUGCAUGCUCAAAAGAAGAGUAUGACCUUAGUGCACCAAAAUCACUUUGAUUAAUUUGUGAUAGGUUUUUUUGCAUCAUUUAGAUAAUGUUUAGUUCUAAGAAAAAUUUAUAUAAAAAUGGUUUAUUUAUCUUACAUAUAUAUAUAUAUAUAUAUAUUUUUUUUUUUUUCAUUUUUUUUUCUUCUAUUUUAUUUAUUUAUUUUAUUUUCCUUAUGUUUUCCUCACAUUUUCCGGAACUAAACAUAGUCUUACGAAAUCAACAAUUGCCUUCAACUGAGUAGAUUCUGUUGUUUUAGCAAUGUUAGGCUGCUAACUUGUGGUGGUACGAACCAAAUGACCCAUGUUAAUCUUGGCUUGGUUUGAUUUGGCUCUAUCUCAGAGAGCUAAAGGAUCACGUCAACUCUGGUUUCUACUAUUCAGGUCCAUUCCCAGAUGAACUGGUUCAAAUUUGAGAAAAUGGUAACAGACCUUUAGUGAUGUUGGUUUGGAGCCAGUUGCCAAACCCGCCCUGAGCUUUACCACUAAUGUCAAGGGAGAAAGCCAUUUGAACAAAAACAAUAGCUUCAAGAGACUGAAUCGUGGAUGAAAUCUGAUCCACAUUUCUUCUCAUUUUGGGAAAAAAUGAGAACUUAACUACAAAGAUUCUACUGCCUCAUUCAUAGUGCUUUUCCUGAUCCAAGGUUGGUUCGUUUCCCAAAUUGUGAGGUGCACGUGCCACUCUCACGCUCAGGAGUGUAUCCACGUGGUGGACAUCAGAUGGUGGCUUAAUAUCUGGUGUCGGUGGCUUUACUUUACUAGGAGAGUAGUGUGUCUUCAUCUCAUUCACUGCCGGAGGGUGGCGUAAGCAGUGACGCUAAGGUGGGGCACAGUCAAUAUCAUUUGCAUUUGACCAUUAUAGUUUUCUCCCGGCUUGAAAGUAACCUUAUCGUGAUAAAGGAUUACUAGCACUAGUUCAGAUGACCGUCAUGUUAAUUCGGACCAUGUUUGUGUCACAUUAUCAGCAACCAUGUGUUUAUGGUUCAUGCUAUCUGCAACUAAACUUGAUAUAUAACCAGGUGAACUUCAAUCAAAAUUCUGGAAGUACUCUUGUGAUAGAUGGUGCCUGUCUGCAGAGUCCAUCAAUUGAAAAAUGGAGUGAGUGUAUCUAUAAGAGGGAAGGCUUGGCAAAUGUUCAGUUUUCUGGGAAUUCAACAAGGAUCUAAAAUAGAUUGUUUUCUUUGCCGACUUCAAUGGUUGAAAUUUGAGAAGAUUGUGUCCACAUAUCACAACUAUUACUGGUCCUUCUGUUGCAAUUUAUCCUGUAAGGCUCUAACAUGUCUUCCAAUUCCCACUUCCCUGUUACUCCAGGAAAGCUAUUUCUGUCAUUGUGAAGAAGAAAAGAGAAUGUACAUAUCGAUGCUUUUAAGUGACUGGAGCAUUCAUAUCAGGUGGUCUGCAGCCAUAUAUGCCACUUUGUGAAGGUUGGAACAGUCAAUCACUAGGCUAUAUAUUGGUGUGGCCCAGCCACUUCAAUCAAGGACAAGUCUUCAUACUUAAAGUCAAAUUCUGCCUUUAGUCUCAUUAUAAAUUGCUGUUUAAAUAUUAAGCAAACUUUUGUUUAAUGCGAUUAAGACAGUACUAACUCAAUACUUGUUCUAUUUUUGGAUGCAAAUGCUUGAUGGUUUCAUCAUUGGAUGGGAUAAAGGUGCAUUCAUGAUUAUGAAUACUUGUAGUUAUAUUUUCAUUCUCUUUUUUCUCAAUGAGACUUGUUGGCACAAUGUUGCUGUUCAGAAACCUACCUCUCCAUGGAAAAUAAGUUGCGAUUGAUAGUACUGGAUAUGUUCAAGAAAGCUAAAUAUAGAUAGCACAAAAUAUUAUCGAUAUAAAUAGCAUUAACAGCGUACGUAUGUCUCAAUGCUCAUCAGCUAUAAGCAUGGGACAAACACUUACUAUGAGCAACUUACGUCAAAAUUCCAGAAUAGGACAUAGAAGUGACAGAUCUAUAUAUAUAGAACACUGCAUAUGAGUCACAAGAAAGGAAAUUACGGGUGCAUAGCAGCUCUUAUUUUACAUACUACUACUCAUACUGAUCAAAGUCACUCAGUUGGGAUGGGUGGGAGUAGGAGGUUUGUGGGGUGGCUUGUGCGGAGGAGUUGGCAGCUUCUUUCCAGGACCUGGUUGCUUCUCUGCUGGAGUUGAAGGAGGCUUAAUCUUCCGAGGUGGCUUGUAUGAGUCUUCAGCAUUCUCAGCUGGAGGGUGACCAGGGUUGUGACCAUAAUGUGGUGGCUUCUCUCCCUUAGGUGGUUUGCCAACUGGGGUUGGUGGCUUGUAUGAGUCUUCAGCAUUCUCAGCAGGAGGGUGACCAGGGUUGUGACCAUAAUGUGGUGGCUUCUCUCCCUUAGGUGGUUUGCCAACUGGGGUUGGUGGCUUGUGUUCUGGGAGUGGCUUCUCCCCCUUGGGAGGUUUUUCCAAUGGGGUUGGUUUGUGUUCAGGAGGUGGCUUCUCCACUGGAGGCUUGUGUUCAGGAGGUGGCUUCUCCACCGGUGGCUUGUGUUCAGGAGGUGGCUUCUCCACCGGAGGCUUAUGCUCUGGUGGUGGCUUCUCCACCGGAGGCUUAUGCUCUGGUGGUGGCUUCUUGAAUGGGGGAUGCUGAGGGUAAUCAGCAAGUGAGGGGGCGGUGAGAACCACCAGGCCAAGCAACACCACUAGCAAAUAUGUAGGAGACAUCUUUGGGUUUGGGCUCAGAUGGUGCAAAACUAGGAGAAUUGGCUAGCCUUUUAUAGCGGAUCGUACUCAAUAAUGAAAUGACACGUGUCAUUAUGACCCAUGUGUAAUGGGGUCGAUUUGGGUCCUACAGUGUUGAAAACUUCGACAUCCAGUUUUGGCCUUUUGCUUUCUCUACAGCCGCCUUGCUUUUUCCCUCUUUCCUUUUGUUUUCCUCCUGCCCCAUUCUAUCAACUAAACACAAUUAUGUAGUUGUUUAAUUCUUAAAUGAGAUAUUAUCGGUCAAUCGUAUUAUAUUUUAUCAAGAGAGAACGGAGUGCAAUGCAGCUGUAAUUUUAUCGUUUACUUUUAUCUCUUGGACCACUGCAUUUUUGUUAAGAGGUGCAAUAAUACACGUCUUUAUCUGCCAUUCAAUGUUUACAGUAAAGAGAGGGCACAAAACUCUUCACUGCUCUGCAUGUGUCCCAAAAAUGCGAUUGGACAAAUUAUGAUUUGCAUGCUAAAAAGAGGCAAAUGAGGUUAAUUCGCACCAUAAUUAUUUGGUUUUCUGGACACCAUAAAAAGAUGUUAUACAGGCAGGGAAAAACCUUCAGAGUUAGCUACCAAAGAUAAUUAUCAAGCAGAUAUCACCAAGAGAAUUCCAUAGAGUCUGAAUCAAAGACAGAUUGCUCGCUCGUGGGGGUUCUUACUUUCUUUUGGGUAUAACUCACUGAGGUCACUGUCUUUUUUAUUUGCAUUUCACAGUUAGAGUUCUGCUCUGGAAGGUUUGUUCUGGAAACAUAUAAAAGGAGCAUCAUUUUGUUCUUGGGUAACCCAUAGUCGUGAGUGGGUCCAUUUGCAUGCUACUUAGUUGAAAAGUUGGACAAUUUGCUCCGACGCCUACCUCCUGGAUUCCAUGCUCGGUAAAACAAGAAUAAAAAAAAAUAUAUAAUUUACAAAUGGGGGAAAGAAAAAAUGUCGGAAAAAAUAGUAAAAUUCAUGUCACAUGCUAGUGAGAGAAGGGGUUGUUACACUCACUCGAAGUUCUUUUCAAAAUAUCGAAUGGUAUUUUACUUUAUGUGUCAGCGCAGUUGUGAAUGGAACGUGCAAAAGUCCAAAUUGGCGUUUUUAUUUUUCCCAUGUAGGAUGGUGACCUUUAAUAAAUAUUUAAAACAAAAGACGAAAAAAAAAAGGAGGGAAAAGGGAUCACAAAAGAUAAAAUAAUGUUUACAAAAGCUCAAUUAGUUUGCAAAUUACUGUUUGGAUUUUGAUAGUAUUUUAUUUGUCGUUCUAUAUUUGAUGUAAAAGAGAAUUUAAGAUAUUUCCGAAGCAAAAGCAUUAGUUUGCUCUGUGAUGUCCCACAUCGAAUAGGGGAGAAAGUUUCUGGCGCUAUAUAUGUAGAGGCUCCUCUUAACCAAGUAGAUGCGUUUUAAAACCAUGAGGGCCCCCUUAGGUCCAAAGCGGACAAUAUCUACAUGAUUGGGUGUAAGUCAUUACAAAUGGUAUCAGAGCCGAUCCCCGACCCCGGUGUGGGGGUUUGUUUGGCCCUGUAAGGGGUGUUUGUCUGUUUGACCCCACAAUCCCAUGGGACACAACGAGGACGUUGUGUCUGCAUGGGGGGGCGUUUGUGAUGUCCCACAUCGGAUAGGGGAGAAAGUUCCUAGUGCUAUAUAUGUAGAUGUUUCUCUUAACCAAGUAGAUGCAUUUUAAAAUUGUGAGGGCCUCUUUGGGCCCAAAGCGGACAAUAUCUACAUGGUUGAGUGUAAGUCAUUACAUGCUCCAUGUCAAUUUCAGCAUUUCUCAUAUGUUUCACACAUACACAGAAGAGCAUCGUUUUUUAAAGCAUGCAUUUAUGUUGGAUUAAUUUGGAUUUUGUGGGAACUGGGGCAAGGAUCACAUGGAAGAGAGGUUGACUUUUUUCAGUACUUCAAUGGUUGAAAUAUGUGAAGGCUUGAUUGAUACUAAAGCUUGAAAUUGCGACUCUGUCAUUUGUAAAAAAAUAUGACAGCUUCCAUGCUCUCGUUUGGUUGCAUUGUCCGGUCGAGAGGUGCAAAAAGCAUUCUCUCUCUUCUAAUAGUCUUUUCGUUUAAAUCAAGGGAUUUGCCUUCCCGGUCGAGGUCCAAUAGAGGGUAACGGUCACCUACUAAACAUUAAAUGCUCCAACAACUAGUGAACUGAUCGACCCCAGCUCGACUAGUUGAGGUUACUUUUUGGUUUUCUUGUCUCCCGAGGUUAGAAACCUAUAAAUAGAGAGCUUCACUUCAUUUAUGAGUAAGAGAACACCUAAAUUUAUUUGUUUACCUACUUGUUUUUGCCAUAAAAGCUCUCAUUUCUUUUCUUGGUGUAUUAAAUCUCCAUUUGCAUAUCCUUUAGUGCACCUUUGUGAUUCAUUCUAGCCUUGAGUUGUAUUUAAGCCUUUGUUGAGCUAGGUUGAGAGUUUCAUACUUGUUUAUUGAGUGUUAAAGCCUUCAAGUGAGUUAAAACUUGAAGAGAUUGUGUAAGAGCCCAUUGGAGUCGGAAUCCAAGUGUAAAGGUGAUUAAAAGCUUGGUUGAAGCUUCAAGUUAGUGGAACUCUCACUCGGUUAUGAGCUUGAGAAGAGUGGACAUAGACAAGGCAGUGUCGAACCACUAUAAAAUCUGAGUUUGAUUUCUCUAACCUUAUCUCUUUAUAUUUGCUUCUCUUGUGCUUAAAUUUUUUGUGUUUAAAAAGAAUUUUUAAAAACUCAAUUCACCCCCUUCUUGGGAGUUUUUCUCUUUUAAGAUCAGCUUUUAUUUUCUCAAUUGGUAUCAGAACUAUGCCUCUUGUUUAAGACUUAAUCGUCUAAGAGGAAAUGGCUAAUCCAUCAAGUUCAUCUCACAUUGAAAGUUUUGCAACCAAUAGACUUCUUUUUUUUUUUUUGCGGGAACUGAUUAUCCCUAUUGGAAAACUAAAAUGACUUGGUUUUUACAAUCAAUUGAUUUAGAUGUAUGAGAUGCCAUUGAAGAUGACCUAACUUUUCCUUCAAAACUAGUUGAUGGAGUCAUGGUUCCAAAACCUAAGCAAGAAUGGGAUGAGCGUGAUUGAAGAAAUUUUCAAUUAAAUGCUAAAGUCGUUUAUACUUUGCAAUGCUCUAUGGACAGAAAUGAAUAUAAUAGAAUAUGUCAAUGCAAAUCGGUUAAAGAAAUUUGGAGAUUGCUUGAAAUAACUCAUAAAGGAACAAAUCAAGUUAAAGAGUCAAAAAUCAAUUUACUUGUUCAUAGAUAUGAAUUGUUUUUUAUGAAAGAUAAUGAAACUAUUGUUAAGAUGAUCACUAGGUUCACCAACAUUGUUAAUGGUCUUAAAGCCUUGGGAAAGACCUACAAGGAAUCCGAAAACGUGAUGAAGAUCUUGAGGUCACUUCCAUCAAAGUGGCAUACCAAGGUCACCGCAAUUUAAGAAGCAAAAGACUUGAUCAAGCUACCUUUGGAGGAGUUCAUAGGGUCAUUGAUGACAUAUGAAAUCAAUUUGGCAAAGAAGUAACAAAAAGGUGAAGACAAAAAGAAGAAGAACAUAACUCUCAAAGCUACAACUAAGGAAGAAGAAGUUGAAGAAGAAAAACAAAUUGAAGAAGAUGAAGAUUUAGCCCUCAUCACAAGAAAGUUCAACAAAUUCAUGAGGGGUGAAAGGUUUAGAAGAAGAAGGUUCACUUCUAGAAGAGACUUUUCUAAAAAGGAAUCUUCAUCUAAUGGUGACAAAAAGAGAUGGGAAGAGAAAAGAGACUUGGUGUGUUUCAAGUGCAAGAAACCGGGACACAUUAAAUAUGAUUGUCCUCUCUACAAAAGUGAAGUCAAGAGGAAAAAGAAUAAGGCAAUGAUGGCCACUUAGAGUGAAAGUGAAGAUGAAUCAUCCGAAGAAGAAAAUGAGAAAGAAGUGGCAAACAUGUGUUUCAUGGCAAUAGAUGAACUUGAUGAGGUAAAAUCUAACCUUAGUGAUUAAGAUAUACAUGAUGCAUUUGAAGAAUUGUAUGAGGAUUUUUAAAAACUUAGUUUGAAAAAUAUUUCUCUUAAAAAGAAAGUUCAACAACUUGACAAAGAACUUAGAGAAGUAAAAGAAAAAUUUUCAAAUGUUAAAGUUUCUAAAACUCAUCUUGAAAAAGAAAAUGAGAUUCUAAGAAAGAAAAAUGAAUAGUUGAACUCCUCUCUUUCAAUCUUUUCUUCUAGACAAAAAUCUUUUGAAAUGAUUCUAACUAGCUAAAAAUGUGUUUUUGACAAACAAGGGUUAAGAUUUAAAUCUUCAAAAAAUCAAAAGUAUUUUAAAAACUAUUUUGUAAAGGAAUCCACAAGUGCAAGUCCUUCCACUACUUGCAACUUUUGUGGAAGAGAAUGGCACAUUAGUAGUACGCCCUUUAAGAAAUGGUUCUCAAAAGAAUUUAAAUGCAAAAACUAAAAAAGAUUUGGAUUGAGAAAUCCAAGGUCACUAACCCUCAAGGACCCAAAAAGAUAUAGGUACCUAAAUCAACUUGAGUUUUAUGUUGUAAGGUUCAAAGAAUGAUAAGUGGUUCUUAGAUAAUGGUUGCUCAAGACACAUGACCGGAGAUGAAUCCAAGUUUGCUUUUCUUAAAAAGAAAAAUGGAGGAUAUGUUACCUUUGGAGACAAUGCAAAAGAAAGGAUGAUUGGUCAAGGCAACAUUGGUAAUGGCACAUCCUCUCUCAUUGAAAGUGUUUUAUUAGUAGAUGGUUUCAAACAUAACCUUUUAAGCAUUAGUCAAUUUUGCGACAAAGGUUUUUAAGUGAUUUUUUAAGCAUCUCAUUGCAUCAUCAAGGAUAUUCAAAAUGAUAAAACCAUUUUCAUGGGCCAUAGAUGUGAUAAUGUUUAUGCUAUAAAUAUUUCAAAAUAUGAUGGCCAUGAUAGAUGUUUUUCAAGCAUGCAUGAUCAAAGUUGGUUGUGCCAUAGGAGAUUGAGACAUGCUAACAUAGACCUCAUUUCCCAACUCAACAAAGAUGAACUUGUUAGAGGCCUUCCCAAAAUAAUUUUUUAAAAAGAUAAAGUUUGUGAAGCUUGUCAAGUGGGAAAGUAAAUCAAAAACUCUUUUAAAAACAAAAACUUCAUUUCCACAUCUAGGCCACUUGAGUUGUUGCAUAUGGAUUUAUUUGGUCCCUCUAGGACACCAAGUCUUAGAGGAAAUUCUUAUGCAUAUGCUAUUGUGGACGACUUCUCUAGAUACACAUGAGUCUUGUUUUUUAGUCAAAAGAAUAAAGUUUUUUAUGAGUUUUCAAAGUUUUGCAAUAAGAUUCAAAAUGAAAAAGGUUUUUCAAUUACUUAUAUAAGAAGUGAUCAUGGGAGAGAAUUCGAAAAUAUUGAUUUUGAAGAGUAUUGCAAUGAGCAUGGAAUUGACCACAAUUUUUUGGCUCUUAGAACUCCUCAACAAAAUGGGGUAGUUGAAAGGAAAAAUAGAACUCUUCAAAAAAUGACAAGAACCAUACUAAAUGAAAACAACUUACCAAAAUAUUUUUAGGCCAAAACGGUUAACACUUCUUGUUAUGUUUUAAAUAGAGUAUUAUUGAGGCUCAUACUUAAGAAAACUCCCUAUGAGCUUUGGAAAAACAAAAAACCCAACAUUAGUUAUUCCAAAGUCUUUGGAUGCAAUAUUUUAUAAUAAACACCAAAGACAAUCUUGGAAAAUUUGAUGCAAAAUUGGAUGUUGGAAUUUUCCUUGGUUACUCAACUUCAAGUAAAGCUUUUCGAGUUUUAACAAAAGAACCAUGGUUGUAGAGGAGUCCAUCCAUGUUAUUUUUUAUGAAUCUCCAAGAAAGAGAGAGGAUUGAUGAUGAUUUAGGUUUGAAGACCUCUAUAGGAAGAUUGCAAAUCGAAGAUAGAAGACAACAAGAAGAAAAUGGAGAGAAUCCAAAGAAAGAAGGAUCACCAUUGGCACUACCCCCUCAUCAACAAGCGCAAGGUGAAUCAAGUCAAGAGCUUCCUAAAGAAUGGAAGUUUGUCAUCAAUCACCCACAAGAUCAAAUUAUAGGCAAUCCAUCUAGUGGGGUAAGAACUAGAUCCUCUCUUAGAAAUAUUUGCAAUAAUCUAGCUUUUAUCUCUCAAAUUGAGCCUAAAAAUAUAAAUGAUGUUUUAGAUGAUGAAAAUUGGAUAAUUGCAAUGCAAGAAGAGUUAAAUCCAUUUGAAAGAAGUGGAGUAUGGGAAUUAGUACCAAGACCUUCAAAUCAAAGUGUUAUUGGAACUAGAUGGAUCUUUAGAAAUAAAAUGGAUGAAAAUAGCAUAAUUGUUAGAAAUAAAGCAAGAUUGGUAGCCCAAGGUUUUAAUCAAGAAGAAAUGAUAGAUUAUGAAGAAACCUUUGCCCCCGUAGCUAGGUUGGAAGCCAUUAGGAUGCUACUUGCCUUUGCAUGUUUUAAAGACUUUGUUUUAUAUCAAAUGGAUGUGAAAAGUGCUUUUUUAAAUGGUUUUAUAAAUGAAGAAGUAUAUGUUGAACAACCACCCGGUUUUCAAAGUUUCAACUUUCCUAACCAUGUUUUUAAACUUAAAAAGACACUUUAUGGUUUGAAACAAGCACCUAGAUCAUGGUAUGAAAAAUUGAGUAAAUUUCUUUUGAAAAAAAUGUUUUAAAAUGGGAAAAAUUGACACAACUCUUUUUAUAAAAACCAAAGAAAAUGAUAUGCUCUUAGUUCAAAUAUAUAUUGAUGAUAUCAUUUUUGGUGCUACUAAUGUCUCUCUUUAUGAAGAAUUUUCUAAGUGCAUGCAUAGUGAGUUUGAAAUGAGCAUGAUAGGAGAACUCAACUUCUUCCUUGGACUUCAAAUCAAGCAACUAAAGGAAUGAACCUUCAUCAAUCAAGCAAAGUAUAUAAGAGAUCUUCUCAAAAGGUUCAACAUGGAAGAAGCCAAAACAAUGAAGACUCUAAUGAGCUCAUCCAUUAAGCUUGAUAAGGAUGAGAAAGGUAAAUCCAUUGACUCUAUUAUGUAUAGAGGCAUGAUAGGUUCUUUGCUCUAUUUGACCACUAGUAGACCUUACAUUAUGUAUAGUGUGUGUUUGUGUACUAGAUUUCAAUCUUGUCUUAAAAAAUCUCACUUAAGUGUCGUGAAAAGAAUCCUCAAAUAUUUGAAAGGGACAAUGGACAUAGGCUUAUGGUAUCCUAAGAGUGAUAACUUUGAAUUAAUUGGUUUUUUGGAUGCUGAUUUUGUCAGUUGUAGGGUUGAAAAAUAAAACACUAGUGGCACUUUUCAUUUCUUAAGACACUUACUUGUCUCAUGGCAUAAUAAGAAGCAAAAUUUGGUAGCUUUGUCAACAGCAGAAGCUAAAUACAUAGCAACUGGUUUAUGUUGUGCACAAAUCCUUUGGAUGAAAUAAACACUUAGUGAUUUUGAUUUAUCUUUUGAGCAUAUUCCUAUUAAAUGUGAUAAUAGUAGUGCCAUAAGUAUAUCAAAAAAUCUCGUGCAACACUCUAGGACUAAGCAUAUAGAGAUUAGACAUAAUUUUCUUAGAUAUCAUACACAAAAGGAUGAUAUAACACUUGAAUUUGUAAGCAUAAAAGACCAACUUGCCGAUAUCUUUACAAAACCUCUAAGAACAUUUUGUUGAUAUUAGAGGACAAUUAGGAGUGAUUUCUUUAUGAUCUAAUGUGAUGAAUUCUUGAUGAAUAUACUUUUUGAUUGCAUGAAUUUCAUGUCAUAUAUGCAUCAUAUAGAAAUAUACUUAGAUAAUGGUCAAAUUUCGACCAAAAAUCAAAAUUCCCAUGGCAUUAGGCAUAAAAAUUUUGGAAUUUCAACUGAAAAUGGUAGGAGGAGGAUCACAAAAUGAGAAAGUAUGCAAAAAUUGAAAAAUCAAAACGUUGACCAAGCGGUCAAUCGGACUAGACCGAUCGACUAGUUUGUCGAGAUUUAGGAUUUUUAAGAGACUCCAACGCUUCAAUUUUUGCACCGUUCUCCUCUAUUUCUUCACGGUUUCUCUGAUUUUGUCUUUUAGAGACUAAUUUGAGUGCGUUUUGGAUCAAUUGAAGCAUUUUGGAUUGGAUUUUAGGAAGAUUGAAAGUUAAGGUUUCGGAUUUGGGUCGCCUUCUCUUCCUCUCGCGUGUCACAAUCAGCUUUAGCAUUGUUCUCUUUCCAUUUUCACACACCUAGGGUUUCAGUUGUGAGCAUCUCUCUCUCUUUACCAACCACUACUCCCUUGCUUCUUCCAUAUGGCUCCUAGGCGAGAGUCCGCUACUUCUAGGGCACAAGGCAAGCACCCAACUGAGUCGUCUCAGUCAAAGGCACGUCGAAAAGUGAGAUUUGACAUUGCCUUGUUCAGUUCCAUGGAGGACUACCAACUAUACAAGCAACACUUUGCUUAGAGACGAGUAGUUCCCAAGAGAAAUAUUAAUUUUCCUCAACUUCAGCAUUUCGAAUUUAAGGGUCUAUUUACUAGGAUGGUUGGUUGUCUAUUGUCACAAUUUCGGAGCCGGUUUUCCUGACCUUAGUGCGAGUUUUUUACUCGAGGGCGACUUAUGGCAUGGGUGGCAUGAUCAUUUCUACUGUUGGAGGAGUUGAGAUCUGUCUGGACCCAGAGAGCAUCUGCCAUAUUUUCGAUAUUGCUCUGGUUGGACUCAAAGUAUACAAGUCCAAAAUGUGGCCCAUUGUGCCAGGAUUUGAGCUUAGAGAGGUCAUUCAGAGGAUUUGUGAACUUCCAGACGCCCAGGAGAUGGGCAAACCAUUGCCACACAGUUUGACGGUCAUCAACAGGGUGCUACACCAUAUAUUGUGCUCUAUCUUUCUACCACGAAGUGGACAUUGAGAUGAGGUCUCUUAUUAUGAGGCAUUCCUUAUUGACUCCAUUCUAACGGAGAGACGAAUUCAUCUACUAUGUCAUCAUUCACUAAGCCUCCUCACAGUGACAUACCACCUCAUCAGGCACCUCUUGCUCCUGACCAUGCUCCAUUGAUGGAUUUAUUUACUCAUAUUAGCUCUCUAGGCACUCGCAUGAAGGAGUUUGUUGUAGUUAGUGAUACAUGGUUCUACUCCAUAGAGGAUCGCAUGGAUCAGUAUCAGACUGGCUUCACGUCACAGUUUGAGUAUCUCCAAUAGAGGAUUGAGCAUAUUGAGGAUCACUUGAGCAUGAGAAGAUGAUGGCUUUUCUAUGCUCUGUGUUUCCACCUCCACCUCGUCAACCUUGAUUUCUUAGAGACCCAUUGUUUUCAUUUUGUAAUGUUGCCAAAAGGGGGAGAUAUUUAGGAUCUAGGACUCUAUAGGAGACUUACAUGCAUAUCAUUUUCAUAUCAUUGUUUGGAUCGUACAUAUUGGAUAGUGAUACUUUUUACUUAUAUAUGAUAUGCCUAUAUGUUUCAUGUCUUACAUUGUUUCUUAUUGCAAAUUAUCUCUAACAUGUCUUGAUUAUCUUUUUUUUAACUUCAUAAAUUUUGAUUGUUAACCCAUGAUUGGUUUGAGGGGAAGAUUCUUCUUCUCCUAGAUAACCAAGGUUUGUCAUCAUAAAAAAAUUGGAGAUUGUUAGCCCAAGGGUUCUCCUAAUCAUGUUUUGAUGAUAACAAACCAUGCUUAAGUUACUAAUUGGUUUGAAUUAUAAAGAAUUUCAAGUGUUAAUUUGAAAAUUCAUCAAAGAACCUAAUGGAUGCAAGAUCAAGAUUUUUGGAAGACCUUUAAUCAUAAGAAACAUAUGUAAGAUGAAUGCAUGGGUGCACUUAAGAUUUGCAUAUCAUUUCAUGCAUAUUUGGAAAACACGGUUUAUGCUUUAAAGUUACAUUUCCAUCAAAAUUUGAGAUCCAUCAAAUGAACCUUAGGAAAAAUGUUUUAAAAUUGGCAUAUAAUUUUACCUAAAGACCUUGCCUAAGUGUUAGAAGCAAAAGGACAAAAAAAAUAUAGGUUUUCUGGUCAAAAAUGGUGAACCAGUCAAGGCAUUGUCUAAAUCAGCUCAAUCGGCCAAGGUACCGGUCGAUCGGUUUCCCUUUCCCUGUCGAGAUCUAGUCAAGAGGUACAAAAAUCACAAUCUCUGUCUCUUUCUCUCUUUGUCUAUCUUCCAGUAGUCUUUCCUUCCCGGUCGAGGGAUUUGCCUUCCCGAUUGAGGUCCGAUUGAGAGUAAUAGUCACUUGCCAAAUAUUAAAUGCUCCAACAGUUAGUGAACUGGUCGACCCCCACCUUGCCCAGUUGAGGUUACUUUUUGGUUUUCUUGGCUCCCGAUGUUAGAAACCUAUAAAUAGAGAGUUCCACUUCAUUUAUGAGCAAGAGAACACUUGCAUUUAUUUGUUUACCUACUUGUUCUUGCCUUAAAAGCUCUCAUUUCUUUUCUUGGUGCAUUAAAUCUCCAUUUUGAUAUCCUUUAGUGCACCUUUGUGAUUCAUCUUAGCCUUGAGUUGUAUUUGAGCCCUUUUUUUAGCUAGGUUGAGAGUUUCAUACUUGUUAAUUGAGUGUUAAAGCCUUCAAGUGAGUUGAAACUUGUAGAGAUUAUGUGAGAGUCGAUUGGAGCCGAAAUCCAAGUGUAAAGGUGAUUAGAAGCUUGGUUGAAGCUUCAAGUUAGUGGAAUCCUCACUCAAUUAGGAGCUUGAGGAGAGUGGACGUAGCCAAGGAAGUGUCGAACCACUAUAAAAUUUGAGUUUGAUUUCUCUAACAUUGUCUCUUUAUAUUUGUUUAUCUUGUGCUUAAAUUUAUUGUGUUUAAAAAGAAUUUUUAAAUACCCAAUUCACCCCCCUCUUGGGUGUUUUUCUCUUUUAAAAUUAGCCUUUAUUUUCUCACAAACUAUUGUAGUAUAGUGGUUUUUAGGUGUCAUCCAUUAGGAUGAAUUGUUCUCGGUAAUUAAGGCGUGAAUGAGAGGAGAAUUAAUGAUUGUGAUUAAGUAAAAUUGAUUUGAAAAUUCAUGGUGAAAAAUCAAUUUAACAAUGGUUUCUAAUUGAGAAAAACAAUGAAAUGUGAAAUAAAAUAAAAUUAAUAGGAAAUGAAAUUCUCGAAGUUAGAAUUUUCUAAAAAACAAAUUCCAUGGUGAAUGGAUGUUGAGAUCUAAUUUUCAUCAAGUUAGAUUGAAAACCGAAAUUUUCAUAUAAACUGAUUUUUUAUUUAGUUUUAGGUCUAGAUUUAAUUUCCCUUAAAAUUAGGUUAUUUAAUCCAAGAAAUCAAUUCAAAUCAUAUAUUCAAUUCAUCUUAAAUUAUCUUCCAAUUAUUCACACAAUGCAACUAUUCAAUCUCAUCAAAUCUAGCUUUUAAGAAUUUAAUGAAUCUACCUAGUUUGCAUUGUAAUAGUCAUCCAUGACAAUUUGAAGAGAAAAAUAAUUCAAUUAAUCAAUCACUUGGAUCAAAUUACCUUUGCAAUUAAAGUUCAUUUCUCUAAUUCACCACAGAUUUUGUCUCUAGAUCCUCCUUUCUCAAAGAAAAAUGAGAUUUAGCCACACAUGAUUGGAGAUUUGGUCUCAUAAGGCAUGUUUAGCUAGUGAUAAAAUGAGAGAAAAUAAAGAAAAAUAGAGAAUUCGAUUAAGAAAGAAAAUCUAAAAAAUUCUACAAUUAGAAAUGUCCAAAAAGCUUUUUCAUGAGAAAAUCAAGUUUCUAUUUAUAGGCCAAGGUCAAGUGGACACUUGACAUCAUCUAAGAGGUCUUCCGGAAGCUUCUUCAUCAAGAAAUCUGGAGUUUAAUAAUAAAAUGGUCAUUUCACAAGAGCUCAAACAAUUUCGCAUGAUUAUGUGAAAUAAAAAAUGCAACAACAGCAAUUUACAUCUUCUUGGAGCAUUUCGCAUGACUGUGUGAAAUUUUCACAUGAUCAUGUGGAAUCGACUUGACAACUCUCAUUUAGCCUACAACAUAAUUCCACCUUUUGGUCCAUUUUUCAUAGUCAUGCGAAAUGGAAAUAUUUGAUUUUUAAGUUUUCUUUUGUCAUUUCUUUCAUUUCCUUCUCUUGAUUCCACUUCAACUACCUCCGAAUCCUGGUCCAAACCAAUUGCAUUACUUCUUUCAUUAUGCAUUUGGAUCAUCAUCAACAUUAUUUGUUCUCUUCAAUUUGAUUCAUCUCUUUUGUCACCAAUUUAUCAAAAUCAUACCUUGAAAUGACUCCAAAACUUCAUAAAACUUGUUAGUAACUCUUGCAAGGGCAACAACAUAUUAAUUAAGUGUUUUAGGCAUAGUUACUACUCAAAAGAUGCGAAACUCAUGAUAAUUAUUAUAUAAAAUAUGCUCUUUUUGAGUAGUAAUCAACUUUCUUGCAUAAGCAGACCUUUUAGGGUGGAGUACUAAAGACCAAUAUGCUUGUCCUUGUUGUAAUAAAGAAACUUGCUCUUAUUGAUUGCACCAUGGGAGAAAAUUUUGCUACAUGAGUUAUCAUCAAUUUCUUCCCACCAAUCAUAGAUUUAGACGUGACAAGAGGCCUCUUAAUGGCAAGGAGGAACUGACACUCACACUUAUACAAUUAUCGGGCAUUGAUGUGUUGCAACAAUUAGAAUAACUUACACCAAUUAUGUUGGGGAAGUCACAAAAGGCAAACAUGAAAACUAAAAGGAAAAAAGAAAAAUGUUACAUAUCACCACAACUGGAAAGAAAAAAGUAUUUACUUUCAUUUGCCAUAUUGGAAAGCACUUAUUUUACAUCAUAAUAAUUUAGACAUAAUGCAUAUUGAGAAAAAUGUGUGACAAUAUAAUUGAGACAUUGUUCAGUAUUGACGAAGAAACAAGGACAACCUAAAUAGUCAUCUCGAUUUACAAGCUCUAACUAUUAGAAAUGAGAUUCACCCAAUAGAAAGCAGGACCAAAUUUAUUUUGCUUGCAACAUGCUACUCACUCACCCCAAAUGAGAUUAAGGAAUUUUGCAAGUUUUUGAAAUCAAUAAAGGUCCCCAAUGGCUAUUCUUUCAAUAUCUCUCGUUAUGUGCAACUCAAUGAAAGGAAGAUAUAUGAGCUCAAAUUGUAUGAUUGUCAUGUCCUAAUGCAACAACUUCUCUCACUUGUAGUUCGUGGAGUUCUACAUAAGAAUGUUUGUGGAGUUAUCAUAGAAUUGCGUAAUUUUUUCAAGCAAUUGUGCUCAAAGGUGUUAGAAACAAAUCACUUACACCAACUUGAGAACAAUAUUAUUGUCAUACUAUGUAAAAUGGAGCAAAUAUUUCUUCCAUCAUUCUUUGAUAUUAUGGUGCAUUUACUUGUGCAUCUAGUAAGGCAAAGGUUGCAAGACUUGUGCAAUAUUGUUGGAUGUACCUAAUUGAACGAUAUUGUUAUAAUUUCAUAUGAAUCAUUUAAUUUUAUUUUAUAUUAUGUUCAGUUCAUUAACAUGUACAUUGGUCUACAUAUGGAUGAUGAUAGGUACCUAAGCACUUUAAAGUCAUAUGUGCGUAAUAGAACUUUUCUAGAAGGUUCUAUUGUAGAAAGGUACCUUGCAAAAGAAUGUACAACAUUUUAUUCUAGGUACUUGAAUGAUGUGGAAAUAAAGUAUAAUCACAAUGAUAGAAACUUUGUUGGUUUCAACACUAGAGGAGAUGAAAGGGGUUAUCUUUAAACAUAUUGGACAUGCAUUGGGAAAGCCCAUAUUUCAUUAACUUAGUUCAAAAGAGUGGUCACAAGCACAUUUAUAUGUGUUGACAAAUUGCGAAGAUGUCAUACCAUUCAUUGAGUAAAAAAUUUAUUUGAAUUUUAAUUAAAGCUCUAGUUUAUAUCCUUAAUCAAUGUUUUUUAAAUUCACAAGGAGCACAAGCAAACCAUCAAGGCUAGACCACAUAUACGUGUUUGAGACGUAGAUUUAAUUCAUAACAAGGAAUUUAUCAAGUGGUUUGAAAGACAUGUAAGUAUAUUCCUUAUUAUAAGGGAUUUAUUUCACAUUAUGUUUAUAUUGAAUCCAAACCUAUUAUUGAAUUGUAGGUUGAACAAUUACAUAAUGAAGGUCAUAUAUCUGAACACCUUCUCACAUUAUCAUGUGUUCCAAAUUCAUUAGUUACAUGCUUCAAAUGAUAUAUUGUCAAUGGAUUUAGAUCCCACAUUAAAGAACGUGAUAAAAAAGUUUUUAAAAAAAGACUCAGAAUAAUGGAAUUGUUGUAGUUGCAAAAACGUCAAGCUUUACAAGUGCAUGUGAUAUGAGUCCAAUUAUUAGUGAUGCUCUCUACUAUGGUGUUCUAACUAAAGUUGUUGAGUUACAUUAUCUUGGUGAAAAUAAGGUUGUUUUAUUCGAGUUUGAUUGGUGGGAUGUUACAAAUAUUGGAAAAUUGAUAAAAGAUGAUGAGUACAAUUACACAUUUGUUAACUUUGCAUGAAUUCUAACCACGAACGAACGAUUUGUACUUGCAUCUCCAGCAAAGUAAGUGUUCUAUGUGAAGAAUGCGAAUGAAUCAGAUUGGCAUACUAUCAUGGAGAUGCAACCUCAAGACCUCUAUAAGAUGAACGGGAUAGGAUCCAAUGGUGAUUUUGAACCAUUUCAACAAAGUGAACUACAUGAUCACUAAUAUAUCUCAGAUUUAGUUGAUGAAGAUAUAAUCAAGUGGAACAAAAGUGAUGUUUUAGGACUAAUCAUCCUAAAAAAUAUUGUAGUUUCUUAAAAAAAAAAUGAAAAUGAAGAAGAUAAUUGAACCUUUGUCAUACUUUAAAAAGCAACUAUGCAUUGUUCAUUUUGUAUGUUUUGGUUUUCUUCAUUUAAUUUCCUGAUUUUUGUGAUUCAAUGUCAUAUUAUUGAUCUUGAAAUAUUUUUCUAAUUUUUCAUUCUACGAUGGUUUCAACAAGGAUGACAUCAAGUCAAAAAAGGAAAUGUGGUCCCACACACAAUAUUGCAUUACAGGGAUUAAGGUCAGGGAAGAAGGUAAAAGUUGCAUUUAAUGAGUACAAUCAAUUGGUUAAACAGAAAAAUGGAAAACACUUAUCGAGCUACAUAGGGACACUUGUAUCUAACCAACACAAUGUACCUCUCCAAGCUAGUGAUUGGAAAAAUGUUCCAAAUGAUGCAAAAGAGAAAGUAUGGCCUUUGUUUUGGUAUGUUGUAUUUCUCACUAUAUGAUGUCAUUUCACUGUUAUUCUAUUUUGUGACUAACGUUUGAAUCAUAUGUAAGAAAAAUUUGAAGUAGAUAAAGACUGAAAAGAUUACAUGUUGGGUAUAGCCUCAAAUAAAUAUAGAAGCUAUAAAAAUAUGAUGAAUGCAAAAUACUAUGACCCUUGGCAUAAGGAUGCAUGAGGAGAGGUUAAUACAUAAAUCACCAUUUGUCUCUGAUGUUGAUUGGAAGUGGCUUGUCUCUGAUGCAUAAACCAAAUCCCCCACUGAAUGUUUGAUAUUUGAUAGCAGGAAAAACACACCCGCAGCUAUACACCUCCAUCAUUCAGAUAAUUAUAGUGGGGGAGAUGAUUCAUGGUUGCCCUUAUACCCUUUAUUUGCACCAUCUAUUGAGAUUCUUUAUCAUGGCCAGGUUUUACUGCAGCAAUAAGAUAUGGUGGCAACAAUUUUAUCUAUAGGUGCGGUUCCAGACCGCCUCCAUAGGUGCGGUUCCUGACUGCCUCCAUAGGUGCCUCUUCUUGUAAUGUUUGUUCUGGGAAUUACACUUGAAAGCCUUAUCGUGAUAAGGGAUUACAAACACUAGUUCAGAGGACAGCCAUGUUAAACUUCCACUAUGUUUGUGUCACAUUAUCAGCAGCCUAGUGUUUAUUGGUCAUGCUAUCUGCAACUAAUAUAACCCGGUGAACUUCAAUCUAAAUUCUGAAAGUACUCAUGUGACAGAUGGUGCCUUUCAGCAGAUAUCAUCAAUUUAAAAGUAGUGUGUGUGCCUAUAGGUGGGAAGGCCUUGGCAAAUGUUCAGUAUUCCGGUAAUUCAAGAAGGAUAUAUCUAAAAUAGAUUUUCUUCUUGCCCAUUUCAAUAGUUAAAAUUUGAGAAGAUUGUGUCCACAUCACACAAAUAUUAUUGGUCCUUCUGUUGCAAUUUACCUCUGAACAUGUCUUCCAAUUCCCACGGUCCUGUUACUCCAGGAAAACUAUUUCGGUCAUAUUGAAAAAAAAAAUAUUAAAGAAGGUACACAUGCUUUUAAGUGGACUGGGGCAUUCAUAUCAGGUGGUCUGUAUCCACAUAUGCCACUUCGUGAAAGGUGGAACAGCCUAAUCACUAGGCUAUUUAGUGUGGCCCAGCCACGUUAAUCAAGCACAAGUCUUCAUACUUAAAGUCAAAUGGUGUCUUUAGUCUCAUUACACAUCGCUAUUUGAAGAUUAACUCAUCACUAGUGUAAUGCGAUUAAGACAGUCCUAACUCAAUAUUUGUUCUAGUUUUGGAUGCAAAUGCUUGCUGGUUUCAUCAUUGGAUGGGAUAAAGGUGCAAUCAGGACUAUGAAUACGUGCAGUAAUACUUCAUUCUCUUUUUUCUCAAUGAGACUUCUUGGCACAAUUUUGCUGCUCAGCAACCUACCUUUCCAUGGAAAAUCAGUUGUGACUGAUAGUAAUGGAUAUAUUCUAGAAAGCUAAACAUAGAUAGCAUUCAAUAUUAUCGAUAUAACAUUAACAGCGUAUGUCUCAAUGCUCAUCAGCUACAAGCAAUGGACAAACACUUUGAGUAACUCACAGCAGUCAAAAUUCCUAAACAGGACAGACGUGACAGAUCUAUAUAUAGAACACUGCAUAUGAGUCACAGGAAAAGAUAAUACGGGUACAUAGAAGCUCUUAUUUUACAUAUUACUCAUACUGAUCAAAGUCGCUCAGUUGGGAUGGAUGGGAGAAGGAGGUUUGAGGGGUGGCUUGUGCGGGGAAGUUGGCAGCUUCUUUCCGGGAGCUGGUUGCUUCUUUGCUGGAGUUGAAGGAGGCUUAAUCUUCCGAGGUGGCUUGUAUGAGUCUUCAGCAUUCUCAGCAGGAGGGUGACCAGGGUUGUGACCAUAAUGUGGUGGCUUCUCUCCCUUAGGUGGUUUGCCAACUGGGGUUGGUGGCUUGUUUUCUGGGAGUGGCUUCUCUCCCUUGGGUGGUUUGCCAACUGGGGUUGGUGGCUUGUGUUCUGGGAGUGGCUUCUCCCCCUUGGGAGGUUUUUCGAAUGGGGUGGGUUUGUGUCCUGGUGGUGGCUUCUCUCCCUUGGGAGGUUUACCAAUUGGGGUCGGUGGCUUGUGUUCUGGGAGGGGCUUCUCUCCCUGGGGAGGUUUAGUGGGUGGCUUGUGUUCUGGAGGUGGCUUCUCCACCGGAGGCUUAUGCUCUGGUGGUGGCUUCUCGAAGGGGGGAUGCUCAGGGUAAUCACCAAGUGAGGGGGUGGUGAGAACCACCAUGCCAAGCAACAACACUAGCAAGUAUGUAGUAGACAUCUUUGGGUUUGGACUCAGACAGUGCAAAACUACGAGAAAUCGCUAGCCCUUUAUAGCGGCUCGGACCUAAUACUGACAUAAUAUAAAAUAAAUAUUAUAUUUUAUCAAGAGAGAACAGAGUGUAAUUUUAUCAUUAAUACCGAUCGAGGCCAAAGAAAGAAGACCCAUAAUCCAUUUCCCACAAGCAUACACAAUGCAGCUGUAAUUUUAUCAUUUACUUUUAUCCCUUGGACCACUGCAUUUUUGUUGAGAGACACAAUAACACAUUUUUAUCUGUCAUUCAACAUUUACAGUAAAGAGAGGGCACAAAACGCAAUUAGAUAAAUUAUGUUUUGCCUGCUAAAAAGAGGCAAAUAACUUUAUUUGCAACAUAAUUAUUUUGGUUUCUAGUGACCCCGGGGCCUUUCGGUUGGUUUGGGAUCGGAAAAUGAACAUCAUAGGGGGGGUUGUGCCCUUAUGGGCAUAUAUAUCUGAUAGCUUCAACUGGCCUUGUUCCUAGAAAGAAAUUGCCAAAGAUAUAAACUUAUUCCAGGCUGAAAGUAGAUGAGAGUCAUAAUGAACAUCAACCUUUGUUCAGUUUGAUUCAAUGCCCCCAUAGUGUUCAUUUCACAGAUCUGAAUGAUUAUAUCCGUUGAAUACAUAAAUUAAUGAAGACAAAUAUGAAACCCAAGAUACAUCUCUGCAUAACAACCCCAACCCUGGUUGCUAUGUUUCCCUUCUUCUAUUCACAUGAGGAUACUGGUUAUAAUUGUCAAACUUGCAACAAGCCCUUUGACACCUAACGUCAAUGGACGAAUUAAAAGUCUCCUUCAAACGUCUAUUUCACAGCAUGAAGCUUAUAAAGGAUGCUGACAACCUUCAGAGUUAGCGACAAAAGAUAAUUAUCAAGGAGAGAUAGUUCCAUGAGAAUUCCAAGGAGUCUGAAUCAAAGACAAAUUGCUCACUCAAGGGUUCUUAUUUUCUUUUAGGUACAAAUCUCUUGAGUGUUGUUAAAGAAACACGUCACUGUCAUUUUGAUUUGCAUUUAACAUUUCACUUUUGUUCUGGAAGGUUUGUUCCGGAAACAUAUCAAAUGAGCAUCAUUUUCUUCUUCGGUGACACAUGGUCGCGAGUACGUGGGUCCAUUUUCAUGCCACUUAGUUGAAAAGUUGGAAAGAAAAAACAUGCCAACAAGAAGAUAGUGAGAGAAGGGGCACUUCAAGCCUUUAACAUGAACAAACAGUAAAUAAAAGAUGUUUCUCCACUCAUAAAAGUGUGUUAGAUAGCAAUAUAACGAAUCACAUCCAAAAUCUUUACUAGGCUCAAACAUAAAGAAGACUCAUUUUUAAGAAAAGAUAAAAAUGGCAUUGUCUGAUAGUAUCCAAUACACGAGAUGGCACUUAAUUUGUACAAGAUCUGUCAAUGCUGACGCACAUUUUCUGAUUAAAAAAAAACUGAUCAGUCAAAAGCAAUGAAGAGAAGUGAUGACAAUGAAUGAUGCUUCCAAUAUUUUCACCCCUUAUAGUGUUCUUCAUGAUUCAGAUAUAUAAUUGGAAAUAGAACAACCCUAUGCCAUACAUUCGUCUAAGUAUGGUGUCUAAUUUUUUGUGUCAGCGGUUGCGAAUGGAGCGUGCAAAAGUCCAAAUUGGCGUCUCUCCAUUUCCACAUAGGAAGGUGACCUUUAUUGACAAAUACCCAAUAUUUGUAGACAUUCCUUAAAUAUCAUAACUUCUUGUUGAUUUGAAAAUCAUUUUUCAACUACCAUGUUUUAAUAAAUAUUUUUUAAAAUGUAUUUUUAUCAAAGUCCACCAUGAUGGAUAAUAUUCACCAUGCAAUAAUUAAUAAAGUACAAACUAAGCGAAAUGAAAAGCAUUUUCUUUGCUUUGAGUUGAUUUUGGUUGCAUUGAGUUGAUUUUGGUUUCAUGGUUUUUUCAACUCUUAUUUUGAUUGGAAGAUGUCAAGAAAAGAAAACAUAAAGAAAAAUUAAAAGGGAAAAAAGAAGAAAAAUAAAAAAAAAUAGAUUUAAAAGUUAAUAAAUUAUUUUUUAUAUUUAUUUUAAUUCAUUUCACUUAUUUUUCUUUUACUAUAUAAAAUUUAAAUAAUUUAAAUUUUAUAAUUAAUUUAAUUACAUUUCAUUUUCUUCUAUAUUUAAAUAUUGGAAAAAUAUUUUACUUAAUAUUUUUUUCUUUAAUUUCUUUGGCAUUUUGGGAACCAAACUUAGCCUUUAAAAUAAAAAACAAAAAAAAAAUGAAAAUAAGGAGGGAAAAGUGAGAAAAGAUAAAAACAAUAUGUAAAGGAUUUGAAAAGUAUUAGUUUGUAAUUACUAUUUGGAUUUCAAUAGUAUUUUAUUUGUCUUUCUAUAUUUCAUGUAAGAGAGAAUUUAAGAUAUUCCCCAAGGCAAAGCAUUAGUUACCUGCAAUCAGUGGUGAUAAGGCUCCAAGCCAAUUUUGGGCCCCAUAUCUUAAGACAGUACAAUUUCCAUUUCAACAUUUCUGAUUUCUCAGAUGUUUCACAUACCACAGAAGAACAUUGUUUGUGAAAAUAUGCAUUUAUGUUGGAUUUUGUAUGCUGUGGGGACUGGGGCAAGGAUCAUAUGGAAGAGUGGUUGACUUUUUCUGUACUUUAACGGUUGAAAUAGGAUAAGCACGGGCAUUUGUGAGGCUUAAUUGAUUUUGAAGCCUGAAAUUGCGUUUCUGUCAUUUUGUCAAAAAAAUGGCAGAUUCCAUACUCAUAUGUUUGGCCUGUGGCCAUGUACAGAUGCCAUUUAGUGACCAGUUUGUAACUGUCAAUCGUUGCGUUUUGACUCUGCCUCAACAACAUCUGCCAUUGACGGGUUUUCAUACUUGCAAAUCAAAUAGUCUUUCGUCCCAUCAGGAAUUUCGGUUUAAAUAUUAUUAAGCAUACGUUUGGCUGACAAUCAUUAUCCAGUUCAUGAUUUGGUUUCUUACCCUUAAUCAAUGGUUUCUAAGUGAAUAUAUGUAGAAGGAAAUCCGAAGUGUAGACAGUAGUAUCGAUAACUCUCAAUAUUCUCUAUAUAAUAGAAUAAACAGCGUCAUAGUGAUCGUCGCCUACAAGCAAGGUACAAAUACCAAAACGAGUGACUCACAUAGACAUCUCCCAACAAGAUGUAGUAGUGACUGACACAUGGACACAAUUAACUCGUAGAAAAGGAUAAGACCAUUGCACAGCAGCUCUUAUUUUACAUACUACUUAUGCUAACCAAAGUCAAUUAGUUGGGAUGGGUGGGAGAUGGAGGUUUGUGCGGUGGCUUGUGGGGCGGAGUUGAUGGCUUCUUUCCAGGAGCUUCUGGCUUUUUCAUCGGAGCUGAAGGAGGCUCAAUCUUAUGAGGCGGCUUGUAUGAGUCUUCUUUACUCUCGACAGGAGGGUGGCCAGGGUUGUGAUCAUAAUGUGGUGGCUUCUCUCCCUUAGGUGGCUUGCCAACUGGGGUUGGUGGCUUGUGUUCAGGAAGUGGUUUCUCUCCCAUGGGAGGUUUAGCAAUUGGGGUUGGUGGCUUGUGUUCUGGGAGUGGCUUCUCUCCCUUGGGAGGUUUAGUAGGUGACUUGUGUUCUGGAGGUGGCUUCUCCACCGGAGGCUUGUGCUCCGGUGGUGGCUUCUUGGUUGGAGGGGGCUUGGGGUAAUCAGCAAGAGAUGGGGUGGUGAGAACCACCAGUCCAAGGAACAACACUAGCAAGUAUGUGGGAGACAUUUUUGAGUUUGGGCUGAUCAGAUGAUGCAAAACUAAAGCAUUACGUGACCUUUUAUAGCAUGUAGCUCCCAAUACCCACUAAGUAUUGUGGGGUCCAUUUGUGCCCUACGGGGUUGAAAACUUAGACAAUUGGGCAAGGACCCACCUGACUAUGGAGGACUAGUGAGGUGUGAUCAUAGCUUUAGGAUUUUUCUUCCUCUGCAGCCGUCGUGCCGUUGGCAUGAUUUUCUUAAUCUUAAAUAAAGGCAUAGUUAUAGAGUUGUUUAAUCUCUAAAUGGGAUUUUAUAUAUAUCUUCAGAUAGCCAUUAAUAUAUUUGAUGAAGAAAGAAAGACAAGUGCAUACAACAUGUAUACGACUAGCUUUCAUGGAGUUCAUUUAUGAUCAGUUUUCCUGUACAUGUAAACCAGGAUCAUAUAUAUGUUUCUGUUCCACAACUAUUUUGGAAUCUUGUUUAUCAGUUUUUAUCAUUAUAAUGUCACAUAGGCUGCCAACUUGGGCGCUAAAAGAACCAGUUGGGCUAGUUCGUUUCAGAAUUUCAAUGUGGAUUCAGGAAUUGUUUUGUAAGAUAUGCGAAAUAGUAGAGGGAUGAAUAGUGUUUCAUUAAUAAAAGUGUCCUGUAAAUUAGAAGGUGUCAUAGAAACUAUAAUCAAUAAAUAACUUUUUUUCCCCACGGGUGGUGUUUCUUGUGGGGAUCAGUGACUGGUUUAGGUUCACCCAAAAUGAGUUCAGACUAAAAUUGGUUUGAGUCAAUGCCGUGUCUCUUUUUUCCAGAAAUCAACUAUUUUAUGCAUUGAAUAAAUCAUACAAAGAAAAUAUGAACGCCCGCAAAACCUAAACCCUGGUUGCUAACUUUCUAUGUUUCAGUUCUAUUCACGCAAGAAUAUUAGUUUAAGUUUGGGAAAAAUGGCAACUUACCUAGUGAUUACUUGGUUUUGGUUUGCGACUAUUUACGCAACCAACCAUGAGUUUGACUUUAACGUCAUGGGUUGAAGCCUCCUACAGGAAGGGAGAAAGCUCCACAGCUAGCUCCAAAAGAGAAUUAUCACAUUGAUAGCUCCAGAGAUUCCCAAGGGGACUGAAUCAAAGACAAGUUCCUCACUUUUUCUUCUUUUGAGGCCAAAUAUGAACCAAGGAUCACACAACCUCAUUCAACUUCAUAAGUUUGAUUUCAUGCAGUUGAACACUGGGUGAAGGCCAUGACAAGAAUUGAUUCAAAAAUUCUAUCACUCUUUUAAGUAAUGGAAGAUUAUUAUCUCUGAUUGGCAUCACAACAGCACAUGCUCCUAGAUCUUUCUAGACACUCCAUGCAAUGAAAGCACAAUGGAUCUUGUAACGAUAGAAACUAAGCCAUGCUACAGUACUAGAUGAUGAGGUAAAACUAGUAGACACGGGUGGCAGCCUAUAUGGGAGGGACACAAGUCUAAUUGAUUUGCAUUUCAGCAUUAUAGAUAGGUAUGUUUUGGAAGAUUUGUUCUGGAAAUACCGCACCAAGUAGGAUUCUUUUUCUCUUUAGUGGGUCCACUUGCAUGCCAAUUAACGAGUUGAAAAGUAUGAGCACCUACCUCGUGCUCGUGGAACCGAAGGUCAGUGAAGUGGGGCUCCUUUUGGCCUCGUGUAAACUUGAUUCAGAAGUGAAGUUAAUAGUCUUCCAUUCAGAUGGAUACAUGGGAAUUUUUCUCUUUUAUUUAUUUAUUUAUUUUUUUUUUGUGUGUGUAUGUCAAAGGAUAAUGAAUGAAGCGCGUUAGCUUGUUUUCUGACUGGAACCGCAGAUGUCCAAAUUGGAGUUCCUUCAUUUCUUACUUAGGAUUGUUACAUGUAUAAACAAGGUAUAAGAAAUAUGCCAACGUGUCUUGAGGAGUUAUUGAUUAGAAAUAACAAGUCACCCGACUGUAGAGUUCCAAGAUUUGAAUCUUCAGACCCUAUAGCAGCCUCUGGGGUACGUGGCAUCCUAUAGCAUAUUAAUGAAGGCUUUUUCGAUUUAGACUUCACAAUACCAAUUAAUAUGUAUGCACAAAAUGGAGAUGACCCCAAAAAAAACAGAAUCGCCAUAGUUUAUGAGGUUAAGGUGAUUCUCCACUUAAUAUCUACAUUAGCUAAUUAUGUAAAUCAAAUGAACUUCUAUUUUUCCUUUUUUUUUUUGGUUUAUGUCAAAUAGUAGCCCAUAAUUAACCCAACCAUUAGCCUGUUUGAAUUGAUUUCACAUGCACAAUGUUGUAGUAGUUCAUAUUUUGAAUUUUAUUUUUACAAAGGUAGUUAAGGAAAAUGAAGUAUAAUAAUUAUAAAAGCAGACUAUAUACACUACAAUAAUUGUUAGAAUGGUAUCUCAAAUUCUAAUUUAAAAUAUUAUUUUUUGUAAAAGAAAUAUUAUAUAGAAUAUUUCCUAAUUUUAUAAAUGAUUAUAAUUAGAUCUUUAUAAAAUAAGGAAAGUUGGUAAGAAUAUCUUUAUAAAUAUUUUAGGUCAUGAGAGAAAGAAAUGGGAUAAAAAUGUGAUGAAGAGGUGAAAUAAGAGAGUUGAUUAGGAUAUAGAUGUGAAGAAGAAAGGGAUUCAAUAUAUAUAUAUCUUUCAAUUACCACAUUAAAACCCUGUGAACCUUUUAUAUGGUUUACUUUAUUUUUAUAUUCCUCCUUUAAUAUAUUUACAUUAAUGCUUCCAUUGGCACAACAAUAACGAAUUACAAAUACAAGCAACAAGUCCCAUGUUUUAUUACCAAAAGCAGGUAAAAUCCACCUAAUAUAUUACAAUAUAUUCAUCCAAUAUUUUAGACCAAUUCUUCACCAUAAAUAUCAUAAUGUGGCUUUUGUUCUUUCUUAAAUUUAAAUUGAAUUGUCUUAUAUCAAUUUGUUUGUGAUUUUUUCAUUAACUUCACUUUCAUUUGGUUAUCUUUGGUUUUUGAAAAGUAUUAAGGAAUUAAUUAACAAAAUAAUGUUAAGAAAAAUAAUUUUCUCUCUUUUGAUUUUGAUUUUGUAGUAGAAAAAUAUAAUUAAAAUUAUUUAAAAAGUAUGUAAUUUUAAAUUAUUUAAUAUUUAGAUAAAAAAAAUAAGUCUAAUGAGUUUAAAAUAACAUAUAAAAAUAAUUUAUUUAUUUUAAAUUUAUUUUUUAUUUUCCAUUAUGUUCUCUUUCUCUUUUACUUUUUCAUAUUUUUUCUUACGAAGAAUCAAACACAACCUCAUAUUAUAUGUCAAGUGUUUGUCUAUAUUUGAGCAAUGUUAGAUACGGCCAUGGAUUCAUCAAACUAAACUGAUUUUAAUAGAUACUUCACAAAUUGAUUUAUACACUAAAUCAUUGGAUAGCAAUGAUGCAUUGGAAUUAAACGUAGGAUGAAGCUCGAAGAACACUGUUUGUGUAACAACAUAUUUAUGAAAUUAUGCAAAGGAUGAGCUUCGGGGUAGUAGUACAAGGUCAUUAAUGGAGAGCCGUGUUAAACCUUGAUUGUGAUUGGAUUCCGUUAUCAGCAACAGCAACCUUGUUUGUAACCUUGAAAGUCAUUCUGUCCACAUCGAAACUCCAAUUUGACGUUUGUAAUUACCAUUCCUGGAGUGUUCCUUGAUUGAAAUUUAAAUAAUAAUUGCGGCCCACAAGGAAUAUUUUCGAUUCUGUGGGAAUUUGACAAGGUUUGUUAGAGAAGACUGGUGACAUGUUGACUUCAAUGGUUCAAAUAGGAGACGUAUGUGGAUUUGGGGGGUUUAAUUGAAACUGAGUCCCUAUGGCUUUUUAAUAUUUGCAUUGAGCAGUCUCCAUGUGACUUCCUAAUUCCCACCAACCCUCCUGUCCAUGCUGUGAAACUAAAUUGUAAUUUAUCAGCCUUUGUCAAUGGUUUCUAAAUUAAAGAUAUAGACCAUGCAUGUACUUUAAUAAAAGCAAAUCUAAAGUGUAGAUAGCAGCAAUGGUGACACCCAAUAUUCUCCAUAAAAUAGAAUUAGAAUAAGCAGUGUUACAUUGUUCAUGAUCACCUACAAGCAUACAAGAACUUCCAUGAAUAACUCAUAGCAAUUGCCAACAGGGCGUCGUAGAGACUCAUACAUAGAACACUAUCCACCCAGAGGAAAGGACAAGACCAGUGCGCUGCAGCUCUUAUUUUUCACAUGUAUACCACCACUCGUAAUAACCAAAUUCACUCAGUUGGGAUAGGUGGGAGAUGGUGGUUUGUGGGGUGGCUUGUGGGGAGGAGUUGGAGGAGGCUUUAUUUUCUGAGGCGGCUUGUAUGAGUGUGCAGGAGGAUGCCCGGGAGUGUGACCAUAAUGUGGUGGCUUCUCUCCCGUAGGUGGUUUGCCAAAUGGGCUUGGUGGCUUCUCUCCCUUAGGAGGUUUACCAAUUGGGGUUGGUGGCUUGUGUUCUGGGAGUGGUUUCUCUCCCUUGGUAGGUUUGCCAAUUGGGGUUGGCGGCUUAUGUUCUGGGAGUGGCUUCUCUCCCUUGGGAGGUUUGCUAAUUGGGGUUGGCGGCUUAUGUUCUGGGGGCGGCUUCUCUCCCUUGGGAGGUUUGCCAAUUGGAGUUGGCGGCUUAUGUUCUGGGAGUGGCUUUUCUCCCUUGGGAGGCUUGCCAAUUGGGGUUGGCGGCUUAUGUUCUGGGGGUGGCUUCUCUCCUUUAGGAGGUUUGCCAAUUGGAGUCGGCGGCUUAUGUUCUGGAAGUGGCUUUUUUCCCUUGGGAGGUUUGCCAAUUGGGGUUGGCGGCUUAUGUUCUGGGGGUGGCUUCUCUCCCUUGGGAGGUUUGCCAAUUGGAGUCGGCGGCUUAUGUUCUGGGAGUGGCUUCUCUCCCUUGGGAGGUUUUGUUGGUGGCUUGUGUUCUGGAGAUGGCUUCUCCCCUGGAGGCUUGUGCUCCGGAGGUGGCUUCUGAAAUGGCGGGGGCUUGGGGUAAUGAGCAAGAGAUGGAGUACUGGUGAGAACCACCAUUCCAAGCAACAAUACUAGCAAGCAUGUGGGAGACAUCUUUGAGUAGUUGUAGCUAAGAUGGCGCAACACUGUAGGCAUUGGGUGGCCUUUUAUAAAGGGCUGGACCCAACAGCCAUAUGACACGUGUCAUGAUGACAAAUGAAGUUGAGGGGAUCCAGAUGGGUCCUACUGAGUCGAAAACUUGCACUAAUUGAUCUGGUGAGAUGACUAUUUCUGUCCUUUUGCCCUUCUCGGCCACCCUGUGCUGUUUUCCUUUUGCACGAUUUUCGUUGCCAAACAAGCAAAUAAUAUUUCGCCAAGAAAGAGGAGAGUGAAUGUGGAAUGCAUCAAGUCCCAUCAAGGAUGGCAGAGAAGAAAUAGAAGAUUGCCCAACUGUGAUAAACAUAGCAUACACGUAGCACCAGGAACUUCAUUUACUUCCAUCUAAUGGAACAUAACAAUCUUCUAAAGUUUUUGCAUGAUUUUGUUAUAUGUCUCUUAGCCUAAAGUUGGAAAUGCGCAACAAAUUUUGUCACUUCUCUAUUUCCCACUGAUGAUGUUAAUUAGCCUUCAUAGAUAUCAUCCUUUCUACAAAGUGCUUCAUUUGUGUGUUAUUGUAAAGUGUAAGAAAAGUAAUUGAACAUGUUCUUUUUCCUUUCAUAGAUGACUUUUGAUGUGCAUUUUAAAAGCAGCGCUGUGAGUCGGUGACCUUGAUUCACACGGAAACUAAGGCUCCUAUAGGACCCACUUUUAGCUGGUUAGGGGUGAAGAAAAUAUCAACUUUUCAGAGUGAUUUAAGUCAAGGCCAAGCCUCACUGUGUCAUUACUCGUGUGAAUUUUAUAUGCACAUACAUACAUAAAUAAAGUAUGAGACCCAAAUAACACCUUCCCUUUACAAACUUAACCCCAGCCGCUCUCUUUCAAUUCUUUUCACACAAGGGUAUUGACUCUAUAAAGGUCAAGAAAAUCAUAAUUUCCUAGGGUUUACAAGGUAAUUGGCUUAAUGCUAAUGUGAAAACAUAAAAGAUAAUAGUAUAUUGUAAGCUAACGAAUAUUCUAUAGUUAUAAUUAUUUGUGAUGUGCAUAAAUAAAUCUUCAUAUAUAUAAUGGAACAAUGAAUAAAGAACCAAUGAAAAAAUACUAUAUAUCAUUGCUUGGCAUUUAAACCGUAUAUGCUGCUCUUUCUAGCUACUCCAUCCACUGAAAGACAACAAGGUAAUCCAUGUUAUAAUGAUAGAAGAUACUGUCUCUAGGCUUUUUGUGAUGAAAAAUAUAAGAUAUGGGUAGGGUUGACCCUUGUAUGUUUGUCCUAUAAACACUUCAAAGUAACAUAUUUUUCUUCUUUAGCAACUCAUAAUGAUGGGGUUCAUUUGCAUGUCACUGAGUUGAAAAGUUGGACAAUUGCCCAUGUCGCCUUCCUCCUAGAUUCCGUAGUUCACGGGAAGGUAACUCAAGUUUGACAUAUUUUGAAUUCUUUUCACUCGGACGUCUUCAUAACCUGACAAAACAAAAAUGAAAAACAGAGGAUUGGUAUAUUAUUCAUGGUAAGCCUCAAAUUAUAGUAGUAUGAGAAAGGAGAAAAAGAUUUUGGGAACUCCAAUCUGGAUAAUUCUCGUUUCUUCUCUUGAAUAAAAAUUUCACUUACCUAACUUCGUUUGGAGAAAUGGCAUAUUUUAAUUUUGUACGUCAUUGCUAAUAAAUGGAGCAAUUUAGCAUGUUUUGUGACUGAAACUGCAAAUGUCCAAUUGGCAUUUCUUCAUUUCCCACUUAGGAUCUGAUCUUGUAGACCAUAUAACGAUAUGUAUCUGUGCAAGCAUUGAAAACUAAUGUGAACUAUGAGGAGUUACAAGCCACUGGACUGUAGAGCGAGUGCCAAGAUUUAAAUCUUCAGGCUCUAUCUGGGUAAGGGGAGGAUAGCGACCUAACCUUUUACCAAAGGCUUAGAAUUUAGACUUUUGGAAAAAAAUUUCUCAUGUUUUGGCUGGAUUUCUUGUGCUUGGCGCAAAAAGGAGAUGGCCUCAAGAAAUAGCAGACUCACUUUUGUUUUCAGCCCUUAAUAAUUCUCCACUGCUUUCCAUAACUACAUGGGUUAUACAUGCAGUCUGCUGCAAUAUUCCAGUUAUAUUUAUUAUUUCAAAGAGGGUGAAUGACUUCACAUGCAAUAUGUUGCAGUAACAACCCAAAUUUUGGCACACCAUCUUAAGAAUAGAAAAGUAUAAUAAAAGAAAUCAAUCAGAGAAUCACUUUGCAUGCAGUUCAUAGAGUUCGCCCAAAAUGGAGCCACAUGUACGGACAACCCCACAAUAGACAAUCUUCUCUAUACAGUAAUAAAAUACAGAAAUGGUUAAUGAAGCUCUGUAUUUCCUUAUCAUAUAUGACCGGUUGAAAACUCAGCAAGUCUUCCUCAAUCACAGACAGUUGGAGUUGCUUCAUCAAAAUCAUGCCUUCAUUACUGGCUUCAUUUUGGUUUCAAUGUCUGUUCUACCCUUAAAUUGGGUCUCUGCUUACUACCGGGAUAUCCUUUAGCGUCCUGCAAUUCUACUAGAUUAAAGAGAAUGACUUAAUUCUGCAUUCUGCCGUCCCUAGUCCAAGUGGUACUAGAAUUGAUGUUUCCUUUAGUGUCCUUUCUUCAUACUUUCAGGUUCUUCCCUUGUUUCAAUAAUGCUGUUUUCCUUCAUGUUUAACCUCUGUUGAACCACUUAAAACAACACAAUUUGCACACCAAUGUUUCUUUACAGAAAAGACUGUUUGCAAAAAUGCACAUGUUAUAAGGUUAAUGGAAGAAUUAAUUUGGGGAUAAGGGACUAGGAUUGGGCCAAUGAAGUUUGGUGUUAAAUUUUGAUUAUGAUUGCUUUUCAUUAUCAGGUACCUUAUAUUUGCUGAUGCUAUCUGGAACUAAAUUCAAAUCAGACAUUAUCCGAUUACUAACAGGACAUAUCAUGUCCCUCUGCAGAGUUUCUAAACUAACAUGUAUCGAAAUGUGGCCCCAAAAGGAAGGCUAGGAAGAUGGAGGAUUUUGUAGGAAUCGACCAGAAUCAGAUGGAAGAGAGAUAGUCCUGUUGACUUUAAUGGUUGUGAUAGGAACAUGCAUCAUUAUAUGAGAAGUUGCAUGAAUUUAUGUAUCCUGUUAUCGUUCCUUGACGAUUUCCCAAUGCAAUUUCACUGUCCACAAGACUAACCUCUCCAUGCAGUCAAAUGAAUUGUAAUUUCUCUAUUGGUACCAGUAGUACAUUUCAUACCAAACAUAUAGUAAAUAUAAAAUAUAAAUAGAUCAAGGAAAUCUGAAUUGUAGAUAGCACUGCAAGUAACACUCAAUAUUCUCUAUAUAUAAUAAAAUAAACAGUGUCACAAUACUCAUCACCCAGUGGCAAGGGAGAAAAACCUACAAUGAGUACUCAAAUCACCAUUCUCAAACAGAAACAUAGCAGUGACUGAUACAUAGAACCUAUAUGCUCACAGGGAAAGAAUAAGAUGACCAGUGCACAGCGGGCAGCAGCUCUUAUUUUACGUACAACUCAAAUCCCAAACUAACCAAAGUCGCUCAGUUGGGAUGGGUGGGAGAUGGUGGUUUGUGGGAUGGCUUCUGGGUAGGAGCUGGUGGCUUCUGUCCCUUUGGUGGUUUGCCUAAUGAGCUUGGUGGCUUGUGCUCCGGGAGUUGUUUCUCUCCCUCGAGUAGGUUUCGAGUCUUGUCAGAUGGCUUGUGUUCUGGUGGUGGCUUCUCUCCCUGGGGUGGUUUGCCGAAUGGGCUUGGUGGCUUGUGUUCGGGGAGUGGCUUCUCUCCCUGGAGAAGGUUACGAGUUUUGUCAUAUGGCUUUUGUUCUGGUGGUGGCUUCUCUCCCUGGGGUGGUUUGCCGAAUGGGCUUGGUGGCUUGUGUUCGGGGAGUGGCUUCUCUCCCUGGAGAAGGUUACGAGUUUUGUCAGAUGGCUUGUGUUCUGGUGGUGGCUUCUCUCCCUGGGGUGGUUUGCCGAAUGGGCUUGGUGGCUUGUGUUCGGGGAGUGGCUUCUCUCCCUGGAGAAGGUUACGAGUUUUGUCAGAUGGCUUUUGUUCUGGUGGCGGCUUCUCUCCCUGGGGUGGUUUGCCAAAUGGGCUUGGUGGCUUGUGUUCGGGAACUGGCUUCUCUCCCUUGGGAGGUUCAGUUGGUGGCUGCUGUUCCGUAGGUGGUUUCUUCACCGGCGGCUUGUGCUCCGGAAGCGGCUUCUCUACCUGGAGAAGCUUACGAGUUUUGUCCGAUGGCUUGUGUUGUGGUGGUGGCUUCUCUCCCUGGGGUGGUUUGCCAAAUGGAGUUGGUGGCUUGUGUUCGGGGAGUGGCUUCUCUCCAUUGGGAGGUUUAGUUGGUGAUUGGUGUUCCGUAGGUGGUUUCUGAAGUGGGGGAUGCUUGGGGUAGUCAGCAAGAGACGAGGUAGUGAGAACCACCAGUCCCAGCAGCAACACUAGCAAGCAUGUGGAAGACAUCUUUGAGUUCAGGCUGAGAUCUGUGCAAGGAUAACAGAAUUAGGUGGCCUUUUAUAGAGGCCUGGACCCAACACCCAUAUGACACGUGUCAUGCACUCAUGGUGACACAUAAUUCUAUGGGACCAUUUGGGUCCUACAGAAGUUGCAAAGUUGGACUACUGAGGUGUGAUCACAACUUUUGUCCUUAUUGCUUUCUCUGCGGCCAUUGCACGAUUUCCUUUAGCAUCAUUUUCUUGGCUAAAUAAGCGUAUUAUAUUUGUGGCAGACCGUCCACGUGUCAUAAACAGAUAUAUUAUAAUAAUGUAGUAUGCUUUUCUCCAAUGGAACAUGACACUCUUCUAAGUCUUGUUUUAAAUAUUGUGCAGGAUUACUUUAUACGUUGCAGUUCCAAGUCAAAAUUGGUGGGCAAACGUUGGCCUUUUUUCAUUUCACCUAAGAUUAAUGCUCACCUGGGAUAGGCACUACAUGACUUAUCUGCUCUUUUACUGUAAAGUUGCUUUGUGUAUGAGAUACACCUCCCCUGCACACCCUCAACAUUCGUUGCUCUGUUUUCCUUGUGUCCAGACGAGGAUAUUAAUUGGAGGCUGACAAAACGACUGCUAGCCCAGGAUUUACAAGGUCCUGGUUUGAGGCUUCGGUGAAAGUAUUUUUGAAAAGACACACAUAGAGAUAGUGCGUUUGGUGCAAUGCAGCACUGUGAGCCAUUCUGACGCGUUCUUAAUUUCAAAACUAAUGAAUGCUUCAAAAUUUUAAGAAGUGACAUUUCCAAAUAUUUGAGUUCGUUUAAUUGAACAUUGGAUAACUAGUGAUCAUAGAUUAUUAUCUGUGCUUGGCACUAUAAGAGGGUAUAUGCUUCUUUUUCUGGCCCCUCCUUCAAGGGAGGAGGGACAAUGUGAUCUGUAACGUUAGAAGCUAUUCCAUGUCAUCUUUGGGCUCAGUUCAAAACUAAAAGAUAAUGGGGGGGGGGGGGGGGGGCAUAUCAUUUUAUAUUUCUUCUAGAAGGUUUGUUCUGGAAAUAUUUCACAGGAGCAUAUCUUUUUCUUCUAUUACGUCAUCCGCAGCCUCCAAUAGGUCGGUUAACAAGCCACCGAGUUGAAAAGUUGGAAAAAUGGGAACACAGCCCGCCUCUUGUAUUCAGUAGUUAAAUAAAAGGUCACUAGAAGUGAGAUCCCUUUUGGCGUCUUGAUUUUCAAUCCAGCACCUCUGUGACCUGACAAACCAAAAAAACUAAAAAAUAAAAAACAGUACGUGGGUUGGUGUUAAGCAUCAAGACAUGUUAAUGAAAGAAGGUAGAGAAUAGGAUAUUGAAAUCCCAAUCCUGAUAACAUGAUUUUCUUUGCUAACAACCAUAUUAUAUUUUAUCAAGAAAGAGUAAUGCAUGUGGCGUCCAUCAAGACCCAUUAGAGUUCCGCUAAAGCUAUAGUUCUGUCAACGUUAUCAUUUACGUUUCCUCUAGAUAAUGGCAUUUUCCUCUAAAGCUCUUGCACCAUUAGGCUUCAAGUCAAAAUUUCACAUGUGAACUUUGGAAAUUUUCUCCAUUUGCCCCUAAGGAUACAGUUAGAAUUGACUUAAAAUCCUGAUUGAUAUGUACUAUUAACCAAAGAAUAUUGUAUAUAAUAAUUGAAAUAUUGUUGAUUCAUCGUGGAAAUACAUUUUGUAAGGAAAGUUGUUGAGAAUUUAGUAUGCUAUAUGGAGAAAAAAGUCAUGACUUAAGGUUGUGUAUGUAUAUUCUAUAUCAAAUAUUAGGUAGGAAUGUGGGAAAGAGCAGAGUGUAAUGAUAAGAAACAAAGAAAUAUAAGAUAUUCUUGAAAGUGGAAAAUAUAAAAUGGCUAACGAGUCAAAUUUAUGAUGCGUAAGGGGGAUCAUGUCACAUAAGAAAACCAUGGCAUACUAAAGACGUACGUGUGGUAUGGAGUAAUAAUUUUGUUAAAAUAAGUUUCUUGUUGGAGUACAUUAGGUGACUAUUCAUAACGUAUCAAAUUAAAGAGUCAAGUGCAUCAAUGAAGGCAUAUGUAGAAAAUUUGUUUGUGACAUGUACCAUAAAGAUAAGAUUGACUUGAUAGAAUUUAGUCUAAGUAGGAGUUGUUAAAGGUGUCUUAAAUUUCUAAUUGAUGUAUAUUUUUUUCUAAAAAAAUAUUAUAUAGAUAUUUUAAUAAAUGAUUAAUUCUUUGUAAAAAUACUUACAUAAUAAAAAACAUCAUUAAAAAUAUCUUUAUAAAUAUUUUAAGUUACAAGAAGGAAAAAAACCACUGUGAGAUAAUGAUGAACAUGCAACACUGUACCAAGUAAAUAAAAAUGUGAUAAAAAAAAAAGAGAAACACUCGAUAAAGGAAGGCUCGUAUAUAAAGAGUAAUAUUUUUAAUCAUAUGAUAGAAUGAUUUUCUCUCAUUCAUGAAUAUAGGCAAGAUUGGGGAACCAUUAUAAAAUUUUGUACACCUCGUGUAAAUUGAUGUUUGUCUUCAUAUUUUACACCAACAAAUGACAUUGAAGUUGUCAUUGAUAAAAGGGAAAAGGCAUGCCUCCACACCAUGUGCUUGAUUCGAAUGGUUCAAGUUUGAAGAAUUUUCUCCGGAAGAUCUAAAACAUUUUCGCCUUUAAAUUUCAUUUGAUUAUUAAUAUCCGAAAAAAUAGUUAAAUACUCUUUCUAUUUUUGAGUUGUUGAAUUUUUUGAAAGUUUUUAUAUUUGUUAUCAAGAAUUUCUAUUUUAUUAAGGGUGAAUAUUUAUAAAUAAGAUAUUAUAUAAUAUUUGGAUAAGAGAGAAUGGUGGAAUAUAAUAAAGUUUUAAUCCUUCCCAAUUUUGAACCUUUUUUUUUUUUUUUGAUAUAAUCGCCUUUCUCUUGCAAUCCUAUUAUCAGGUACCUUAUAUUUGCUGAUGCUAUCUGGAACUAAAUUCCAAUCAGGCAUUGUCCAAUUACUAAUAGGACAGAUCAUAUCUCUCUGUUUCUAAACUAACAUGUAUCGUAAUGUGACCUCAUAAGGAAGGCUAGGAAGAUGGAGGAUUUUGUGGGAAGCGACCAGAAUCAGAUGGAAGAGAGAUAGCCCUGUUGACCUAAUGGCUGUAAUAGGAGAAGCGUGUGGUUUUAUGGGACUUAACUGAUACUAAACCUGUAUGAUGCUUGGAGUGGUGUUUCUUUCAUUUUGUUAAGAAAAUAUGGCAGCAUACAUGCUUUCAACUGAGUGCAUCAGAGCAUCCAUAACAGAUGGUCUGCAACCCUAGGUGCAUGCCACUUUCUGACUGAUAAUGAAAUUGUCAGGUACCUGGCCUUGACUAAGCUCAACAGCAUCACAUAAAGAGAAGCUUUCAUACUUAGAUUACUGUUUAAAGUUUUUGCUUAUUUGAUUUCUUAAUGCCAUUAUGACAUUAUUGAUUCAAUUCUGCUUCCGAUUUUCGAAGUUCUGGGCAUCUACUGAUUGCAUCAUUAUAUGAGAAGUUGCAUGAGUUUAUGUAUCCUGUUAUUGUUCCUUUGCGAUUUCACUGCUCACGGGACUAACCUCUCCAUUCAGUCGAAAUGAAUUGUAAUUUCUUUACUGGUAGCAGUAGUACUUUUCAUAGCAAAGAUAAUAGAAAAUAUGAAAUAUAAAUAGAAGGAAAUCUGGAUUGUAGAUAGCACCAUAAGUAACACUCAAUAUUCACUACAUAAUAAAUAGACAGUGUUACAUAGGUAGAGAAACCUACAAUGAGUACUCAUCACCAUUCUCAAACAGAAACAUAGCAGCGACUUAUACAUAGAACCUAUAGGCUCGCAGGGAAAGAGUAACAUGAUAAGUUCACAGCGGGUAGCAGCUCUUAUUUUACGUAUUACUCAAAAUCUCAAACUAACCAAAGUCACUCAGUUGGGAUGGGUAGGAGAUGGUGGUUUGUGGGGUGGCUUCUGGGUAGGAGCUGGUGGCUUCUUUGUUGGAGUUGAAGGAGGCAUAUUCUUCUGAGGUGGCUUGUAUGACUCUUCGGCACUCUCUGCAGGAGGGUGCCCAGGGUUGUGACCAGAAGGAGGUGGCUUCUGUCCCUUUGGUGGUUUGCCUAAUGGGCUUGGUGGCUUGUGCUCCGGGAGUUGUUUCUCUCCCUCGAGUAGGUUUCGAGUUUUGUCAGAUGGCUUGUGUUCUGGUGGUGGCUUCUCUCCCUGGGGUGGUUUGCCGAAUGGGCUUGGUGGCUUGUGUUCGGGGAGUGGCUUCUCUCCCUGGAGAAGGUUACGAGUUUUGUCAGAUGGCUUUUGUUCUGGUGGCGGCUUCUCUCCCUGGGGUGGUUUGCCAAAUGGGCUUGGUGGCUUGUGUUCGGGAACUGGCUUCUCUCCCUUGGGAGGUUCAUUUGGUGGCUGGUGUUCCGUAGGUGGUUCCUUCACCGGCGGCUUGUGCUCCGGAAGCGGCUUCUCUACCUGGAGAAGCUUACGAGUUUUGUCAGAUGGCUUGUGUUGUGGUGGUGGCUUCUCUCCCGGGGGUGGUUUGCCAAAUGGACUUGGUGGCUUGUGUUCGGGGAGUGGCUUCUCUCCAUGGGGAGGUUUAGUUGGUGGUUGGUGUUGCGUAGGUGGUUUCUGAAGUGGGGGAUGCUUGGGGUAGUCAGCAAUAGACGAGGUAGUGAGAACCACCAGUCCCAACAGCAACACUAG